This 146872-nucleotide long non-coding RNA is filed under the name Lupinus angustifolius (narrow-leaved blue lupine). RNAcentral describes it as "long non-coding RNA (LANG_LNC000087)". Lineage: Eukaryota; Viridiplantae; Streptophyta; Magnoliopsida; Fabales; Fabaceae. The record is from RNAcentral.
AAAGUUUUAUAGACUAAGUAAUAGAAAAUUAUGAAAAUUGAAGAUAAAGUAGCAUGGAAUUACAAUCUAUAAAUUAUUACAUGCCACAACCAAGUAAAACAUCAAAUUUGUUUACUGACGAAAUAACUAGACCAAAGUGUUAUGAAAUGAAAUUAUGGGACACGCUGACAAGAGAAGACUCGCAUAAGUGGAGCCCUUGUCGCCUUCCCUUUAUUAUCAUUAAUCAAUGCUACAGCAUUGUUAUACAAAGUAUCCUACACUAGAAAUUUGCUAUGGUGCCUGCAUCUUUCCCACUACAUCAACUCUUCAGAACUUGAUGCUGCAAUAUUGCACAAACCAAUAAAUAAAUGAAGUGAUUUAAUUACCAAAUUUUAUACCAAAAGUAAUCUAUGCUAGUGAGACGUACUUUAGGCUUAAUUCUAUUAAUUGGCUAAAUUUCAGUAACUAGCUAACAAAAGAGCAAGGAUGCAUAUACAGGAUAAUGAUUUAUCUCUCACAAACAUGUGAGAAUAGUAUGUAAAAGAGUAAUUUCAUGAAAACACUUUUAUGAAUUUUAAUGAAAUUUUUUAUGGGUUUUAUUAUUAACCAUUAUUUCCAAAAACUCAGGCAUUACGCUAAAUAUUUAAAUGAUGGUUGUUAAGAGAUAAGAAUAAUGUGGAGAGAAGCUUAGCUCCAUUCAUCCAUUUAUGGGUGUUAUCACUUUAUUAAUAUUUAGAUGAAAAACUUGACAAUUUCAUUAAAAAGGUAAGUAAAAAGAUAAGGAAAUUGUGAGGUAAACCAGAUAAGGAAAUUGUCAAAUCAUGAUGUAAGAAAUUGUUACAUAAAUUUCUAUUUUGUACUUAAAUUUAAUUUAUGCAAUUAUUAGGGAUUAUAAGUUCCAUCAUCAUGGAGAAUUUUAAUAGCAUAUUAUAAACAAAUUCACUAAAAUAUAAGUAAUGCAGGAUAGCUAUUCAAAUCUACUUUAUUAUUUUUGUUUCUUCUUCCAUAUUGUCAUCUAAUUGCACACAAAGAGUUGAUAGAUAGUAUGGUGUUUUGUAUAAAGAACAUUUUUCUAUUUUUAGAAAAUUAUACUUUUACUCCUUCUUUAUAAAAUCAUAUUGUGGAAAUUAAUGUGAAUUAAAAUAAAUUGAUUAACAUGGUUAUGAUAUAAAUUUACAAUGGAUAGAAAUACCAUACGUAUUACAGUUGGUGGAGGUGCUGAUCUUGUAAGGGAGAUUGACCCCACAUUUGCCCGGGAGUGAUGCUGCAUUCUCCGGAUUGAAUUGGGUCGAAGCAGCCACUGAUUUGAGGCAAUUGCAAGCUGUUUGUUUGUCAGCGGUGCUUUGAGCCAACGCCACGAGUCCCUUGACUCCGUUGCAGCAUGUUCCAGGAACAGCUCCACCGGACUGCAGGUAAGUGAGGCAUGGAGCUAGGCUACUAACAACCUGUCCACAUGUUAUGGUAGCCUGUGCAAUGGGUGCACCCACCACUACCAUGCACAUUAGAACCAUACAUGCUACCUUAAUGCUUGCCAUUACUUUACAAACUAAUUUACAGUGUAUUUGCUUUUAUAUAUUGCUUACUUUACUUGGUGAGUAUAUACCAUGCAGGGUUAGGGGUUUAUAUCUAGCAAGUUACCCGUGCAUUUGCACGGGACGAUAGUUUUUGCCGCAUGAUUAAGAACACAUAUUACGUGUGCAUUUAUGAUUAAGAAUAUGUAUGUUGCUCGUGCAUUCGCAUGAUUAAAACCAUAUAUGUUACCAGUGCAUUCAUAUAGCUAAAAAUUAUUAAUUAUAUAUAAAAUCAUACGGUUAGAUCAUACAGUUUAACUGUUUAAAUCGGAUAAACUUAAUAUGGGUCAUCUACUGGUUUAACAUCUUGCUCGACUUUCUCAACAUUGUUUUUUACACAUACAUAACAUGAUAUAGUUAGUAGUAUCCUAUUAAUCAAAAAAAUCAUCAAUAAAUUUAUAAUUUCAUUAUUAUUUGAUUCUAAAAUAAGAUUAGUAUAAAAAUAAAUAUUAUUUAACUCUAAAAUAGCUACAAACAAUAUGUUAUUAUUCAUAUUAUUAUUAUUAUUUUAAUAUUGUUAUAGUAACAUUAUAUUUUAAUAUUGCAUAGGUAAUCAUAUUCAUUGUAUUUUUAAAUAAAUCACAUGUAAUGAGGGCUUGAGAGAUUGACAGAUGUCAUGAGUGAGUUCUUGAGAGAUUGACACAUGUCAUUAAGAGAUUUACAUAUGUCAUGAGGGAUCUUUAGUUUUGAUGAGAGGUUGACACAUGUCAUGAGAGUUUGAGAGAUUGACACAUGUCAUGAGAGAGUUUUUUUAUUUAAAACGGUAUAUGUUACCAGUGCAUUCAUAUUGUUAAAAAUUAUUAAUUAUAUAUAAAAUCAUACGGUCAGACCAUACGGUUUAACUGUUUAAAUCGGAUAAACUUAAUAUGGGUUAUCUACUGGUUUAGCAUCUUGCUCGACUUUCUCAGCAUUGUUUUUUACACAUACAUAACACGAUAUAAUUAUUAGUAUCCUAUUAAUCAAAAAAAUCACCAUCAAUAAAUUUAUAAUUUCAUUAUUAUUUUAUUCUAAAAUAAAAUUAGUAUAAAAAUAAAUAUUAUUUAACUCUAAAAUAACUACAAACAAUAUGUUAUGAUUCAUAUUAUUAUUAUUAUUUUAAUAUUGCCAUAGUAAUAUUAUAUUUUAAUAUUGCAUAGGUAAUCAUAUUCAUUUUAUUUUUAAAUAAAUCACAUGUCAUGAGGGCUUGAGAGAUUGACACAUGUCAUGAGGGAGUUCUUGAGAGAUUGACACAUGUCAUGAAAGAUUUUUAGUUUUGAUGAGAGGUUGACACAUGUCAUGGGAGCUUGAGAGAUUGACACAUGUCAUGAGGGAGUUUUUUUUAUUAUAUAGGUAAUAGAUAGAUUGUGGAAAUUAAUGUGAAUUAAAAUAAAUUGAGUAACAUGGUUAUGAUAUAAAUUUACAAUGGAUAGAAAUACCAUACGUAUUACAGUUGGUGGAGGUGCUGAUCUUGUAAGGGAGAUUGACCCCACAUUUGCCCGGGAGUGAUGCUGCAUUCUCCGGAUUGAAUUGGGUCGAAGCAGCCACUGAUUUGAGGCAAUUGCAAGCUGUUUGUUUGUCAGCGGUGCUUUGAGCCAACGCCACGAGUCCCUUGACUCCGUUGCAGCAUGUUCCAGGAACAGCUCCACCGGACUGCAGGUAAGUGAGGCAUGGAGCUAGGCUACUAACAACCUGUCCACAUGUUAUGGUAGCCUGUGCAAUGGGUGCACCCACCACUACCAUGCACAUUAGAACCAUACAUGCUACCUUAAUGCUUGCCAUUACUUUACAAACUAAUUUACAGUGUAUUUGCUUUUAUAUAUUGCUUACUUUACUUGGUGAGUAUAUACCAUGCAGGGUUAGGGGUUUAUAUAGAAAACAGAAGAGGAGUUUUAUGAAUUGAGAGGUUAGAACAUAAUCAUGCACUAUAAAAUGGACGGUGGCCUAAGCCAAUCUAAAUUAUACACGUGGUUUAUGUUGAUAGUACCUCUACAUUAACCUAGAAUAAGAUGGGAAUCUAAUGUGAGCAGUCAUUCGAAAUAAAAAACAGAGAGACAUUACUACAACAAUUUGCUUCAUUCCAAUAAAAAAAGGUUAUGCAUACCAUCUUCAUUCCAAUAAAAAUUUAAGAUAUUACUCAGGUAUAAUUAUUAAUUAUAUAUAAGAUUUAUAUGAUAUAUAAUAUUCAAUAAGAUUAUAUAUUGGAUAUUUACUGCCAAAUAUAAUAUUUAUCUUUUAUUCAAUUGAUGAUCAACUAUACAUAAGAUUAAGGACCACAUAAACAGUUUUAAUUGGUAUCACAUAAUUUAUGAUUAUUGUUUACUAACAGGAUAAACUACAAAGGCUUUGAUUAUGAUUUAUUAAUUCUAUAAAAGUUAUCCUAUGGGAUCUAAGAUCUUAUUUGAUAUGAAGCUCCUAUUGUUACCAAAGAUGCAUGUGACAGCAAUGGAUUUGUUAGCAGUUGGGUCCCAAUAAAUGCUCUAUGGUGCAUCCCCUUGUCUUUGAGCACUUGGCCAAACAUUUACGUUAGAUUUAUUGCCCGGCACUAAGUUUAAUCUCAAUUUCUCAACUAUAUAUCUCUACCUUGAUUUUUACAAUUGUACAACUUCCUUAACGGAAGAAGAAAUAUUCCAACACGUUCUCUUUCGUGCCUUUUUUCUUCUCUUUCCUGCAAACAAAAAACUUAUAUAAUUGUACGUUCAAUAUUUUCCCACAAUUAUUGAAAUCAAACCGGCAGAGGUUCAAAGGAAUGGUGAAUUUAUUUCUAUUUACAUUCUUCUAGAUAUUGUAUUUACUUGUUUGAUUAUGUUAGCUUCUAUAAUGACAUGAAUUGCGUCUAAAACAAGUUAUUUUAAAAAAGUAUUUUCAGGACACAGUUAUUAUUAUUUGAGAUACAUAAUCAAAAGUUAUUUACAUUAUCAAUUAGGACUUGGUUAAAUAAUCUAUUUGUUUUCUUUUUAGCAAACCCGGGAUUUAAAGUCUUGUGAUUGGAAAAAAAAAUCUCAUGACAAAUGUGGAUUUAUUUGGAUCAAAUAAAGUUGUCUCUAAUGAAAGAUAUUUGUGGCUAGCCCAAUAAUUUUUUGUAUAAAAUUUAGCUUAAAAUAUAGUGUUUAAUUAGAAAUUUAAUAUUCUAAAAUAUUACAAUAAACGUUAAAAUGAAAGUCAUUUGAAGUUGAAAAUUUUAAAACCAGUUAUUGGAUAUUGAAUUAGUCAUCAAUUUGGAAUAUAAUCUAUUACAUUACUGUUCUCUUUUGUUGUUGAUCGGGUAGGUCGGACUGGAGGUCCGGCAAAGAAUUCUCCUGGGAUCUGGAUGGAGGUUGAUAUGGAUCCACUAGUGGAGGUACCUGAAAAGACUCUCCAACAAUCACGUGAAUAUAAGUAUAUUGGUGGUAGGAAGAAGAUAAUAUAUCUUAGAGAAUACGUAAUGAGGGAAUAAUAAUGAAUAGAGAUACUUCUUGUUAGGGGAGACUCAUAUUUAUUGUGGUUGAGAUGAAUGACGUAGAAGUGGAGGGUACUGUUGGCCUGACCGACCAUUUUGGCUUAUCGGGGGCUGCUUUUUCCGUGUCAAGCGGAUUUGGCAGGCCCGUACUUUGUGCAUAGUUGACUUGUUGCCCGUGGCAGGUCUGGUAGCCAAAUCUCAAGUCUGUCUUUAUCGUGUUGGCAUGAGGAUAUGUGGGACUGCAGGUGGUACGGUGGUGCGUUGUUGGCAGCAUGACAGGCAAAGUUGGUCCCAAACCUGGCCUUUUGAGUCCAGUCAAUGAGUCUGUGUAGUCCCUUAACUAGCCAUGCUCGUGCCUUGGCCGAUUGGGAGGGAGGACCAUCUAGGCAGAUUGAACAUUCGGUUGAUCGGGAUGGAAAAAUUGUCCUCAGUCUAGUAGGAUGCUUGGUAGUCGGGCAUGCUAUAGACUCUAGGUCAUCAUUAGGUCUCUGAAUUGGUUGACACGUGGUUGGUCGAUGUCAACCUUGUCAUUAAGGCGUUUACGGUGCGAGUACUCGAGUGUGGCUCGUCGAUUCAUUUCUCGUUGCUUUCGUCUUGGUUCUUGGGUCUCCGUUGAAUUGAACUCGGGUAUAUUUGGACGGGCAAGAUGGGUCUUUAUUUCGUCUUUUGGAACUCCUUCACGCGGAUCACCAUGGAUGAAUCUGGGUUUCCCGAUGACGUUGGUGCAUGAGGUCAGCCUCUGAGAGGACGCCGAGGGAUCACCAUGGAUGAAUCUGGGCUUCCCUUAUAAAUAAGGAGGGGCCUUCCUUUAGUCAUUCUACGUUUGCCUUUUUCUUUUAAACCUAUUUCUAAAGAAUUUGCUCUCGAGCCGACCAAUUGUUCAUCUUCUUCAGACUACAUUUGUCGGGUAACUUCUUUCUCCUCACUCUUAUGAUAAUGGUCUCCUCUAUCGAGCAUGAGCUUAGCUCAGAUAGCAUGGAGGUUUUGUCCGAGCCUCCACCUAUCUUCACUAUCCCUUCCUGAUGACGUUGGUGUGUGAGGAUGGCCUUUGAGAGGAGGUCGAGUGAUCUCUCAUUCAAAACCUCGUUGGCCAAGAGGAGAGAAAGAAUGGCGAGAUGGGGGGAACACUGAUCGACCGAGCAGUCGUACUCGGGAGGUGGUUGCUGGUAGUGAGUAGCGACUCUAGUUUAGGAUUUGAUGUUUUUUCUGGUUGUAGGUCCUCUAUGGCGAGAACAUACACUAUAAAGGUUGACCAACUGGUCAUUCUCGUUGGUUUGGACAAACCUGGUGGUUGGUAUGGGUGGAUGGACCGGGAAAUAUUAGGGUUGAGUAGUCAUUUCUCAACUGACGAUCGACCUAACAUGAAUAUCCUAGAGCGUCUAGCAAACACCAUUGCCCUGAAGUCUCCUUAGGCUGAUGAGAGGGUCUAUCAGGCUCUCCUUGUCGAGGCAGGGGUCAACUAUGCCUUAUAUAUGUAUGACAUCUACUCUAGAAGCUCAGUUUGUGUCUUCCUAUAGACGACUAGAGUGUGGACGUAUUGGGUCAUCUUCAAGUCUCCCCCUCUCAACUCCAUCCGAAUGCCCAGGGAUUUAUCCUUGCAUUCGCCAUCUGAUGUAGGGUUAAUGUGUAUCCCUGCUCAGUCAACCUUUUCUUUUAGAUGUUCCGGGUUACCCAUAGUACAAACUCGGAUGAAGAGAAGGAGGGUCGCCACAAAUGGGUAUGUCUUUAGUAGCGAAACAAGCGAGCCAUGUUCACCCCUUUUGACCAGUCGGUGAAAAUUUGGAAAAAAGGGAUUUUACCGGGUUGAAAUAAAGGGGGUAUCCAGUCAAUUGUGGACGUAUAGCCCAGACGGAAAGAGUAGGUUCUCCUUCACCUGGAACGGGGAGUUCCAUCAGAAAUCCAUCAAAAGGUUUUCGACCAAUGAUGGUAGUUUAACUAGUCGGGAGGCGGAGGCGUCCAAUGAGAUGUUGGGCUAGCUGGCGAAAGGUGCAACUAUGCCUUGCUCGUCCUUACAAAAGGGGACACGGUCUUGGAACAGCUCAUAGGUAGUUUGGUACACUUACAUUCAUCACUCAUUCAAUAUUAGAGUCACCAAUGGUUAGGGCGUGACAACCUAAUCUCUUAUAUGGUCGUAGUAUUGUUUAAGUGAUGAAUAUAAGUGUUUAUGAUUCUACCAUUUCAGACCUUGGUGUUUGGGGUUAACCAAAGUAAAACAUAAGAACUUGUCUAAGUAGUUCAAACUCAAAACAAGAUGAGAAAUAUAUUAUCCUUAUUCAAAAUGAUCUUAUCUCCUCAAGAAUUUGUUAAUAUUUAGUUUUAUAUUUAUUGUUACUUGUUUAUAUUCACUUUAAACAAAAACCAAUCAAAAUAUGUUUAAACCAUUAUUUGUGCUUUGACAUGUUUACAUGAUUUAUUUUACUAGACAAUUCCUUGUGGUUCGACAUAACCAUAUACUAUACUAUAGUUGAAUAUUGAAAGAGGUGUAAAUUGUAACAUAGUAAAGUGUUAUCAAUAAAUAUUAUUUGUUGAAAACACCUUUUAAUAUACAAAAGUGAUGAAUCUAACUUACUAACUUUUAUUUAUUGUUAUUUACCUUCCGCAUUUUAUUUAUUCUUUAAUACCAACCUUCCUUAAGGAAGAAGUUUGGUUUGUUAAUAAAAUGAACCCGAAAGGGAGUAAAUAAAUAAAAGGUCACUAAAUUUAUUAUUCUUUUGUUAUUUAUUUAUUUAUUUGUUAUCUAUCAACUAACUAAUCAUCACUUUUAUAUAUUAGAAUACCAUUAAACCGAUGUUGGAAUUUAUUCCACCAAAUCGAGAUGGUAUUCAAAGGUACUUAAUAAUUAUGUAAUAGGUAAUUGCUUCGAUACCAUUAUACCGGUGUUAGAAUUUAUUCUAACAAAGCCGAUAUGGGGCAAAAAAUGAAUGACUUAUUACAUGAUCAUUAAAGAAGUAAGUUGUAACUGGAAUAUUCUUGAAACCAUUAUACUGGCGUUGGAAUUUAUUUCAACAAAGUCGAGAUGGUGAACAAAGAGUAAAACUGAGUUCUCUUACUUAAUCAAAUAGAAAAGAACAUAACGAAAAUGAGAGUAAUAACCUCUCAAAAAAUUAGCAUUGUUGUCAGGAUGAUUUGUUGAGGGGGAUAAACUCCCAACAACACCGAAAAUAUCUUUCAACAAGUAGCUGUCAUGGAUGUCUCAUCGGCAAAAGUGUUCCUAUCGAGGGGCCAUGGAAAACCAUGAGAAUUUGACCGAGAUGACCACUCGGGUUGAAGAGGUCGAACUUGAAGUCCAACGUUCAAGGCCAAGCUAGAGCAGUCAGAAGAGAGGGGGUAGGCUGCCCAAGGUGAAGUUGACCACCUUGCUGGGGAGCUGACUGCUUUGUAGGCUCGAGUGGAGGUGCUCGAAGAGGACAAGACGGUUAUAGCCAAGGAGAAGGCCGACUAGGCUGUUGACUUGGAAGAGAUGGCUAGUUUGACAAGUGAAGCCGCCCAUCUGGCCUAGGACAAUGCUGUGAGCCAAGUCCGCCUACUCCACCUCAACGAGGAUUUCUCCUGCAUGGAUAUGCAUGCCCUCGUCAUUGAUGAGGAGCUGGUGCAAGAGGGACCGGAUGGCAUUGUUAAACUGGCGGUUCUAGAUAGGAGUGGGUAAUAUAGAAUAGGUUUGUUUUGUAAGUAUUUUUAAUCUAUUAUUCUUAAUGAUGCAUUUUAUUUAAUUGAUUGUCUUUUUCCUUGUACUAUUUGGUCGAAAUUGUUAAUAACUGAACCUGAAUCUGAACAAGGUAAUCUUGAGUGGGAAUAACCCAUAAAACUUGAAUAUAAACAAUAUAACCUUGAUCAGAAGUCUUAUAACCUAAUAAUUGAACUUCAAUUAGAACGUGGUAAUCUUGACCAGAAAUAAUCCAAAGAACCUUGAAUAUAAACAAGUUACUCAUAGUCGAAAGUACCAAUAAUUGUGAUAACUGAAUCCUGAACUUGAACAAUUUAAUCUUGGCCGGAAAUAAUUCAAAGAAUGUUGAAUAUAAAUAAGAUAACCAUGGUUGGAAGUAGCCAUAAGUCAAUAGCUGAACUUGGAUUUGAACAAGGUAAUCUUGGUUGAAAAUAAUCCAAGGAAUUUGAAUGUAAAUAAGACAACCUUGACCGAUAAUAGAAAUAACCAAAUAAUUGAACUUGGAUUUGAAUAAGGUAAUCUUAGCCAUAAAUAAUCCUAAGAAUAUUGAAUAUAAAUAAGAUAAUCUUGACCAGAAGCAUCAAUUGUUGGAAUAACUGAUCUUGGAUAUGAACAAGAUGAAUAUCUUGAACUCUGAUAUGACCAAAGCGGACUUGAAUAUCUUGGACAUGGAUCCGAAGAACGAAGACUUGGUUAAUUUGAAAAACCUGAACUUGAAUCUGAACAAGAUGAAUAGCUUGAACAUGGAUACGAUCAAAGGGGACUUUGUCUACGCCUUAGGCGAGUGAAAUAGACAAUUGUCAGAGGGGGACAUGAGCCUUGCCCUUGAGGGGUGGUGUUAGAUUUAUUGCCUGACACUGAAGUUCAAUCUCAACUAUCCAUAUACAUCUACCCUUAUUUGUACAAUUGUAUAGCUUCGUUAAUCAAAGAAGAAUUAUUCCAACACGUUAUCUUUUUCUCUAUCUUAUUUACCAAGAACAAAUUAUAAUUUAAUUGGAUGUCCAAUAUUUUCCAACAAUUCCGUUUAAAGGAAUGGUGGAUUUAUUUCUAGAGUUAAGUGCACUCACAUUCCCAAGUUGCAAUUAAAUUAUAUAAAUCAUUCAUAUUUUUUUCAUACAUACACAAACUAUCCUAAUAUAUAUAUAUAUAUAUACAUUAUUUACUCUUGUAGAAGAAAUAAGUAUAUUUUGUAAGAAUGUACUAUUUAUGCACCGCCUAUAUAAAGAUUUAUAUAUAGUCAUUAGAUCGUCCACCACUCUUUUAGAUUACUUUUUUGAAGAGUAUAUGAUGAUUAAAUAUGAAUGGUGGAUGAUACAGUGAUUGUGUAUAAAACUCGUACACUCUCAUUGAAUAUAUAUUUUCUCAUCUUUUAACAAAAGAUGGUAAGAAAUGUAAUUAAGUUAAACAAAACAUGGUAUAUUGUGGAGACAAGUCAAAAUAAUAUACGAGUCAAUACCUAUUGUGUAUUUUUUGUCCUUACAAUAUAGUAUAAGAGUGAUUUAAACAAUAUCCUCUUAGAAUUUUUAUGCAUUUGUAACGAACCAAAAAUAGUGAAGAGAUCUUGACUCUUAUGCUAUUUGCACUUUUUUAUAAGCAAAGAUUUGUAUUAAAGUGAUACAAGGGGUGCCAACCCGAAUACAGAAGGGACUACAAAACAAAAGAAGGUAGAAAGCACAUUAAAAAAUGCAACAUUUUGGAUUAGUGCACCACUGAGCAAAGAUGAGCGGAUUGUGAUUAAUGCUGGAAGCAAACCAAGACUACGAUCUAACCUGAAUCAAGACCAUAAUUUGCACAAAACUAACCACCUUAUCCGAAAAAAUGGAGUCGUUAACCAAAUGGACCAAAUCACGGUAAACCACAACUUUCUGCAUAAUUGCCUCCUUUUGAAUUCUUGCAUAACGAUUCAUGAUAACUAAGCAGCUCCACAACAGCACUAUGCUCCAAAACAAACGGAAUCUGCAACCAAGCAUAAAAACCUCGCCAAACAGAGGAAGUAAAAGAGCAAGACAAAAGCAGAUGAUCUAGAGAUUCAGAAUGAUUCAAACACAUAACACAAUUUAACUCAUCAGCAUUAUGAAUAAUUCUUCUCUUAAACAACUCCUCCUUAGUUGUAAUUCUACCACAUAGAGUUUUCCAAACAAAACAACACACCUUUGAAGGAGCACGAUUAAUCCAACUUUUAUUAAAAAGAAAACCAACCUCAUUUUGUUGGACAUUAAUCUGAGCUAAGCAAGUUUUUUUAACCAAUACCUUCCUGAGUUAUCUAAACUCCAUUUCCAAGUAUCUACACUAUCUCUUCUAUAAGAAUGAGAAGCAAGCAGGUGAUACAAAGAACUGAUUGAAUUUUCCUCCCAAUAAAAAACCUUCUCCUCCAAAGAACAUUCCAAUUCCAUUGGAUAUUGAUCCAAACUCCACAAUCUGAGACUAGUGUCUGUCUAUUCAAAGCAAGAGCAAACAACCUGGGAAAAGUCGCCUUCAAUCAACACUGGCCAAACCAAACAUCAUUCCAAAAUAGGGUUUGAGAACCAUCUCCAACUUCCUUCCAAAGUUUAUCCUCCAACCAACUGUUCCCUGCCGCAUCUGAGCAACUAAGUUUAGCCAAAUCCCUCUACCACUUUGAAGCCGAUAAAUGAGCACGCAUAACGGCCUCCAGGCCAAACUUGGAAUUCACCACUUGAACGUCUCAACAAUAUAUCUUAUUUUGUUUAACUUAAUUACAUUGAUCACUCACUUUAUGUUUAAAAGAUAAUACUAAUUUCUCGUGCAGAUGUAAUUAAUAUAAUAUACAUAUAAGGGUGGUCUGUGUAGUUACAAAAAUGAGAGGUAUCAGGUUAUAUAAUUUUAAUAAAACUUAAAGGAUAUCAAUAUAAUUUAUUUCACGAUCAAUGUUGGCCUCUAAGGUCAUAAAUUGGUUUAUUAUUUAUUUCCUGAUAUUCACAUUAAUAUCAAAUUGGUUUAUUAUUUUGAUAACACAAUUAUUAUUAUUUUGGAUACAUAAUGAAAAGCUAUAGUUACAUUACCAAUUAGUAGUUGGUUUAAAUAAUAUAUGUUUGUUUUCUUUUUUGUAAAGCCAGAGUUUAAGUCUUGGAGUUCUUUGCCCAUCUAUUGAAUCUGACUCUAUCAAUUCCUUUUCACUGGGAACAACUCCUGGUUCAUUAGUUCAAGCGGAAUAAAAAUUGGUUAUCUACCUUGCUGUUUUGAAAUUGGUAAAUUUGUUUUCUUUCACUAUUGUUGUUGAAGUCUACCACAGUCACGACACUAGCUUUCGAAUAAAAGAGUUAGGCACCUUCCCCCUUGGGCCCUCACCUUGCAUGUUACACUACAUCAUUUAAACAUUGGCAUAUUGACUUCCAUAGAUUGAUUGGUCCUCCAAUUCAUUAGUUGCUAUAUUCCUAUAGGUGAUUUUAAAAGUUUCCAUUCUACUCAUAUUAAGAACUAUUAUCUGAUGUAUAAUAGAUUGAACAAAUCUAUUUAGAUUAAGAGUAAAUACUUAUUUUAGUCAUUAAUAUUUUUCAUUCUCACUAGUUUGAUCCCUCAAAAAUUGAAAAAACCUAAAUUGAUUCCUAAAUUUUUUAAAUAUGGGUCAAAUUAAUUAUUUUUAGGAACAAAUUAAGUCCAUAUCAGGUUUAUAAAAUAUGCUAAAAUUAUCAUGUUGACCCGUAUUUAAAAGUUUUGGGACCAUUUUGAGUUUUUCAAUUUUUGAGAGACCAAACUAAUAAAAUCGAAAAAAUGAAAGACUAAAAUGAUUAUUUACUCUUAAUUUAAUAGGUAAGUCUCUAAGUCAUCAGAAAAACCUAUUUAAUUGUACUAUGUGUUAGUCUUACAUUGGUAGAAACAACUAAUUUAAAAGUUGAUGAUAAAAUAAUGUAUAUUGAUAAUGAUUGAGUUUGAAUUUCUAGAUCAUCAUUGAUUUCAAAAUAUAUAUUUGCUUAUGACAAUAAUCACAAAUAUGGUAUGUUAUUAAGACAAAUCUAAAUAGUCCACGUGUUGAUGCAUAUUCAUUAUUUUUAGAGUAAAUACUAAUUUCAGUCCCUCAUUUUUUUUACCUUACUAGUUUGUUCCUUCAAAAAUUGAAAACCCGAAAAUGAUCCACAAAAAUUUCAAAUGCGGGUAAAACUAGUUAUUUUUAGCGUAUUUUAUAACACCUGAUAGAGACUAAUUUGACCCACAUUGUGAAAUUUUUGGGCCCAUUAUGGGUUUUUCAAUUUUUGAGAAACCAAACUAGUAAAGUCAAAAAACAUGAGGGACUAAAAUGAGUAUUUACCCUAUUUUUAUUAGAGUAAAUUUGGUAGACACUUCACGCACUUUAGCUUAAUUACACCCACAAUUCAUUUUGUUUAAAAGAUUGCAUUCAUCUCUCUUAUAAUAUAUGUAUAUAAGUUAGUGAUAGUUUGUGUAGGUGCAAAAUGGGAGGGGUGUUUUGUUUUUGUGUAAUUUAUUCUAUAAAAAAUUAAAAACAAAAAUGUAAGUUAAUUGUUUAUUGUUAAAUAGACAUUUAAAAACAGAUUUGAUAGCUAUUUAAAAGGAGAUUUCUUAGCCAUUUAAAGGAAGACUCUUAGCUUAUUUAAAGAAAGACUUGUGAGCCUAUUUAAGGCCUAAUAGCACAAUCAACUUUUUAAUAAGCUCACAAGCUAAACCAGGCUUUUAGAUAGAUUAGGACUUAAAGCUUUUGUUUUUUAAAAAUAGUAAAUUGGACAACUUUAAUCUACUAUAUAUUAUAUAUAUAACACCCCAGUUAUGUCAUGCGACCUCCCAGGUUCAUACAUACAUUGAGCGUGUCACUAUAACACCUCAGUUAUAUCAUGCGACCUCCCAGGCCCAUACAUACACUGAGUGUGUCACCCAUUAGCUUAAAUAUCCCAUGCAGUAUUUUAUUCCUCACAAAGGGGAGCCUCCCGCGACUCGAACCCAUAACCUCAAGGAUAAAUAGUCAUUAUUCACAUGAGUCGCUACCAUUAAAUUUAUCUUCUUUGUUCUUCCAUUCUAUCUCCUUCUCUAAUUCAAAUUUCUUUUUCCCCACCUUCAAUUCUAAGAACAAAUAGGCAAACACACCUAUGCACCAAUUAACAUGGACUAUUAAAAUCCCAAUGUCGAUACCACAAAGAUUGGAGUAGCUAGAGGUCAUUUCUUUUAUGUUUGAAGAUCCAAUAGUAUGUAAAGUAAAAUUAGAAAUUAAAAAAAAUUGGAAAAUGAUAGAAAUUUCAAUUUUAAAUUGAAUUACCUUACUUUGGGGUGGGUUCGAGUUAGGGUCUUUGCUAUACCAAACCCGAACCCGGAAUUUAAACCCGGGUAAAAUCCGAACCCGAACCCAAUCAUAUCGGAUUUUCCCCAUUAAAUUCGGGUUCGGUUCGGGCGGGUACCCACGAGUUCGGUUUUUAUUGCCAUCCCUACUAAUAUGUAAGGAUAUGCCAUCUCUAACGCUUAUAAAUUGAGAGUUCUAGCAAUUUCGGUAAAAAAUACACUAUCAUAACUAUAAACGUCAAAGGGACUAGAAAUAUGAGUUAUAUGUAGUAGAGUAGUUUCAUCACAAUGAAGAGCUACAUUAGUACUAUUGUGAUUGUAGUUAAUGUGAUGUUUCAAGGUGAAACAAUGAUAUAACAAUGUCACAUUUCCAUAUUUUUAUAGACUUUUAUGUUAUUUUUUGAGUUGUUUCAUUAUGCCUAUUUGAUUUAUCACAUUGGAAAAUCUUUGGGUUUCUCUUAUGACCAUAAAUGGAUUUGGGAUUCAUAUAUCUUUGAAUUCUUUCAUAUCUUACUUUGAUUUGAAAAAUCCAUUUGGUUUCUUUGUUUCCUUCAAAAAGUAUCUAGUGGCACCAUAGCUUUUGGGUUUUUAGAUAUUUUUUUGCUCAGCAAAAUAAAUAAACUUGCAUUAAGAUAGUAUAAGGGGUGCUAACCCAAAAUAACAAUUCAAAAAUUACCAAUACAUGAAAACGGAUCCACACACCAAGAGAAAAAAUUUAUAUUAUUAUUUUCUAGUGCAUCAAAAAACGACAAUGAAGACCUAAGUUUAAUCAACUUCAUAAUUUUCAAAAACACUACUCUCCUUUCCAUUAAAAACCAAGUCAUUCCUCAUUAACCACACUAACCACAUCACUGCACACUAUAACAUACACUAGAAAUGAGACCCAUUCUUUGUUUUCCAAACACUAUUAUGGAGUUGAAAUAACUCACAUCAAUUGUUUGGAAGAUUAACUUUAAAUCCAACCCAAGAUUAAAACUCCCUCCAAACCACAGCAGAAAAAUCAAACAAUAAAAAUAGAUGGUCUAUUGAUUCCUCAUUCUUAUCACAAAAAAGGCAUCCAACAUCUACUUGAUUAGAGAGAAUAGAUCUUCUCAAAAACUUCGUCUUAGUUGCUACUGUCCCCCUCAAAAGCUUCUACAUGAAACAUGAUAUUUUAGAAGAUAAACAAGAAAGCCAAAUAUUACAAAACACUAAGUCCCAUGCAGAAGCAACCACCUGCAACUGAACCGUGUAAGCUGGCUUUGUCGUCUACAUCCCUAUAGAAGGUAAGAUCCAAGAAAAGUCAUCCACCCUCCCAUGUCUGUAAGAAAAUAGAUGAAUCACCGCAUAUAGUUGCUCCUCUAACUCUUCUUCCCAUAAAACAAUUUCCUCCUCCACUUUAACAACCAACACCACUUCCCAUCUCUCAAUUCCACAUAAUCACUAACAACACUAUUGACAUCUACAACCACCAAAGAUAACCUAUGGAAGGAAUCACAUAACCUACUCACACCACACCACACAUCCAACCAAAAUCUAGAAUGAGACCCAUCCCAUAGACAUAUAGAAAUAUUAGAAAAAACCAAUGAGCACCCACCCCCUCAGAGCCAUCCAACCUACUAAUAAUCUUCCACCAACUUGACCUUGCCCCACUACUCAAUUUAGAGAAAAAACUCUCAUAGUUUGAUUUAACAACUAAAACCCACAACAAAUUAGGUUUUGAAAGAAACCUCCACUUCCACUUUUGAACAAAGCAUUAUUAAACAAAACAAUAUCCUUAACACCCAAUCCCCAGCACAUUUAGGCUGACAAACCUUCCUCCAAGAAACCUAAUGAACCACCUGCCCCCUUUACUAUUACCCCACAUUAAUUUUCUUUGAUCCUAGCCAAUAAGAGAACAACAACCUUUGGAGCAUUGUACAAAGAUAAAAGAUUAAUCGAAAUGUUCAUAAAACAACAUUUAACAGCACUAGUCUUCCCCCAAAAGAAAUAAACUUAUGUUUCCAAGAACCAAGUCUUCUCAUGACAGCAUCAAUCACAAAAAACCAGGUGGAUAUCCUAUUCGGAUUAGCCCAAACUGGAAUACCCAAAUAGGUAAAUAGGAUAGAACCAAUAUUGCAAGAAAGGAAAAAAGCAACAUCUUCCGCAAAACUCUCCUCCACAAUAAUGGAAAACAAAAAACUCUUGUGAGAAUUCACUUUAAGGCCCGAAGCUAGUUCGAAGCACCGUAAAAUACUCUUUCGACUCCACAUAUUUGCAAGAGAAGGAUUACAAACCAUAAUGGUGUCAUCAACAAAUUGUAGAUCCAUCAUUUCUACAUUUUGAGAACUGGGCUUCACACCCUAAAAUAACCCACAGGACUUGGCACUUCGCGUCAAACCUAAGAAACCCUCGACAACCUGCAUGAAUAAAAAAAGGCGCCAACAAAUGACCUUGUCUAAUCCCUUUUGACACUGAAAAUUGCCUAGCCAAAGAACCAUUAAUAAGAACCAACAAUGUAGUAGAAGACAAAUAAACCUUCACCCAAGAUCGCCAAUGAUUAGGUAUCCGAACCUACCCAGCAUAUAAUCCAGGAAAUCUCAAUUCACUGAAUCAUAUGUCUUCCCAAAUUCUACCUUAAAAAGGAAACAAACAUCUGAAUUUUGCCUAGCAGAAUGAGUGACUUCAUUCACCACCACAACUGCAUCCAAAAUAAUCCUAUUCUAAAUACAAGUAGUAUGGGAUUGCGAAAUAAGUGACCCCAUCACCUCUUUCAAUCUCGAAGCAAGGAUUUUAGGCAAAUUCUUAUAUAAGGAACCAAAAAGGGAUAUAGGUCUAAAAUCCUAUAACCUACCCGAAUUAACAUUCUUAGGGAUAAGAGUAAUGAAAGAAGAAUUUAAUCCAGCAGGUAACUUCAAGAUUUUAUGAAUCUCUCUAAUAAAAUUACACACAUCCUAAUUGACCACAUCCUAGUGUUCCUGAAAGAAAGUGAAACUAAAUCCAUAUGAUCUUGGAUUCAUAUCCCCAGCAUAGUUCCACAUUGUGGUCCUAAUUUCCCUCGAAGAAAACUUGUAACACCCCGGGCUUGACAUGUGACCCUAAGGUCCAUGAAUUUACUGAGUGUGUCACCUAUGACGCUUAAAUACCCCUUGUAGUAUUUUAUUCCCCCUAAAGGGAGCCUCUGCGGCUCGAACCCAGAACCUCAGAGACUUAUAGUCAUUGAUUCCAUUGAGUCGCUACCACUAAGCUACAGAAGGCUAUAAGUCCCUGAGGUAAUAGAAUCAAUGACUAUAAGUCCCUAAGGUCCUAGGUUCGAGUCGCGGAGGCUCCCUUUAGGGGGAAUAAAAUACUACAGGGGGUAUUUAAGCUUAAUAGGUGGCACUCUUAGUAAAUUCAUGAACCUUAGGAUCACAUGUCAAGGCUGGAGUAUUACAGAACUCAUAAUACAACGAAGACUAUUGAUCUGCCGACAACACUUUAAACUCCACACCACCAAGUCUCAAUCUCCUCAUCAAUGACUCACCAAAUAGCUUCAUAAAGUAAUCCAUAACCCAAUCAGAUAUCAUAUUAACAUCCUCCCACCAUUGACCAUCAAUCGAUAAGCCAAUGUUUUGAUUCACUCUCCUCCUACUUCUAACGCAAGCAUGAAAAACAUACUAUUAGCAUCCCUUUGCUUAAUAAGCCAAUGACUCCUAGAUUUAUGGAAUAAUAUAUUGUCCUUCAAAUUUCCAACUUCCCACCACUCUACAAUAAGAGAUUGUCUCAAAAACACCUUCUCCAAAGAAAUCCCAACCUCCUCACCUUCUACAUCAAAACUUGAAACAUCCUUACUAAUACCAGUCAAUUGUUGAUCUAUAGAGUCGAAUACCUGUAUAUUCCAAAGCUUCAAUUCAAUCUUUAACCGACAUAAUUUCUCCUACACCAUAAAAGCUGAUCAACCCUACACCUCCAUAUUACUCCAAGCAUUACUAUUGAACUCAUGAAACUCCUUAUGUUGAUCCCAAAAGUUAUUGAAUUUAAAUGGAGAGAGACCAGUAGAAACAAUUUAAUAUUUCAGCACCAAUGGACAGUGACCCGAAAACGUUCUGGGAAUAGCCCAUUGAUCAAUCUCAAGCCAUUUAUCAACCCAUUCACCGGAUAAAAAAAUCUUGUUCAAGCGACUCAUACAUCUUCCCCCAGCUAGAUACCAUGCACAACUCCUCCCAAUCAAAGGUAGAUCAAUGACUUUCAUAUCACUAAUCCAUGAAUUAAAAGGAAACGAUUCUCUAUCAUUCUCACACACCAUAAUGCACAACCAACAUCACUUUUGAGUUGCAACAGAUCCUCCCACAACCUCUUAAUUUCUUAGCUGAAAGUUUAAUUUGAUGCCUUAAUUUAACUAGUUUGAGUCUUACCUUUGAUUCUUCUAUUCUUUGCCAUUGGUAGUAGUUGCAAUAAUUAGGAAAACAUAAGAUGUAUGUUUCAAUCCACACUUGGAAAUCAAUAAGUGUGUUGUCUUAAUUCAAAUGUUUUACAAAACCAUAAUAUACCAACAAUAUUGUAGAAAUUAAGUGAAGCAUCAAAAGUGAAAGUAGGCAACCAUAAUCACAGAUAUUACCUUGCAUAAAUGGAUAUUUUGAAAAGGCUAAGAGAAGUAUGGAAAAUACAUUAAAGUUGUAAAACCAUGUUGAACACUACUACUUUUUUCUAUUGCAUUUAAAAGGAGGGUCAAAUAAUUCAAAAUAUAUUUUUACAACAGGACAAUGAAAUAAUGAGUAAGAAAUGGUGUAUCCAGAAUCCCUAGUAUAUGCACAAUAUACGUUUAAUUCUAUAUUAUCUACACAUGUUCUCUUUCUUAGUUUUAUUUCAAGUAUAACCCGUUUAUGGAAAUCCAAUCAAUCGCCAACCAACCUCACUUAGAAGGGGAGGAUGACCUCUAGAUCCUCCAAUCUUUGUGGUAUAGACAUUGGGAUUUUAAUAGUCCAUGUUAAUUGGUGCAUAGGUGUGUUUGCCUAUCUAUUCUUAGAAUUUAAGGUGAGGAAAAAGAAAUUUGAAUUAGAGAAGGAGAUAGAAUGGAAGAACAAAGAAGAUGAAUUUGGAUAAUUUCUAUUUAUUUAUUAUGUCACUUUAGGCAAAGACAAAGUGCACAUGUAUACAAAACCAGAGAACCACUAAAAGAGAACAAGUAAAAUAACUAUUACUAGCUGCCUAAAACCAAAUAACUAUUACUAACCACCUAAAACCAAUUUCCCCGGUAAGUGAAGAGAACAAAGUCCCAACUUGGAAGUGAACACUUGAAAGGAAGCAAAUUGGAGACUUUGUAAAAGCAUUUGCAAGUUGAUUAGAUGAUGCAAUUGCCAUGAGAUGAAUGAGACCUUGCUGGAUCUUCUUUCAUACAAAAUGAUAAUUAAUCUCAAUAUGCUUGGUUCUUUUAUGAAAAACUGGAUUACGAGCAAGAUAGAUGGUAAAUCGACUAUCACAAUAAACUAAAGUUGGACCUGAUAAUGAAAUUCCCAAGCCUCUAAAGAGAUAAUUGAGUCAUUGAACUUCACAUGUCAAACUUACAAGAGCCCUAUAUUCUGCCUCAGAAGAAGGCUUACUUACUAUGUUUUGCUUCUUCAUUUUCCAAGAAAUGUGUGACGAACCAAGGAAUAUGCAAAACCCAGUGAUAGACUUCCUAGUGUCUAGGAAACAAGCCCGAUUUGAAUCAGCAAGACCAACAAGCUAAGUUCUGUUUUAUAGUGUGCAUCCAUAGGCUUGGAUAUGAACAAACUUAAUUAUUGUAUUGCAUAGGAUAAAUUUGGCCUUGAAAUGGUCAAGUAGAGAAGCCUCCCAACCAACCUUCUAUAACUUUGGACAUUAGAGAAAGGUUUGCCUUGAUCAAGUUGCAACUUUACUAAAGGAUCAAAGGGAACUUUGGAAGGCUCAACAAUAAGUGAACCUGAGUCUUCCAACAAGGAUAAGACAUAUUUUCCCUAAUUAAGUUGAAUUCCAGUCUAUGAUCUUUCAAUUUCAAGAUCUGAGAAGAACAAGAGAGGACCUAAAUCUUUGAUCUUGAAUGAAUCAUCCAAAAAUUGUUUCAUAAGCUUGAUCUCAUGCACAUCAUUGUGUGCUAGAACCAUGUCAUCUAUAAGUAUUAGAUGACAACUAAGAGGGGGUGGGGUGAAUUAGUUGUUGGGAGAAAUGGCCGAUUUUUCUGUUAUGGUAUCAAAGUGUUUUGUGCAGCGAAAUGUUGAUACAGAUUAUUUGUCACACAAGAGAUUUUUAAACUAGAUACUUUGAGUUGAAAUUACAAAUUCUCUCUCCGAGACACGUGUACCUUACAUACUCACAAAUAUCUACCCUUGGAAAAUAAUCUUUUCAAGUGAAGUUUUUCUCCUUCUCACCACACUAUAUGAUGAAAAGUUAACAACAAGAUGAAGAAUAUAUCAAUGACAAUAUUGCCUUUACAAGUUUGACAAUGCUAUAACUUGCAAUACUUUUUUCUCUCCAUACACUUAGUAAAACAAUGCUCUAAAAUGUUUGGAAAACUUUAGAACUUUUCACUUGAAGCAACUUCAGAUAAUAUGAAAGUUUGGAAACCAAGUUGUGAGACAAAGUGCGGAAAGUUUUUUGAAAGAGUUUUGAGAAGAAACUGGGUUAAUGAUAUGAAAGUUGUAUGUUGUGAGAAUGUUCCAAAGCCUUUAAAUACGCAUCCAAUCAGCCAUGGGACCCUUCCAGAAGUUGGGACACGAUUGGAGUUGAAACCCAUUCACUUAAGAUGGAAACUCCUGAUUUGAAUUUGAAAAACUAGUAGCAACAACUAUGUGUAAUCGAUUACCAAAACUUGCUGUCCAACCAUGCAGUCGAUUAAUACCAUGUAAUAAUCGGGUACAUGUGUUAGUUAUGCUUUUGGUAACUAUUUUCUUAGUCAGGUAAUCUAUUACGUAGUUCUAGUAAUUUGUUACUAUCUGUCACAUAGUUCAAGUAAUCUGUUACGUAGAUCUAGUAACAUGUUACUCAAGUCAAGUAACAUAUUACUUAGCAUUUUGAAAAUAAUUCAAGAGUUUUCCAAUUCUUUCAAAAAUAGUUUUAAGUUCCUUUGAAUUUCUUUGAGCUAUGCUACUAAAUAUAAAUUGAGCGUAACGAUAGAAGUACCUUUGAAGACUUAGACUGUAAUUUUCUUGAAGCUUGAACUUCUAUGUCUUCAUAGUCUUCUUCUUAUUUUUUUAUUUUUUUGAUCAUGGUGUCUUCAUCAAAAUCGUGCCAAUGAUAGAAGUACCAAUGCUAAAUUCUCACUAGAAUGGAGAAAAUAAGUAUGGGAAGGAUUAGAAUUGUAAUCAUCAUGACUCUGAUUUGCCAUAGUAGAAGAAUGAAAAAAUCUUAAGGUACCAAAUCAAGAAUGGAAGAAGGAGAAGAAGGUAAUAAUUGAGAAUAUUAAUAGGAGAACAAGAAAAAAAUGAAGAUCAAUCAGAGCCUAUAUUGCUCUGAUAUCAUCUUAGAAUUUAAGGUGAGGAAAAGAAAAUUGAAUUGGAGAAGGAGAUAGAACGGAAUAACAGAGAAAAUCAAUUUGGAUAAUUUCUAUUCAUUGAUUACAUUACUUUAGGCAAAGACAAAGUGCACAUAUAUACAAAACCAGAGAACUAGUAAAAUAACUAUUACUAACUGCCUAAAACCAAAUAACUAUUACUAACUACAUAAAACCAAUUUCCCUAUAGGCUAACUAGCAUAAAUAACUAAGACAUAUAUUUCUAUACUUUUACAUCUUUUCCUAAUAAUAGGAGUGGCAACAAUAACACCUUUUUCACCAUGGUACGUUAAAUUUAAGUGUUCCAAAAAAGAAAAAAAAUACUAUGAUAUUUCUUACUAAGGGCAAGCUUUUCGAGAAGUGUUUAACCUCCUUAAAGUAUCUAGUUUAAAUAUGGUCUACAAAAUUGUGGCAAUACACAUUUUUAUGACAUUCUGAAAACUUCUCAAUGAGUAAAUAAAUGAUAAUUUUAGAAUAAUGUUUGGAAGUUUGUAUUAAGUAAGGGUGUUCAAAUCCAGACCGAUCCAAAAAUAAAAUUGAAAACCGAUCCAAAAUAGAUUGAAACCACAAAAGUGGAAUGUCUAUGGACCGCGUUGGACUUACUUUUUAAAAACCAAUUUGUCUAGUCUGGAUUUUGAUUUCACUUAUUGAAAGAUGGAAACUCCUGAUUUGAAUUUGAAAAACUAGUAGCAACAACUAUGUGUAAUCGAUUACCAAAACUUGCUGUCCAACCAUGCAGUCGAUUAAUACCAUGUAAUAAUCGGGUACAUGUGUUAGUUAUGCUUUUGGUAACUAUUUUCUUAGUCAGGUAAUCUAUUACGUAGUUCUAGUAAUUUGUUACUAUCUGUCACAUAGUUCAAGUAAUCUGUUACGUAGAUCUAGUAACAUGUUACUCAAGUCAAGUAACAUAUUACUUAGCAUUUUGAAAAUAAUUCAAGAGUUUUCCAAUUCUUUCAAAAAUAGUUUUAAGUUCCUUUGAAUUUCUUUGAGCUAUGCUACUAAAUAUAAAUUGAGCGUAACGAUAGAAGUACCUUUGAAGACUUAGACUGUAAUUUUCUUGAAGCUUGAACUUCUAUGUCUUCAUAGUCUUCUUCUUAUUUUUUUAUUUUUUUGAUCAUGGUGUCUUCAUCAAAAUCGUGCCAAUGAUAGAAGUACCAAUGCUAAAUUCUCACUAGAAUGGAGAAAAUAAGUAUGGGAAGGAUUAGAAUUGUAAUCAUCAUGACUCUGAUUUGCCAUAGUAGAAGAAUGAAAAAAUCUUAAGGUACCAAAUCAAGAAUGGAAGAAGGAGAAGAAGGUAAUAAUUGAGAAUAUUAAUAGGAGAACAAGAAAAAAAUGAAGAUCAAUCAGAGCCUAUAUUGCUCUGAUAUCAUCUUAGAAUUUAAGGUGAGGAAAAGAAAAUUGAAUUGGAGAAGGAGAUAGAACGGAAUAACAGAGAAAAUCAAUUUGGAUAAUUUCUAUUCAUUGAUUACAUUACUUUAGGCAAAGACAAAGUGCACAUAUAUACAAAACCAGAGAACUAGUAAAAUAACUAUUACUAACUGCCUAAAACCAAAUAACUAUUACUAACUACAUAAAACCAAUUUCCCUAUAGGCUAACUAGCAUAAAUAACUAAGACAUAUAUUUCUAUACUUUUACAUCUUUUCCUAAUAAUAGGAGUGGCAACAAUAACACCUUUUUCACCAUGGUACGUUAAAUUUAAGUGUUCCAAAAAAGAAAAAAAAUACUAUGAUAUUUCUUACUAAGGGCAAGCUUUUCGAGAAGUGUUUAACCUCCUUAAAGUAUCUAGUUUAAAUAUGGUCUACAAAAUUGUGGCAAUACACAUUUUUAUGACAUUCUGAAAACUUCUCAAUGAGUAAAUAAAUGAUAAUUUUAGAAUAAUGUUUGGAAGUUUGUAUUAAGUAAGGGUGUUCAAAUCCAGACCGAUCCAAAAAUAAAAUUGAAAACCGAUCCAAAAUAGAUUGAAACCACAAAAGUGGAAUGUCUAUGGACCGCGUUGGACUUACUUUUUAAAAACCAAUUUGUCUAGUCUGGAUUUUGAUUUCACUUAUUGAAUCCAGACCGAUCUAGACCGGACUGAAAUAAUAUGUAAAGUUUAAGUGUGUAAUACUUUUAAGUGUCUUCCAAACUUAAUGUUAAGUCCCAACUCCAAAAUUGUACCUAUAUUUUAUUUGUUAUAUUCUAUAACACAUAAAUAUAUAUGUUGCUAUGUUUUAAAUCAUAUUGAUUACAUUUGAUAUAGUUUUUUAGAACUUAAACCAAUCUCAGAACCAAGUGUUGAUUCUAAUUAGGUGUUUUAUUACCAAUUUUAUUGUUGUGAAAGUAUUAUUAUUAUUAAUCAUCGGUGGAACACUAUAACUAUUAAAAUUACGUUGCGGGUGUUCAUAUUCUUAAUAUUGAUAUCUUGUUGUUUUGUUGUCUUGUUAUUAUUGAUGUCUUGUUGUUGUUGUUGCCAUUUUUUGCUUUUAUUAUUAUUGCCUUACUGUUUAUUACUAUUUUAUGAUGUUGUUUACUUAUAUUAUUGUUGCACACAUUUUAAUGUUUUUGAACACUAUUUUUAUUGUUGCUUUAUGUUUAAUAUUUAAUCAUUUUUAUGAUUUUUGAAUGUAACCUCAAUUUCAAUAUUUUAUAAAAAAAAACUCGAUCCAAACCGAGCUGAAACCACAUAUAAUAUUUGGAUUGGAUCGGACAUCAUAAUAUAAAUAGACCAGACCGAACAAGACCAUAUAUUAAUUAUGUGUUUGAAUCAGAUCAUUUUCUACCUAAAAAUCGAUCCAAAUGGACCGCAGAUACCCCUAAUAUUAAGCGAUAGAGUUAUUAAAAGUUUUCUCAAUAAAAAAUGCUUUAAAAUAAAGUAAUUUAGACCAAUAGAUUCAAAACCUUUUAUAACAUAUCAAAUAGAAUAAUUUUCUUUCAAGUCUUUUUGUAAAACCGAAGAUUGGCCUUUAGUAUAAAAUAUCAAAUCCAUUGUACAAAUUGAAACUUCAAAAAAAAAUUGGAGUUGGCAAGGUUGAUGCUAAAAAUAGUUAACAGCAAAUGAAAAAACAUCCAAUAUGAAAAUCAACAGUUUAAGUUGUAUUAUGUGAAAAAUACAAGAGUGGGGAAAAAUGGAAGAACACAAAUAUUUAUUUUGCUUCACGCUUAAUCCAUAUGAGAGUUCGUCCAAUCACAAAGUCAUUUGUAAUUGAGGGUUUUCUUCCACUAUAUUUAGAGGUUUCACAGUCUCUUUUUACCUUGAUGCUAUAGAGUACUCUCGUAACAUCUUUAAAAAAUAUCAUUAUAAGUACACUCCAUCCUUCAGAGUCCUGAUUAUGCAGGUAUCUAUUACUCAAAAUUUUACGUCAUAAAUGAACCUUGAUAGAAAAACUAUAAUCUUAGUGCUCCUUUUUCAUAAAUUACAUCUUUGGUGUAGAAUGUAGGGAAGUCAUGUCUAUCAUGUAUGAUUUCUAGUGUUUCCGUUGAAAUAGUGGCUCUCAGCCACAUUUAUUAGGGAAAUUGUGCCUCAGAAGCGUGUCUCCAUUUUUUAUCAGCAAAAUUGAGCCUCAUACACCUGAUUUGCAUUUUUCUCCCAACAUUUAAGAAUUCGUUUACCUAAAGCAUGAUCUUAUUUAUUUAGAUUUCAGUGAAAUUGUGCAUAUGAAGCACAUCUCCAAUUUUAUCAUUAAAAUCAAAUCUCCUACAUCCUGAUUUCCAUUUUAUAUUUACACAAACUCUCCCGCAAUAAUACACAUAAACCAAAACCCUCCUACAUAAACACCAUGAAUAAUUGAGUAAAACGAGGUUGAUGGAGAUUAAGACGAAAUAAAAAAGAAUUAAAUCAUGUAAUUGAUUUUAGAGGAGAGGAAUCUCAAAUUUCAUUUCUGCAUUUCAAAUUCAUCAAAUCAAUAUGUUAUACAUUCCUAUUUGCAAUUCAUUAUUAAAACAUUUGAGUUUCCCCUCCUUUUCAAUUUUAAAGAUCAAUAACUUUUCACCGUUUUUGUCUUAAUCAUUAAAAUUUAAGUUCAUUUUUUCCCUUAUUCAUUCACUUAUUUGAUAUAGAAUUAUUACAUUUCUCACGUAAUUGUUGAAAUAUCAUAUGUGAUUCUUCAAACUGCAUAUUACACACUAUUGGUUUACACUGUGAUGUGCUACUAAUGGACAUGAGCAAAAUUCUUUUGGUUUUUCUAUGUUAGCUUCUUGACCAUCCUCUACCACAUAUUAUAGAAUGAUGGCUAUUUCAGUCACUCCAAACCACAUGCUAGCAGAAAUAUUUGCAACUUCUUUCUAUACAUUAUUCAAUCUCUUCAACGGUUUUUUAUCCAAUAUCAAUGAGUACCGUUGCCUAGUUCUUUAAGAUACAACUCUAGUUUCUAGUUUAGUAAUUUCAUUUAUAUAUAUAUAUAUCAUUAUUGGUUCAGAAAAUCCCAAUGUGCUAUGUGGUAGUCUUGGUAUUAUUAUAUAUGCCUAGUAGCAUAGACAAUAACAUAUAUAAAAAACCCACUUGUUAUGAAGAAUUAAUAAGCUAAGUAUUAGAACUAGAUGAUUAAUUUUUGAGAUUGAAGCAUUUGUCAAUAGAAAGGAAAAACCCAGAUCUGUCAUAUAUUAGUCAGGCUUUAAUUGGACCCGUAUAUGAGCGGGUUUCAUCAUAUCUAAGUUCGUGUUCAACCAAUUAACUCGGUCAAUAGUUAGAGUCAGGUAAGGGACAAGUCUUAUCCAGCUCAACCUAUUCACUACUCAUCCCUAGUAUAUCAUAUUAAAAAAUCUGGUGUAUUUCCUUUUAGAACAUAUAUGUUGUUCCACAAUGUGUCACUCCGUGUAUCAUGAGUUGUAAUUGGUUGAGAAAAUAUAUUGAAGUUAAUAUUUUAAAUAUUAAGUAUUUUUUGACCAAUUGUAACUCAUGACACAUGAAAUAACACAUUGUGGGAUAAAAGAUGUACUCUCAUUUCAUUCUAGCUAACAUAAUAAGACCUUCACCAUUUCUUCUAAUCUUUACCUUUCUUUCUUCUUUUUCCACAUUAAAAAUAUGAAUAAUACCCUUUCUAAAUAAUUGUAAAAUAUAUUAAUUACAAUAACGUUAUUUCAAUAAUUCAAAUUUAACAACUUCUCCUAAAAAAUCAAAUUAUCUCUCAUUUACUUUUUAUCUUUUAUUUUUAUACACAUACCAAAAAAUCAUCUGAAAACCAAAGAAAAAGUUAUUAUCAUAAUUUUGUUAUCAAAAUAUGGAUUUUUUUAAUCACUGUCUGAUAAGUCACUAAAAAUGUAAAGUCGAUUUCAAAAAACUAAACAUUUAUAUUAUUAAAAAUUAAAUAUAAAACUUUAACAUUUACGUUAGGCUUUUUAGUUACUUAUUGAAGAAUAAUGGUUAAUAAAAGAAUUACAAAAGAUAGAGAAAGUUGAUUUCAUAGUGUAAUUUGUUAGCUGAUUCAUAUUCUUUUCUUCUGCCAUAACUCAUGUAUUGCAAAAGGAUGUUUUCCUUUUAUUUACACUCCAAAUUUGGUUGUUGAACUUUGUAUUUUGGUCCUUUUGAGAUUUGUUGAGUUGGAGCUUGUGGUUCAAUUUCCUAACUAGUUAUUAGUGUUAGUAAUGCAUGACUUUUUUUUUUGUUGUACAAUAUUGAAGCUAGUUUGAAUAGAACUAAAGUAAUGGAAUAUGAGGUGAGAGAUAUUUUUUUAAGUUAUUUAUUUGUUAAAUUUAAAACUAAUAUUAAAUCUGCACCUUUAAUUUUUUUGAGUGUCAUAUAUCAAGAUCUGGGCGAGUAUUAUUCUAAUCAGGAGCAAUUGAUGUUGCAAUUGUUAAGUUUAAUAAAUUGAGAAGAUUUCCAUUUAAUUUAGAUAUAAUUCAUUAGGAAAGUGAAACUUUUCCGUAAGAUGAUAAAAACAUAAAGGAAAGAUAAUGGGGACCGGCAAUAAUUUGUCAUUAUAUGUGAGAGAGGAUUUCCAUUUAGUUCAUAAUUUGCAUAGUGUGAUAGUAGAAUGAAGAUCAAGAUAGAAUAAAUCUCAUACUAGGUCUAAAAGUGAUUUAACCAAUUAAAUUAUUAAUAAAACUGGAUAUGACAUUAUAUAAAAUUAAUAGUUGUAUAUAAAAUUAUAUAAUCAAAUGUUAGAGAGCAACUUUAGUUUGUAAUUUUAAUAUUUUAUAUUUGUUGUCAGGAAAACUCCUUUAAUCAUGUAAUAAAAAAUUAAUUAUGGGAAAUAUAUUUCAAAAUAAAUUAUACAACCCAAUAAAUAUAACUUAUGUAACAUUCUUGAUUUAGUUACUUUUGAUUAAAAAAGUUCAAUUAAUGGUUUUAAACAUAACAAUAUCUCAAACACGAUGCAAUACUCAAACAAUUGGAAUGUAGAUUUUAACCUGUGUAAUUUUUAGCACUCAUAUAAUUCGAAAAUGCAUUAUAUUUUAGUUUAUAGUUUUUGGUCUGUUCAAACCGGUCAACAGUGUAGUAAAAUAGAGGGUCAAGAGAGAAAUGAUGUUUGUGUGCAUUCCCCAAAAAGUUUAUCUUCUGACACAACUUUGAUAGGGGUUGAUGGUGGACCUUAUUUGAGAAAGAAAAGGGGUGUGUCUCAGGCUAAGAAAAGUUCUUUGUUUUCUUUACCUAUUAAAGAGAAGAGACAAGAUGGCAUAGCAUUUGGUGGUAAAUGUGUGCAUAGCGUAGAGACGACUGGUUUUGAUGAAAGGGGUGGGAGGCAAAAGGAGUCAUUUAGGGUUGGGAAGGAGGUAAAAGGGGUUGAACCGCGGGUCCUUAUGGCCCAACACGAACCAAACAUUCUUAAUGACAUGUAGAAUCUUUUUGUUGAUGUGGAGGAUGUUAGACAAGAGAUGGUCUCAUCUCAUGCUUUUAAUUGUAUUUCGUUGGGCCCUUCUCCAAAAGCCCAACCGAUUUGCUGCCAAAAUAAUAAUAAAAGGCCGAUUAUGCUACUAAAAAAGAAGGCCAAGGCUAUCACUCCUUCUUUUACCGUGGAUGAUUCUUCCAUUUUGGAAGUGGACAAUUCCUUUAUUGUGAGGGAUUUAGCAAAAUCUAAUAAAAAGAAUUUGUCAACUUUUGAGGUUGGCUCGUCCUCCAAAGCGAAGUGUAACAAAAUGUAACUGAAGUCUUCAAUGAACAAGGGUAACUCAAAAAAGAAGAUGGCCAAACGGUACUCUCAACCCAUUCCAUCAUUACGGCCUAGGGGUUUGGGGUUAAGGAAUUGUUUGACUAAGGGGACAAAAGUUAGAAGGAGGACAAUGUAUAAAGGUAUGGAUUCCAAUCUAUCCUUGGUUGAUAAUGCUCUUCUUAAUAAUGACAUGUUGAUGUAUGAGUCUGAUGUAGAUAGAAAUGGUAGCUUAGACACAAUAAUUAGCAAUUCUAUCACCGACUCUCAUGUUAGUUGUGCAAAUCUACUUCAUUUUAAGGGUGAUGAUGUUGUUGUGAGUAAAAUUUGGGAGAUUGGAAAGAAGUUAGGGGUUUCUUCUCUUGGAACAGAGGAGGAAAUGUUGGACAAAAUUAGAGAAUUGGAACUAAGAGACAAGGUUGGGUUUUCUAAUACUAACCAAUGGGAAGAGGGAGGUGAACCAUGAAUUGUGCUUCUAUGAAUCUUAUGGGGUUGGGGAGUACAGUUAAGAGAAGGAAGUUGAGAAGUAUUGUUGUGAAUAAUGAUAUCCAUUUUUUGGGAACUCAAGAAACAAAAUGGGAAGUGUGUGAGCCAAAUUAUUGUUAUGGUAUUUGGGGGAACAUGGAGUGUGAGUGGGAGUUCAUCCCGUCGAUUGAUCGUGCAGGAGGUAUCUUGAGUAUUUGGGAUUCUUCCAAAUUCUCAAGAUUAAGUACUCACAACGGAUCUGGUUUUCUUGCUAUGAUUGGGAUGUGGCUGCCUAGUCAAUUAAAUUGUUGCAUUGUUAACAUAUAUGCCCCAUGUAUUACUAGUUUGAAAAGGCAGCUUUGAGAGGAUUUAUUAGUGCUGAAACGAGGAUUGACAAUUGGGGCUUGGUGCUUUCUUGGUGACUUCAAUUCUAUUCAAAGUGCUUCAGAAAGAAGAGGAGGUUGUGGUGUGAGUUGCUGGAGGGAAAUGGCCUAUUUUAAUGAUUGGAUUAGAGAGAUGAAGCUCAUUGAUCUUCCUCUAAUUGGGAGAAGCUUUACUUGGUAUCAACCUGGAAGGGGAUUUAUGAGUAGACUAGACAGGAUUCUUCUGAUCAUUGUUCUAUUGUUCUUAAACAUAGGAAGAAAUCUAAAGCUGCUAUUCCAUUCAAAUUUAAUAAUUGUUGGUUGAAGCAUCCUGUUUUGUGGACUUGGUGAGUUAAUCUUGGUUGGAGACUAACAUCAUGGGUUGGUCGGCGUUUGUUGUUAAAGAGAAAUUAAAGUGUCUUAAGUUGAAGUUGAUAGCUUGGAAUCGAGAUUCGUUUGGUUGUUUGGAUACUAAAUUAGCCAAUUUAUCUGAGGACAUUCAGAAAUUUGAUCUUCUUGGUGAAUCAGCUUGUUUGUCUGAUGAUCAAAUUAUCACAAGGAAGAAGCUCUUGGCCGAUUGGUGGAAUUCUACUAAUCAGAGGGACAGUCUGUUGCUUCAAAAAUCCAGAAAUAAGUAGUUAAAGGAAGGGGAUGCCAACACAAGUUAUUUCCAUGCUUGUUUAUAUAAUAGGUGGAGGAGGAAUCAUAUUUUAGGGAUUUAGAUCAAUGGUGUUUAGUGUGAUGAGGAGAAGACUAUUUCAGAAGGGGUCACUAAUUAUUUCAAAUUCUUAUUUCACCAUACCCACAGUAAUAAUCUCACUAUUGAUGGGGUGGAGUUUCCUAAGCUUUAUGAUGUGCAAGUGAGUACUAUUGAUGGGGUCUUUUCCGAUGAAGAAAUAAAAGCUGCUGUUUGGAGUUGUGAAAGUUAUAAGAGUCUGGGACCUGAUGGGUUUAAAUUCAAGUUCUUCCAGGAGUUCUGGGAGCUAAUCAAACAUGACAUUGGCCUUUUUUCGAGAGAAUUUCAUGCGAAUGGUAAGAUUCUGAAAGGUUUGAAUUCCUCAUUUCUUACUUUGAUUCCAAAGAUGAAGAAUCCCAACAAGAUUCACGAUUUUAGGCCUAUAUCUCUUGUGGGAUCGUUAUAUAAGAUUAUUGCAAAAAAAUUAGUAGGAAGGUUAAAACAAGUUGCGGGCUCUUUAAUUUCCCCUUCACAAUCGAGUUUCAUUGAAGGUUGAUAUAUCCUUGAUGCUACGGUUGUGAUAAAUGAGGUUAUUCAUUCUGCUAAGAAACAAAGUGGUGGUUGCUUGCUUCUAAAGGUGGAUUUUGAAAAAGCUUAUGACUAAGUCAGCUGGGAGUUCCUUGAAUACAUGCUUGGCAGAUUUGGGUUCUCAGAUAAAUUGAGAUUAUGGGUUAAUGCUUGUUUCGCUUCAACUUCUAUGUCUAUCCUUGUAACUGGAUCUCCUUCUAUGCAAUUCUCAGUAUUAAAAGGUAUUAGACAGGGUGACCCUAUGGCGCCUUUUCUUUUCCUUCUGGUGGCCGAAUGUUUUGCCGAAUUGGUUAGAAGAGCGAGAGAAGUUGGGUUAUUGGAAGGUUAUAAGGUGGGAAGACAAAAUGUGAAAGUUAUUGAUCUUCAAUUCACAGAUGAUACUAUUUUGGUUUGUAAACCGACAAAUACUAAUCUUUGGUGCAUGAAGAGCAUUCUUAGAUGUUUUGAGUUGGUUUCUGGAUUGAAGGUGAACUUUCAUAAAAGUUCAUUGAUUGGUAUAAAGGUUGUUAAUACUUUUAUGGUAGCAGCAACAUCCUUCCUGUCUUGUAAGAUUGGUUCCACCCCCUUUAUUUAUCUUGGUAUUCCAGUUGGGGCUAAUCCUAGUAACUGUUCGACAUGGCAGAAUAUUAUUGAGAAGGUUUCUAAUAGAUUGGCCACUUAGAAGUGUAGGCAUAUUUCUUUUGGUGGUAGACUUGUUCUUACUAACUCUAUUCUAUCGAAUAUGCCCGCAUAUAUGUUUUCCCUGUAUAAGGCUCUGAAGAAGGUUAUCUCAAAACUAACCUCUUUGUAGAGGAGUUUUUUGUGGAGUAACAAAAGGAACCGAAAGGGGAUAUUGUGGGUUGCUUGGUCUGAUGUUUGUAAGCCCAAAACUCUUGGUGGGUUAGGGGUAAAAGAUCUUUCUCGUUUUAAUGAUGCUUUGUUAGGAAAGUGGAAGUGGAAAAGACUGGAGGAUCCUGAUGCUCUUUGGGUUGAUGUCAUUAAUUCCAAGUAUAACUUUGAGGGUGGUUCUUAUUUUUCUCGCUCGACUUCAAGGUGGUGGAGGGACUUGAUGAAGAUUGGUUCCUCUCUUUCUGCUGAUGUAACUGGUUGGAGGCGAAUAUUUGGAGGGAAGUUGGUGAUGGUUCUCAAACUUUAUUUUGGUUGGAUUUGUGGUUUGGUCAACAGUGUCUCAAAGACACUUUCCCGAGAUUAUUUUCGCUAGCGUUGGACAAGAAAGAAAAGGUGGCAGAGUGUGGGGCGUGGUAUAGUGGGAAUUGGAUCUGGAACAUUCAGUGGAGGAGACCUUUAUUUGAUUGGGAGGAAGAGACAGCUAGAAGACUUUAUGAUCUUAUUCAACAUAAUUCUUGUAAAAGUGGUGUUAAUGAUAGAUGAAAAUGGAAACUUGAUAAAUCUAGUUGUUAUGUGGUUAAAUCUGCUUAUCUUGCUCAGAUGAAUGUUGCGCCUUCUCAUACAGGUAAUAUUCUUAAUUUGAGUUGGAUUAAGUUUGUUCAUUCAAAGGUUUGUUGUCUCAUUUGGAAGGUGAUUAGAGGUAGAUUGGCUACAAAGUCUGAACUUGAAGGGAAAUAUUUUGGGGGAAGGGGAUCUUAGCUGUAGCUUGGGCUUGUUGCGUGACGAAAAUCUGGAUCAUUUAUUUCUCUCGUAUGACUUUGUGUCUACUGUUUGGAAGGGCUUUUAUUCUUGGCUUCAAGUUCAGGUUCUUAUCCCAAAUACCAUUGUUGAUUUUUUAGAACUUCACGCGUCUUUGUGUAAGUACGGUGAAGGGAAUUUGAUUUGGAGAAUGAUGUGGUUCACUAUGAUUUGGUGUGUUUGGAGUAUACAGAAUGAUGUCAUCUUUAGGGGAGAGCAACCUAGUUUUAUCCAAAUGUUAGAUUUGAUCCAGAUUAGAUCUUGGGUUUGGCUUUUUGACAAUGUUGCUCCUAAAUUCUAUUCCUUCGCACAAUGGUGCAUUGAUCCUAUUAUGUGUAUUAAACACUCUUGUAACCUGUAAUAGGGUUGACACCCCUUGUGCCGUUCUUUAAUUCAUUUGCUUAUAAAAAAAACAACAGUGUUUUAAUUUAAAUUUAUGAGUAAAUUACACUGACACCCCCUGAGUUUUAGUGAAAUUACACAAACCACCCCUGACUUUUUUACACCUACACAACCCCCCCCUAGUUUUUAUAAUUUCAUUACACUGACCACCCCUGCAUGAGAAAUAUGUGUAAUCUUUUAAACAAAAAAUAUGAUAAAUGCAAUUAAGUUAAACAAAACAUGAUAUAUUGUUGAGACAAGUCCAAAUAAUAUACAAAUCAAUGUAUUUCCGUUAAUUUUUGUUACAAAAUGCAUCAACAGUUCUAAAGAAAUAUUGUUUAAAUUGCUUUUAUACUUUAUCGUAACGAACCAAAAAUAAUAAAGAGGUAUUGACUUAUAUAUUAUUUGAACUUGUCUCCACAAUAUGUCAUGUUUUGGUUAACUUAAUUGCGUUUAUCACAUUUUUUGUUUAAAAGAUUACACUUAUUUCUUAUACAGGGAUGUCAAUGGUCGGUGUAAUGAAAGUAUAAAAAACAUAGGGUUUUGUGUAGGUGUAAAAAAGAGAUGGGUGGUUUAUGUAAUUUCACUAAAACUCAGGGGGUGUCAGUGUAAUUUACUCUAAAUUUAUUAUGUAUGGAUUGAUAUAGAAGUUGAAAAUAAAUCUUGACUUUAAUAAUUAUUGAGGAAAAAAUGUAUGUUGUGAUAGUGUAAGAGUUUUUUACACUGUCAUGGCAUAAUUCACGAUUCAUUUUCAAUUAUCAUUGACUCAUAAAUAAAAGAAAUACAAAUGAAUUGUGAAUGAUACGUUGAUUGUGAAUAAAGUUUCACACCAUCAAUUGAUAUUAUGCUCAUAAUUAUUUAUAUUAUAAAUAUGAAUUUACUUAUAUACGUUUUGUUUCAAGAAAUAAAAGUAACUAUAAAGGACAAUUACAAAUAAAUAAGGAAUUUAAAAGUAUGUAAUAAUUGAUAAGAAUAAGAUGGCUGGAUUAAUACUCCAACUCUUGAUUUAUAAAAUAUUGAUAUAUUCAGGAAUAAAAUAAAAUAAAAAAUUAAGCACUUUGAUAUGGACAAAUAUGAAAGAAAUAAUGCAUGGUAGAAAUAUUCAAUUAGUAUUUUAUAAAAAUUAACGUUAAACCUCAUGUACCUGUACUAAUGAUGGGAGAUAGUAUUAUGAACAGAUUCUAGUCAGAUCUCUUAAUUUACUAUAUGAAAUAGUUCAUAUAUAUAUAUUUUUAAAACAAAGGUGUCAACACACCCGAAAAUAUAUUAAGAAGAAAGAGACCAUUACAAACCCCUAAACCUAUAGUUAGGAAGAAGCAACAAAUUUCUAUGAAAAUCAUGCAACAAGAAGGAAGGAGGGGAUUCCCACCAAUAAUUCAAUCUAUAAUUCACACCAAAAUUAGCCAAUCUAUCCGCACAAGCAUUCCCUUCUCUAAAUAUAUGGGACACUUGCACUUGCAUAUCCAUCAUUAACCGGUUGCACUUGUUCAUAAGGUUGCUUAGUUUCCAAGGCACUUGUUUAAUGCCCUUGAAAAUGUCCACCCCCAAGGUUGAGUCAAACUCUAACCAAAUUAGAAACCAACCUUUAGAGUGAGCCAUUUGGAUAGCCAUAAUUGCAGCUAGAACUUCAGCAAAAAGAGAGUCUUGAAUGUUAAAGUAUGAAGCAAAGCAACCCAAGCAUUGUCCCUUACAAUCCCUGAAAAUAUCACCACCCCCUGCAUGCCCCGGGGAUCCCUUAGCUGCACCAUCAGUGUUGAUCUUCACCCAACCCAUCAAGGGCAGUGCCCAAUUGACCUCAGUAAUUGUAGGAGCCUUGCUAUACUUGCCAUUCACCUGGAAAGCUCUUAGGAUUGAGAAUUCCAACAAGGAGGACUUAGCACAACAUUUGGUGAAGUUGCAUGUGAAAGAAGUAUUCAACUUGAUCAUCUGAAUUGCUUGGGCAAAGCUGAUUGAAAUGUUAUCAAAUCUAGACUUAUUUCUGUAGAGCCAGAUAACAGCAAUUGAGUUGACAAUGGCAGAGAGUAUCACCUGCUUCAAUUGAGGACUCCAUUGAGAGGAUAUGGACAGGAUGCUCUUGAGAGAAGCAUGAUCUAUGCAGUAGCCGAAUUGAGUGCUUAGCCAGUUCCAAAUCAGCUUAGCAAAACCACAGUUGAAGAAGAGAUGAGCAGAAGACUCCUCAUUGGACCAACACAGAUUACAUAUAGAAGGCAAAGCCAUUCCCCUCAGCUUCAGAUUUUCAUCAGUUGGCAUUCUGUUUUUAUAAAGCCUCCAAGUGACAAAAGACUUAGAAGGAGGAAUAGAGAUAGACCACAGACUGAUGCACAUAUUGUCCUGUUGUUGAGAAGGUUUGGUGAAGUUUUAAGCUUCUUUUGAAGUUAGAAUCCCAUCACUGGUGUGAAGCCAGGCCAACUUAUCAGGCAGCUGAGAAGCAGGAAUAGGGGUUCUCAAUAUAUGAUGACAAACCUCAGGAUGAGUCCUAGUCAACCAGGAUGGGAUUAUCCAGGCCGAGUCGUGAAUGAAGUCAUGAAUCUUGGCUAAGAGAGCAGAGGAUAUUUGAUUAGGGAUGCCAAGGAGGUCAACUAAGGUUUUACCCAACCAAUUAUCCCCCAAAUAUCUUAUGCUGCUCCCAUUGCCCAGCAACCAAAUAGAGUUUUCUAAGAUGACAUGCCGAUGCUUCUUUAUGUCGGGCCAUAUGGAUGACUUUAUGUAGGAAGUCUUAGGCUCUUUAUUCCUGCAAAAUCUACUCCUAUAGUAAUUAGUCCAUUCUUGUGAAGAGGAGUUCAUUUCCCAAGCCAACUUAACCAUUGAUGCCUCAUUUAACAACUUGAUUGAUCUUAUCCCAAGCCCACCCUCUUUGAUUGGGCAACAGUCUUUGUGCCAAGCAACUGUGACUAGCUUCUUGACCUUAGUAUCUCCAGACCAGAUGAAAUUCCUUAUGCAACAGUCCAUUCUUUUUAGCAAAUUGACAGGCCAACUAUAGAUAUGAAAACUAUAAACUAGCAUAUUGUGGAUUAUAGACUUAACAAGCUCCACUCUACCCAUAAUUGAGAGACAACAACCUUUCCACUUGGCCAACUUAUNNNNNNNNNNNNNNNNNNNNNNNNNNNNNNNNNNNNNNNNNNNNNNNNNNNNNNNNNNNNNNNNNNNNNNNNNNNNNNNNNNNNNNNNNNNNNNNNNNNNCAGGAAGUUAACUUUCCAAUUUUUCUAGCAUUAGCCUGGGUAGAGAAGAACUUACACUGGCUGAGAUUUAAACACCGACCAGAAACUUUGGCAUAGUUAUUGAAUAAGUCCUUGAUUUCUAACAACUCUCUCUUGAUUCCUCUGCAGAAAACCAGAAUGUCAUCAGCAUAGAGAACAUGACUAGGGGUUGCAAUCCUAGGUCCAACAAUUGUUCUAAAUUUCCCCUUAUCCAGCAACUUAGUUAGCCCUCUGCUGAUCACUUCUUCAGCCAAACAGAAAAGAAGAGGGGAUAGGGGAUCCCCUUGUCUAACACCUCUCUUGCAGCUAAAGUACCCAACAGAGUGCCCAUUCACAGAGAUAGAGAGUUUAGCAGAUUUUAGGAUAACUUCAAUCCAAUGAAUGAAAGAAUUGGCAAACCCAAAAGGCCUUGAGAGUGUCCAUAAGGAACCUCCAAUCAAUAAUAUCAAAGGCCUUCUUGACUUUGAUUGCUAAAUUUCCACCAAGAGUUUUAUGAUCAAGAAGAUUAAUUGCCUCAGAAGCUAUAAAUAUGCAAUCAUGGAUGUGCCUAUCUUUGAUGAAGCCUCUUUGAUGUUGAGAUAUAAUUGUAGGAGCAAUUUUAGCAAGCCUGUCAGCCAGGACUUUGGUGAUUACUUUGAAUUGGAAAUUUGCUAGAGCAAUUGGCCUGAAAUCCUCAAUUUUAUCCGCCGAGGGGAAUUUGGGAAUUAGAACAAGGUUAUUAGAGUUGAGAUUAGGAAGAAUCCAACCCUGAGUGAAAAACUGCUUCACAGAUUGGCAAACAUCAGGUGCUUAUGUAUAUAUAUACAUUUUAAUUUAUAUAUAUAUAUAUACAUUUAUUUAUAUUUGAUCAGGUGCUUAUGUAGCUGGUAAAUUUUAAUUUACUAAAGUAAUUAUACAAAUGUAAUGAGUGCAAGACUUAGAUGACUUAUUUGAGUAGCUAUUAUUUAAAUGAAUUUUAUUUAACUUACCCCAGAUAAUACUAUUAUUAUUUACCAUUGUCCUUAUUGACUAAAAACAUUUCAAUGCAAAAAUGAUUUUGACUGCUCAACACAAAUUUUGAGAGAAGAACCAAGAGGGCAAUUAAGAAAAUUGAAAUGUAAAGUAGCAUGAAAUUACAAUGUGUAGAAUUAUUACAUGCAACAACAAAGUAUUACAUUAGAUAUUUGUUUGAAAUGAAACUAUGGGACACGAUGACAAGAGAAUACUCGCAUAAUUAGAGCCCUCGUCCCCUUCCCUUUAUUAUCAUUAUUCAAUGCUACAUCACUUUCAUACAUAGUAUCUUGCACUAGAAAUUUGCUAUGGUGCCUCAUCUUCCCCACCACAUCAACUCUAAUCUUCAGAACUUGAUGCUGCAAUAUUGCACAAACCAAUAAAUAAAUGAAGUGAUAUAAUUAACAAAUUUAGACCAAAAAAUAAUCUAUGCUCAUGAGAAGUACUUUAGGUUUAAUUCUAUUAAUUGGCUAAAUAUCAGUAACUAGCUAACAAAAGAGCAUGAAUGCAUACACAGGAUAAUGAUUUUUCUCUCACAUACUUGUGAGAGCUAUGCAUCAGAGUAAUUUCAUCAAAACCCUUUUAAAUUUUUUUUAUGGGUGUUAUUAUUAAUCAUUAUUUCCAAAAAUUCAAGGCAUUACGCCAAAUAUAUAAUUGAUGGUUGUUAAGAGAUAAUAAUAAUGUGGUUAGAAGCUUAGCUCCAUUCAUCCAUUUGUGUGGGUGUUAUCAUUUUAUUAACAUUUAGAUGAAAAACUUGACAACUUCCUUAAAAAAGGUAAGUAACAAGAUAAGGACAUUGUGAUGCAACAACAUAAGGAAAUUUUGAGGCAUCCUAUCUUUCCUUAAAUUACCACAAAUUUCUAUUUUGUGCUUAAGUUUAAUUAAUUUAAACAAUAAUUAGUGAAUACAAGAGAUUAUCAUAGAUAAUUUUAAUAGCAUAUCAUAAACUAAUUCAUUAAAAAUAUAAGUAGUACCAUAUAGUUAUUUAGAUCUAUUAGAACAACACUCUGUAUUAUUUUUAUUUGUUCUUUCAUUUUCACCUAACAACUCACAGAUAGCUGAAAAUAGUAUAGUUUGAUUAUAAGGUUGUCACAGAUAGCUGCAAAUAGUAUAGUUUGAUUAUAAGGUUGUAUAAAACAUGUUUCUAAUUUUAGGAAAUUAUACUUCUAAUCCUUCUUUAUAAAAUCAUCUUGUGGUAUUUCAUGUGAAUGUUAAAAUAAUCGAUUAAUAUCCCUAUGAUAUUAAAUUUAUAGUUGAUAGAAAUAACAUACGUAUUACAAUUAGUGGAUGUGCUGAUUUUGUAAGGGAGAUUGACCCCACAUUUGCCCGGGAGUGAUGCUGCAUUCUCCGGAUUGAAUUGGGUCGAAGCAGCCACGGAUUUGAGGCAAUUGCAUGCUGUUUGUUUGUCAGCGGUGCUUUGAGCCAACGCCACAAGUCCCUUGACUCCGUUGCAGCAUGUUCCAGGAACAGCUCCACCGGACUGCAGGUAAGUGAGGCAUGGAGCUAUGCCACUAACAACCUGUCCGCAUGUUAUGGUAGCCUGUGCAAUGGGUGCACCCACCACUACCAUGCACAUCAGAAUCACACAUGUUACCUUAAUGCUUGCCAUUACUUUACAAACUAAUUUGUAGUGUAUUUGAUUUUGUAUAUUGCUUACUUUACUUGGUGAGUAUAUGUGAUGCAUAGUAUGGGUUUAUAUAGAAAACAAAAGAGGAGUUUUAUGAAAUGAUAGUUUGAUGUGGUAUACAUAAUUAUUAAUUAUAUAUAAGGUUAUGUUAUAUGAUAUUUAUUCCAAUUUAAAACUAAGACAUUACUCUAAUAUAAUUAUAAAUAAUUAUUAAUUUUAUAUAAGAUUGAUAUUAUACAUAAUAUUUGACAAGGUUUUAUAUUGGGUGUCGACUGCCUAAUAUAAUUUUUACUUUUUUUCUGAAUUUAAUUAGGAUUAACUACGUAUAAUAUCAAGAAAGUUUUAUUUCCUAACCCAUAAUUUAUAAUUAUUGUUUAUUAAUAGGAUAAAAGAUUUAUUAUUAUUUAUUAAUUAUAUAAAAGUUAUCCUACGCGAUCCAAGAUCUUAUUUGAUACGAAGCUCCGGAUUGUUACCAAAGAUGCAUGUGACAGUCAUGGGUUUGUUAGUAGUUGGAUCCCAAUAAAUGUUCUAUGGUGCAUUCUCUUGUCUUUGAGCACCUGGUCAAAUAUUUACGUUAGAUAAUUUAUUUCCCGGCACUGAAGUUUAAUCUCAACUUCUCAACUAUAUAUAUCUACCGUGAUUUUUACAAUGUACAACACUACAACUUUCUUAAUAGAAGAAGAAAUAUUCCAACACAUUCUCUUUCUUGCCUUUUUUUCUUCUCUUUGCUGCCAAGAAAAAAAUUAUAAUAUAAUUGUACGUCCAAUAUUCCCCACAAUUAUUGAAAUCAAACCGGCAGAGGUUGAAAGGAAUGGUGAAUUUAUUUCUAUUUACAUUCUUCUAGAUAUUGUCUUUACUUGUUGGAUCAAGUUAGCCUCUUAGGUCAUCAAAUUGGUUUGUUAUUUAUUUAAUGAUAUUCACAUGAAUUGCGUCUAAAAACUAGUUAUUUUUAAAAAGAAUUAUUUCCAUUACAUAAUUAUUAUCAUUGUAUAUUGUUUUUGUAGCUUGCAAUAAAUUUUAAAAGACAAGAAAGAAUAACUACUAAUUGAGUCACGAUCAAGUGAUUUUCUUUAAGAUGUUUCGUGGGGCUGUCCCCUUCUUGGAAUUAAAAGGUAACAUUUACCAUGCUCUAGUUAGAGAGUAUUAUGCCAACUUUAGAUACAAAGAUGGGAAGUAUUGGUCAAUGGUUGCUGGAAAACUGUUUGAGAUUAAUGAAGACAUUUUUGUGAACGUGGGUGGUUUAUCCUGUACUGGUGCUAGUUUAAGUGAUUGUGGUUGGGCAGACAACAACCCUUUUGACCCUGUUGAAAUGUAUAAAUCUUGUUUGCGUAGACCUUAGUUAUAUGUUCAGGGUGAGUUGACCAAAGCUGGGUCGCUGUCUGUAGAGAAUAGGCUUCUACACUACCUGAUUGCCUAUAUUCUGUUUCAGAGAAACACAAAUCAUGCACAACCUACAAUGAAUGAUUUGAGAUUCAUGUUUGUUGUGAAGGAGAACAUAAUGAUUAGUUGGCCUGACGAGAUUCUAAAGGUCAUGUAUAGCGUCUCCACUUCUCAAUCAAGGUUGCUUCCCUAUAGUAUCUUCAUAUCACGAGUUAUUGAUUAUCUACAUAUUGAUGGUUCAGAUACUAUAAUGAUGGAUUGUUCUGACAAGGAUCACUUGAUUGGUGAAAGUCUGAUUCAUAAGAUGGGUAUUUACAAGUAUGGCAACACAUGACAAUAUCAAGAGGACUUCAACACUGUGAAUCUUGACCCCUCUGGUGAGGAUGAGCAAGAUGAUAACCAAGAGCCAUUUGCUGCUACUUAGGGGGAGUCUUUAGGACAUGCAUCACAUGAACUGGCUUUCGGACAAGCCUACUUGGAUGCUAUGGAACAACGUCUCAACAAUAGGAUGGAUCUCCACUUCCAGUCUCUAAAGGACUCAUAUCAUAUGGAUCUGGAGAAUUUUGAGGAGCAUCAGAAUGCUUAUAUUGACAACUAUUACCAAUCUUUGAAGAACUAUGUUCAGACCACUGCUGACUCAAAAACUAGAAGGUUGUGUGCUGAGUUCAACAAGCUGAGUACCUUCAUCAAGGGUGGUAGUAGCUCGCCGAUUCUUGACAACCAAAACCCUCCAUCUCAUCCUUAGUUAGGAGACCUUAGAGCCUUAGUUUUAUCCUUCCUAGCUAAUGGACUUUGUUGUUCCUUCUUCCCUCUUAAGAACUUAUCUUUUGUUUUGCGCUUUUGUUCUUAUUAUGGAUUGUAAUAACUCUAAAACUUCUGCUGAGUUACUGCUUUAAAAUUUGACAUUGCUUUUGGUGUAUGUGUUAAUAUUGAAUGAUUAUGCCUACUGCUAACUGCUCAAAUAUGUCAAAUGCUUAAUCAUUCCAUGCUUAAUUUGAAUAAACAUAGCCUUUCAUGCCAUUAAAACUGUUCUGUUGCUGCUUGUUGUCCAUUUAAUCGAUUAAGACCUGUUGUUAAUCGAUUAAAUGUUGUAUAAAUGUGCAUUUGUUCAAGCUUCUUACAGCUGGUUGAUUGAUUACACGCCCAAAUUAAAUGAUUAAUUACAGUCUAUCAUAACUAUAAUAAUUCUUCUGACUUUUUACUAGAAUUGAAUACUUGUAUCUUUUUGAUAAUGUCAAAAGGGGGAGAAAUGUUGCUUGUUGUGUUACAUGUAUUUUGCAGGUUGUGUAAUAGCCGUUGCAUGCUGUUAUAUAUAGCUUCCAUAAUAUGAUUGCUUACCUAAGGGGGAGCAAAUGCGCUUCAACUUUGUAUCUUUGAAAAACAACCAUAAACAACAAUUAUGCAAACUCAUCAUCAAGCUAAUCAAACGUUUUGAACAAUUUUGAUGUGGUGUUUGUCAUCAUAAAAAAGGUGGAGAUUGAAAGUGCAAAGUGUCAAGGAUAACACUAGCAAUGCUUUGCGUAUGUUUUGAUGAAGACAAGGUUCUAUUAAAGCUUGAAGAUGGCUCAACAAUCAACAUGCCUAAUGCUCAUUUCGUCAUAUCUAGACUAGGAUAGAAAUAGAGUCAUUAUUCUAAGUAGUCUGGGAUGUGUGUCGUAGUAAGUGAGUAUAGGUGAGGUGAACCUAGGUGCAAGUCUCUCAAGCCAUCUUAAUUGUCAUAUCAUAUCUAUGAGACAUAUCAUCUAGUUAAUUGUAUGUUCAUGCAUCUAUCAUACAUGUUAUAUGUGCAUAUUAGGCAUAAUAUAAUUGGUAGAACAUGUAUAUAAGUUGUGCAUAACAUAUGAGAAGUUUACCUUUUGAACCAUGUAUUUUAAUAUGCAGUUAAUCGAUUAACGUGGUGACUUAAUCGAUUAAUUUAACUGCUUUUAUGUUAAAUCAAUGUUUCUGUUACAACUGUUUUCUGUUUCUUUCUGUUGCACUUGUUAAUUGAUUAACGGGUAGCCUUAAUCGAUUAAAAGAUCUAUUAUUUGGUAUAACUGAUUUCUUUUUUAACCGUUUAACUGUUUGCAACGAAUCCAACUGUCAAAACUGCUUACUAUAAAUAGAGGCAACUUCCAGAAAACUAUAGCAUUGCAUUCUAUAGGGCUGAUUUUAGAGAGCAUAUUUCGUUCUGUUUUUACUGCUUUUUGCAAGAGAGUUGCAUGUGUGAGAAGAGAGUUAUCAUGCUGAAUUGAUUUCUGGUUUUGCAUACUUUUUCACACUUUCUUAUGUUCAUUCUUAUCUUGCUCACAUGUUGAUGCAUUAUUUGUAAUUAUUGAUAGAGAGAUACUUUGAUUUAUGUUUUUGAUUAACUCACAUGUUCUUGAUGGCUUGAGUGAUUAGUGAGUGGGUUAGUCUUAAGGUCUUUUACUUGUAAUAUUUCAUGCAUUAUUGUGCUUAUAAUACCUUGCUGUUUUAACCUUUUUUUUUGUGUUUCUGGAUUGAUCUCUUGGUGUCGUACCACCACAGAGAUUGGGAUUCUUCACCAAGACUAGGAGGUCUUAAUUUGAGGACAAGAAUAUUGGCUAGGGCUGUUUCGCGAGAAAUAUUUUCUCAGGCGAAAGGUAGAGUCAAACCAAGGGUUUAGGGGUCCUAGAUUUCAAGAAAGAAGCGUCCUAUUUUCUUGUAAUUGAAUUGGUGUGUGUAAUCAUACGUUUACUCAAUAUUGUGAAGAAAAAAAUCUCCCAAGAUCAGAAGGGGAGGCCUGGAUGUAGUUUGCAGUAGACCGCAAACGAACCAGGAUAAAAAUCCAUCUUUGCACGCUUUUCUCUCCCUUUACUUUUCUUGCUGUUUCAAUUUGAAUUUAUAGCUGAUAUUUUGCAUAUGUUUUUUUACUGCCAUAUGCUUAUUAAUAGUGCUUAAAAAUAUCUAUUUUAUCUCUGUUCAAUUGAUUUUAAAUAACUGUGCAAUCUGCCUCUCUGAUAAUUUUAUUCUGUGCAUGUGUUAAUCGAUUAAGACUAGGUGUUAAUCGAUUAACUGGGCUGUUUCCAGAAAUUGGGUUUUGGUGCAAAAAGCGGUGAUCGAAAACCGCAACACCUAUUCAACCCCUCCCUUCUAGGUGUUCCUAGGCCACUAAUACCUAACAAUUUUAAUGAUCUGCAUGGAAUGAUAGAUAACACAUAAAAUGAUUAAUGAUAUUAUUUGAGAACAUUUUAAAAUCUAUUUAAAUGUGUAAUUACUACAUAUUCCAUUUAUUAUAUUUAAAAUGUUUUUCAAAGUUUCAUAACAACUUUAAUACAUAAUUUUAAAGUAGAAACUAAAUUGUCAUAAUUAAUGACAAUAAUUCCUUAAUUAUAGGAAAAGAAACAUUUGGGAACUAUCAACUUUUAUUUUUAAUUAGUAUUUAAAAUAAUUAAUGAUUAAUCUAUGAAAUAAAUCAAAUAUCAUCAAAUUUUCUCAUUAAUUUUAAUAUCAUAGUUUAUUUUAUUAAUAAUAUGAUUGAAUUCCUGAUAUUAAUGCACUUUAAUGAUAUUAAAUGAGAAUAUUUUAAGAUUUAUUUAAAUAAUUAGAAUUAAACAUUGUUAUUUUUAUGAAAUAAAUUCACUAUAUAUCAUUUUAAAGCUAGAUAAAAUAAUUGAAUAACAAAAAAAAUUCUUAUUAAUUGUAAUAUAAUAGCCCAUUCUUUCUAUUAAUAAUAACAUUAGAUUUCUACUAUAAGUGAGGCUCGAACUCACAACUUUCUUAAUUACAUUUCUUAAAUUUUUUCACCUUAAUCAUCCUACCAACUUAUGACUCACAAUCAUCGUUAUAUAUUUGUUAAUAUUAUUAAUUACAUUAUAUAUUCAAUAAUUGUUACGAAGAUUCCUUAUAUAUUUCAUAAUUGUUCUAAUAAUUUACUGUUAUUGUUUUUAAUUUUCUUAAUCUACUAUCUUUAAUAUUUUGUUUAUGUUAUAUUUCAUAUUGUUACUAUUAUAAUAUAUCAAUUGUAAAAUAUAAUUACAAUUUUAUUAAUUACAUUAUAUAUUCUAUAAUUGUUUCGAAGAUUACUUAUAUAUUACAUAAUUUACAUGUUCUUUAUGAUAGGUCUUGGUUUAUAUUGUUAAUUGUAACGCCCCGAAAAUUACUUCAAAAAAAUCUUGCGCAAAAAUGGGUAAUUUUUUUAAUAAUGAUGCCAUAUAAAAUUUAGUUCCUUAUAUUCGUUUCAUUUUCGGAACAUCACUUUAAGUAACAUACAAUGCAGAAAAUAAAAAACACCAUUACCUAAAGGUAAUAAAAAUAUAACUCAAUAUAACUUUGAAUCAUACUUCAUUAGAAUAUCAUGAAAUGUUGGUACGAAGUACAAGGCGGAANNNNNNNNNNNNNNNNNNNNNNNNNNNNNNNNNNNNNNNNNNNNNNNNNNNNNNNNNNNNNNNNNNNNNNNNNNNNNNNNNNNNNNNNNNNNNNNNNNNNGAAAAUCAAGGUGCUCAACCAGGUAGCUAAGCGUGGAACAAGCCCCGUUGAGCUGAUCUGGCCACCUGCCUGACCUGGCCACCUUCCUGACUUAGACCAGACUGCUCUACCAGCCAGCUGAGCGGACCUGCUUAGCCGCUCAGCCUAGCACCAGACUAGGCCUGGCACGGUCAGAAAUAUGCUUGACACGGUCAGACACGAGCUUGGCACAAGCCAAGCUGCUGAACAAGCUGCUCAGCAGUCAAACCAAGCUGCUCAGUGGAGAACCAGACUCAUGGCCAGAUCAGCAAGCACCAAACCACGUCCCAGUCAACACGGUCAGAAGCUGUUGAACAAGAAGCUCAGCUGUGAAGCAGGUGCGCUGGGAGGUGCUUACCAGACUUGACUUAACCAUCAAGCAAACCAUGAAGUCAUCCAUGAACUCACCUCAAGUAGUCCACCAUAGGCUUUUCAGAAGUAGGUCACAAUAGCUGGUCUCAUAGCCCACAACUAGCUUUGGUGAGUCAUGCACAAGGAGGUGACUAAGCUACUUGGUCAAGGGACCAAACACAUGCUGAAGGGUUUGGUCAGCUACUGAGNNNNNNNNNNNNNNNNNNNNNNNNNNNNNNNNNNNNNNNNNNNNNNNNNNNNNNNNNNNNNNNNNNNNNNNNNNNNNNNNNNNNNNNNNNNNNNNNNNNNUGAGAAGUACUUAAUGCUCUUUUUAGAUUGAUCACCUAAAAAAUGAUUUCAAGUCAAAACUACUUGUCUCAAACACUUAACAAAUAAACGUUGGAGUAGUUGUACUACUUAGUUUAUUUGCCAAGUUAAGCAUGUUUUUCUUAAGAUCUUACAUUCAUCACUCAUUCAAUAUUAGAGUCACCAAUGGUUAGGGUGUGACAACCUAAUCUCUUUUAUGGUCUUGGUAUUUUUUAAGUGAUGAAUAUAAGUGUUUAUGAUUCUACCAUUUUGGGAUAUACACUAAAAGGAGGAUUUUAGACCUUGGUGUUUGGGGAUAACCAAAGUAAAACAUAAGAACUUGUCUAAGUAGUUCAAACUCAAAAUGAAGAUGAGAAAUAUGUUUUCUUAUUCAAAAAGAUUUUGUCUCCUCAAGAAUUUGUGAAUAAUUAGUUUGUCGAUUUCGGGAACCAGAUUCAAUCAUUUGAGUCACGGUCUUUCCCAAGGGUAAAUACACUUCACACCCAAGCUAGGGCUAUUGCCUCUAACAAAGCAAUUCCUUAAUUUUAUUAUUUUAAAGAAUUUCAUAUAGUUAUUUACCUUUAUAACUUCUUGAUGGAAAACAUGCCAUUAGGCUCUCGUAUAUAUGAGAGUUCUCAUUCAUACGACUUAAAAAGAAGUCAUGUCUGUAUGGAGGUCACUCGCUCUCGCUCAAGCUGUCUCGCUCAAGCGGGGGCACAUCCAUUUUUGAGGCAUUUGUGGCUUAAGCGAGAGCUGUCUCGCUUAAGAGAGAAAACAAUCAGUUCUCUUGGUGCCUAUUUUAGCUCAAGCGAGAGCUGUCUUGCCCCGAGCUAAAACAUUCGGUUUCUCUAUACACUUCUCGCUCAAGCGAGAGCUAUCUUGCUCAAGCGAGAGCUGUCUUGCUCAAGCGAGAAGAACCUGAUUAUCAUUUUAAUUACUUUUCUCAAGGAAAAUAUUUCUCAUUUAUAUCACAUGUUUUUAAACCUUGAAUUUAUUAAUUGUCACAUACAUAUCAUUCCCAUAAUAAUCAUUCAAACAUUAUAAUUCAAGAGUAAACAUGAAUGUGGUAUUUGCAUAUAUAAACAUAACAUAAAUCGGUAUAAGAAAUAUUGAUGUACUUAAUCCAAACAAACAUGCAAUUGAUUAUUAAGUACAAGUUUUUUUAAUACCCAAGGCAACUCCAAACUUGUGAGGGAUUUUGGGUACCGGAUCGAAAUUCUCCACUGUUUUCAAUCCCAAUGCAUUUUAGUUUCUCGAAUGGUGUUCCUUCAUGGAUAACAAAGGUCAAAAACUACAUAAAGGUUCAUAUGAAGUAUGAGAAGAAGAUGAAGAAGAGAAAAUAAAAGACUACCUUAGUUUGUAUAGGAAAUUUAGUGUAAAAAUNNNNNNNNNNNNNNNNNNNNNNNNNNNNNNNNNNNNNNNNNNNNNNNNNNNNNNNNNNNNNNNNNNNNNNNNNNNNNNNNNNNNNNNNNNNNNNNNNNNNUGAUGUGUCUAAUGGUGGUGGAGUGAGAGGAUUUGUUGAGUGAUUUAGGGGAUUUUGUGUAAGAUGAUAUGUACUUUUACUUGUUUAACAAGCAAGCUUCUUACAUGAAAGUGAUGUAACCUUUUUGAUGACACAUUCUCGAUUAAACCAUUCCCGUGUAUUGUCGGUUAAUACCCGGCCGGAUAAUAAAAAUCUCUUAAUUUCGGUUUAUGGUUAGAACUUCGAAACACGGAAUUCGGAGUGAAAGUAAUUAGAAAUGCGUUAUGGACAAACUUGAUAUCUAUCUUGACUCGAAAUAAAAUUUCAAAGCCAAUGGCGCAAUCGGAAUUCAAUUCCGAGGUACGGAACUCAAAAACACGUUAUUGGGUCGAAUACGGGCGAAUUUGGGCUCGACAACUGCUCAAAAACUUUCCGUCACAGAAAAUUAUGAACAUUUACCACAAAAUAGGAAAUCAGAAAACAAGACUAACACUCAACUACGGUUUAGUCUAAUUCAAUACCGAUUAAUUUCGAAAAUUAAUCGUUGUUAAAAUAAAUAAUUAAUAAAACAUGCACAAAAACUUCAUGGUGUUACAUUAAUUGAUUCUUUCAAUUUUGAAACUGGUCUGCAUAUUUAUAUUUUUUUUUGUAACUCAAACAAAAAAUUCCAACUAUUCUAUUUCUUCAUGAAUUUCGUUUCAUAUGUUAUAAUUCAACCAAUUUAUAUCCAUAAUGAGAUUUGUUUAAAAUAUGGAAAUCAUAAAUAAUUUAAUCAAAAUAUAUUUCCUAUUAUUAUUAUUAUAUUGCAAUUGUAAAAUAUAAUUAUAAAUUCUGUAUAUACUCCUUCAUUACAUUAUAUAUUUCAUAAUUGUUACGAAGAUUCCUUAUAUAUUCUAUAAUUGUUACGAAGAUUCCUUCAUUUAGUUGUUCUUUCUGAUAAGUCUUGGUUUAUGUUGUUAAUUAAUUCUUUCCAUUUUGUAAAUGAAUCGCAAAUUUAUAUACUAUUUCUGUAACUGGUACAAAAACUCCAAAUAUUAUAUUUCUUCAUGAGUUUUGAAUCAUGUGUUAUAAUUAUAUCAAUUUAUAUCCAUAAUAAGCAUUGCUUAAAAUUUGAAAAUCAUAAAUAAUUUAAACAAAAUAUAAAUCAAAUCAAUUGGUUAUCACAUUCAAAAUUCAUUAGUUAUAUUUCUGCAAAUUUAUCUCCAUAAUGAGGAAUGCUUAAAAUUUUGAAAUCAUAAAUAAUUGAAAUCAAAUAAAAAUAAAGACUUUAUUCUUCUCCGUAUAUGGGAAUGCCAUAAUAUCUAGAAGCAAAGAAAUGAAAAAUGUACUUUAAACACGGAUUUAUAAAAUAAUAAUAAAUCUACAAAACGAAUAAAAAAUACACUUUAAAAAGGAUGGUUGGAAGAGAAAGAAUAUGACGAUAAUGAAGAGACAUAAUGAAAUGAAACCAAAGAAAAUGAAGAUUGUUGGGAGAGAAAGAUUGUUGAAAGAGAAAGAGAAAGUCAUGGAUCUCAAUAACAAUCUAAAUGCAAUUUAAGGUGUAGUCAUAAAAAAUACAAUAAUUAUUUAUUAAAUUGUUACUAUAAUCAAGAAAGAGCAAAUAUAGUAUGGAAAUAUACAUAUGAUUACCAUGAAACCAUUUAGUAGGGAAAAAAUGAAGGAGAAUGUGACAUGUGGCAAAUGAUAAGGUGAUAGGAGUUUUUAUUUUAUUUUAUAGUUCAUAGAUUUGUGUGGUGUAAAAGAUAGAAUGAACCUCAAGAUAAAAUAAAUCUUAUAUUAGGUCUAACUGAUUUAACCAAUUAAAUUAUUCUAUAAAAUUGGAUAUGACAUUAUAAAAAAUUAAUGGUUAUAUAUAAAAUUAAUGAUUAUCUAUAAAAUUAGUAGGAUACCCGUGCAUUUGCACAGGCGAAGUGUUUUAUUGGGGAUAUGAAUUUAAAGAAUUGAAUUUCAAGGUUGUAUAAUAAAAAGGAAAGAAGAUUUUUUUAGGAUGUAAUAGUUUUUUUUUUUGUUUCUUACAGGUAUCCUCGCACUGGAUUCAAUCAUGUCUGAGUUAAGAACAUACAUAGGUAUGUGAGGCUAAUUCUCCCAGCGUGUAUUUUUUUCCAUCAACAAGACUCGAACCCGAGACCAUGCUUAAAGGGAAUCAAGCAUGUACCACUUGAACCAAAACCCAUUGGUUCUCACUUUCCUUUAUAUCUCCAUUUCAAAACUCUCUCUUAUGAUGUAAUAGUUUGUAAAUAAUUAAUGUAUUUUAUAUUAAAUAUGUAACAUUGGAGGUUGAUAGUUUGUAUUUAACCUCAUAAAAUCUAAAUAAAUGACACAUUAGAGUUUAAGAAAAAUAAUAAUGUAGUCUACGAAUCUUAAAGUAGAAGAAAAUGUUAUAGGUUUUGGAAAACUUCCUUGUAAACAACAUUUGUUGUUGACUUUAGAGCUUUAUCAUCCUUAUCAUGUAUCAUUAUCUUCAAUCAUUUUUUACUUAAAAUUUGUUGCACUCUUAAAAUUGUGAUAUAUAAUUGCUUGAAAACUAUAUUUUUACUUCUGUUUUAAUUCAAUUAUACGUUGACUUAAUGUUUCACGAUUUUGAAUUGCCCGAAAACUAUAUUUGAAAAAAGUAGAAUCAAUGUUAUAAUUAUACAUUACGUGUUAAUUAAUUAAUUUUAAAAUAUAUUUGUUCGUAAAUAAAUAUUAUCUACUUCUAAACUAAUUUAUGUUUGAAAUUUAUUCAUUUAUCAACAAUUUUAAAGCAUACCAUGAAUUAGAAAGAGAUAAUAGGUAUUUACCUAACAAAUGAUUAAAUAAUAAUAUAAAUAAGCAAGAGAAACAAAAGAUAUUUGAUUAAGACAUAAAAGUUUUAAAAAUUAUUAUGACUUUGUGGUUAUUUGAUUCUUGCAUGUGUUACAAUAAUAAUUAUGGAUGUAUUUGUUGACCUCUUGUUACAGUGGUUGAUAAACUUUGUUGCGUGACAUUCCCAAUGAGUACAACCAAUGACAUCUUCGCUACUUAAAAUUUUAAAAUUAAGUUAGGAAAAUUACAAAUAUUUAUAUAAAUAAAGCAAUAUUAUUGAUGACUUUUUUAAGUUUGUCUCGGUGUGGAGAAUAUUAGUUCAUUAACAACUUCAAUAAUAACCAUUUGGGUCAAUAAAAAAAGUGUUAUCAAUGUUACAAAUAAUUAAAGUAUUUGUUGAGCUAAAUUUUUUUGACUAAAAUAAAAUGAAAGAAAUAUUUUGAUUUAAUCUACUAACAAAUCAGUGUGAAAAUUCUCAGCUAGUAUGUCCCCAAAAUGUUUUAAACAAUAUUCAUAGUGUUGUACCAACAAUAAGUUUCAUCAUAUAGUAACUUGUAUCUUACUAUAAAAUGCAAUUUAUUAUUACAUUCACCGAGUUCAUCUUUCCUUAAAAGUAACUUGUAUCUUACUACCCUAUAAUAUAUAAAACAAUAUAUUAUUAUAAAAACAAUUGUAGGAACUAAAUGUUUUAUUGGACUUCAUAUAAAAUGGAACAUCACUAUCCAUCAUAUCAUUUCAAGAUGUUCUGGUUUUGGUGGUAUUCUAACAUACCAAAGAUAAGAAAUUCUAAAAAUAAGAAAAUUGUCAUAAUUGAUUUGUUAUUUAUAAAUAUUCAUAAUAAAAGUACUUAUAUUUUCCAUUAAUAUAUCUAACAUUGUUAUCUUUUAAUUAAAUAAUAUAAUGAUAAUAAUUAAAUGUUAUACAAAUUUUCAUUUAUUAUACUGUCAUCUCUUAUACUAAUAUAUAUUCAAAAGUUGUUAUGGUUUUUAAUAUCCUUGAUCUAGUAUCUUUAAUAUUCUCUUUAUGUUAUAAUUAAUAUUAUUACUAUUUUAAUAUUGUAUAGUAACAUUGCAAUAUUAGAAGCAAACACUAAACCCAAAAUGAAUAUAUCUAUAAUGAGUGUUGCCUAAAAUUAAAGAAUAAAAAAUAAUUCCAAAAAAAUAUAAAUAAAAAAUGUGUUAAAAUGCAUACAACAUUGUAUAUUUUAUGAUUGCUUUUAGUAAAAUAUAGGUAGAAAAAUCAAUUACAUAAUCACAAUAAAAUCAAAUCAAUGACAUAUUAUUCAAUUAUUUAGUAAAAAUAAGACUAUUAUUAUAUUAAUUUUAUAUUGUGACUCAUUAUGUUUUAUAGUCUCCGAUUUAUAUACAAAUUCUUGAUUUUAUAAUUGAUCUUAUAUGUACAUGUAUUAAUUUGUAGUUUGAAAUAUACUAAUAAUGUUUCAAAUCAUUGAGUAUUAAUUUUAAUAAUAUUGUUUUAUCUUAUUUUGUUCUACUAAAGGAUUUGAUAAUCUAUUAGUAUGAGAUACUCUUUCUAAUCUAUUUGAAAAACACAUUAAUUUAGGAUUUGACUGAAUAUUUUUCCUGGUAAUUUUAAUGAAAUGUAUAAAAAGAUUCUCAUAAUUGAUUUAUUAUUUUUAUAUAUUCUUUAUUAAAAUACUAAUAUUUUCCAUGAAUAUAUCUACCAUUAAUUUUAUCUUUUAAUUAAAUAAUAUAAUGAUGGUAAUUAAAUAUUUUGAAAAUUCUCAUUCGUUAUUUUCUCAUAUGUUAUACUAAUAUAUAUUCAAAAACAUUUAUUAUUUUUAAUCUUCUUAAUCUAAUAUUUUUAAUAUUCUAUUUAUCUUAUACUUCUCAUUAUUACUAACUUAAUAUUGAAAAAGUAAAUUUGCAAUAUUAGAAGUGUAACACCGCGAAUUUUACGAUUUUGAAUUAUAAGAUUUUAUUAAUAUUUUUAUUAAUUAUAUAUUCGAAAAUGAAUUUCUGGGAAUUUUCGGUAAAGAAUUAGAUAAAACUCUAGUUGAGUUUUAGUCUUGAAAUUUUAUUUCCUAUUUUGUGGUAAAUUUUGGUAAUUUUCAGAGACAGUCGGUUCUGAACCACUGUCGGGGCCGAAAUCCACCCGGUACGGCUCAAAAAGUGGUUUUUGAGUUCCGUAACUCGGAAUUGAAUUCCGAUCGCACCGUUGGCUUCGUAAUUUCAUUUUGAGUCAAUAUAGAUUCUGUAUACACUCAUACCUAUUUUCUAAAUAUUUUUCACUCGGAAUGCCGAAAUCCGAAAUUCUAAUCGGAUAUUACGAUCGGGCGAUUUAUAAUAUCCGAUCGGUAUUAGCCGAUAAUCUUCGAGCACGAUUAUCGCGCGUAUCCGUGAGGGAUCAUUUCGCAUUGGGAUGCGAAAGUUGACUUCCAUAAAGUAAACCUCACAUCACUCAAUCUCAUCAUUAGCCACCCUAGGAAGCCACCCUAGGAGAUCUUCAUGAGUGCCUAGGAGGGAAAUCAGAUUUCCCUCUCCCCUUAAGCACUCCUCACUCCACAAUUCUCCCACACUCUUCAUUUGAAAAAUUUUCUAAGAGAAGGUAAAAACCUCCCUUCAAGUUUUUUCUCAUUUUUCUCAUUUCUUCUUCCAUUUUCAAACCUCGAUCUCUCAACAUUCAACCAAUAGAUGUUGAUGAGAUUUAAGUAUGAUGUUCAUGAGCAUGUCAAGAACAUAUUCAACCGUUGAAAUUUUCUAAAACGCUUUCUANNNNNNNNNNNNNNNNNNNNNNNNNNNNNNNNNNNNNNNNNNNNNNNNNNNNNNNNNNNNNNNNNNNNNNNNNNNNNNNNNNNNNNNNNNNNNNNNNNNNAUUUUCUCUCAAAUCUCAGAGGAACAAGUCCAACAUUAUCCCUAAUCUCCAACCUAGCCCAAACCUAAUCACCCUACUCCAUUUCCACUCCAGAAACCGGUUUCUCCAUCUCAAAUUUCCAAGAAAUUCGUUUUCCCCAAAUUGAUAACCCUACCUUAGGUUUCCCUAAAUCCCUCCAUUAAACCUUCGUCAAGGUUCAGUUUCAACAUCAAUGGAGAGAGGACAUGCUAAAAGAGUCAAGACAACCGCUCAACGUCCACCGCAUGUCCCAAAAGUCGUGCCAUCUCAACAAGCAAGGCAAGACCAUGGGGACCCGUAUUAUUCGCAGAUUCUGCAAGAAACUCGGUUGCUCAAAUUUAUGGGGAGGAAACCAACAUACAUAAGGUUUGCAAAUUUGACUUGGCUAGCAGAACAAAACUUUGACUUUCCGCAUGGUUUGCAAGCACAAGGGGUUGUCCCCUUCUUGGAAUUAAAAGGUAAUAUCUACCCUGCUCUAGUUAGGGAGUAUUAUGCCAACUUUAGAUAUAAGGAUGGAAAGUAUUGGUCAAUGAUUGCUGGAAAACUGUUUGAGAUAAAUGAAGACAUAUUUAUGAACGUGGGUGGUUUAUCAUGUACUGGUCUUAGCUUAAGUGACUGUGGUUAGGCAAACAACAACUCUUUUGAUGUUGCUGAAAUGUAUAAAUCUUUUUUGUGUAGACCUUAAUGUAUGUUCAGGGUGAAUUAACCAAAGUUAGGUCGCUAUCCGUAGAGAACAGGCUCCUACAUUAUCUAAUUGCCUAUAUUUUGAUUCAGAGGAACACAAAUCAUGCACAACCUACAGUGAAUGAUUUGAGGUUCAUGUUUGCUGUAAAGGAGAACAUAAUGUUCAACUGGCCUGAAUAAAUUCUGAAGGUCAUGUACAAUGUCUUCACUUUACAAUCAAGGUUGCUUCCUUAUAGUAUCUUCAUUUCACGAAUUAUUGAUUAUCUGCAUAUUGAUGUCUCGGAUACUAUAGUGGUGGACUAUUCUAACAAGGAUCAUUUGAUUGGUGAGAGUCUGAUUCAUAAGAUGGGUAUAUAUAAGUAUGGCAACACAUGGCAAUAUCAAGAGGACUGUAACACUGUGAAUCUUGACCCCUCUAGUGAGGAUGACCAAGAUGAUACUCAAAAGCCAUUUGCUACUACUCAGGGGUAGUCUUCUGGUCAUGCAUCAUAAGAACCAACUUUUGGACAAGCCUACUUGGAUUCUAUGGAACAAUGUCUCAACAACAGGAUGGAUCUUCACAUUAAGUCUCUGAAGGACUCAUAUCAUACGGAUCUGGAGAAUUUUGAGGAGCGUCAGAAUGCUUAUAUUGAUAACCAUUACCAAUCCUUGAGGAAUUUUGUUCAGACAACUGCUGACUCACAAAACAGAAGGUUGUGUGCUGAGUUCAACAAGCUGAGUACCCUCAUCAAGGGUGGUGGUAGCUCGAUGAUUCCUGACAACGAAAAACCUCCAUCUGAUCCCUAGUUAGGAGGCCUUAGAGCUUUAGUUUUAUCCUUCAUAGAUUAUGGACCUUGUUGUUCCUUGUUACCCUCUUGAGAACUUAUCUUUUAUUUCAUGCUUUGGCUUUUAUAUGGAUUGUAAUAACUCCUAUCUUCUGCUGAUUUACUACUUCGAAAUUUGAUAAUGCUUUAAAUGAUUUCAAAUUAUCUUUCUCAUGCUUGAAUGGUAAUUAUGUUGCAUAUAGUAUACUCUUAUGUUUAAUGGAUCUUGAUCAUGUUUGGUGUAUGUAUCAAUAUUGAAUGCUUAUGCUUGCUGCUAACUGCUCAAAUAUAUCAAAUGCUUAAUCAUUCCAUGCUUAUUUUGAGUAAACAUAGCCUUUCAUGCCAUUAAAUCUCUUAUGUUGUUGUUUGUUGUCCAUUUAAUCGAUUAAGUCCUGCUGUUAAUCGAUUAAAAAAUGUAUAAAUGUCCAUUUGUUCAAGCUUCUUACAACUGGUUGAUUGAUUAAUCGCCCAAAACUUAUUGAUUAAUUAUAGUCUGUCAUAACUCUAAUAACUCUUCUGACUUUUGAAUAGAAUUGAAUACUUGUAUCUUUUUGAUAAUGUCAAAAGGGGGAGAAAGGUUGCUUGUUGUGUUAAAAUGUAUUUUGCAGGUUGUAAUAGCUUUUGCAGGUUGUUGUAUAUAGCUUCAGUAAUAUAAUUGCUUACCUAAGGGAGAGCAAAGGCACUUCAACUUUGAAACUUUGAAUAACAACCAUUAUGCAAACUCAUCGUCAAGCUAAUUCAUCAAAAGUUUUGGACUAUUUUGAUGUGGUAUUUGUCAUCAUCAAAAAUGGGGAGAUUGAAAGUGCAAAAUGUCAAGGAUAGCACUAGCAAUGCUUUGCCUAUGUUUAGAUGAAGACAAGGUUCUAUUAAAGCUUGAAGAUGGCUCAACAACCAACAUGCCUAGACCUCAUUGGUCAUAUCUAGACUAGGAUGUAAAUAGAGUCAUUAUUCUAAGUAGUCUGGGAUGUGUACAUUAGUAAGUGAGAAUAGGUGAGGUGAACCUAGGUGCAAGUCUCUCAAGCCAUUAUAAUUAUCAUAUCACAUCCAUGAGACAUAUCAUCUAGUUAAUUGUAUGUUCAUGCAUUAAUCAUACAUGUUAUAUGUGCAUAUUAGGCAUAAUAUAAUUGCUAAAACAUGUAUAUGAGUUAAGCAUAACAUAUGAGAACUUUACCUUUUGAACCACGUAUUUUAAUAUGCUAGUUAAUCGAUUAACAUGGUAACUUAAUCGAUUAACUCAACUGUUUUUCUAUUAUAUCAAUAUUUUUAUUACAACUGGUUUCAGUUUCAAUUUUGUUGCACUGGUUAAUCGAUUAACGAGUUACCUUAAUCGAUUAACAGGUCUGUUUUGUAUUAUAACUGAUUUAUGUUUUAACUACUUAACUGAUUGCAACGAAUCCAACUGUAAAAACUGCUUAGUAUAAGUUGAGGCAACUUCUAGAAAAUUGUAGCAUUGUAUUCCAUUGUAUAGGAUUGAUUUAGAGAGCAUAUUUCGUUUUUGCACUCUGUUUUUGCAAGAGAGUUGCAUGUGUGAGGAAGAGAGUUUACCAUGCCUUAUUGAGUCUUUGAUUUGCAUACUGUUUUUCAUAUGCUUAUUCUCAUCCUUAUCUUUCUCACAUGUUCAUGCAUUAUUUGUAAAGAUUCUUAGAGAGAUAUAUUGAUUACUAUUUUUUAUUAACUCACAUGUAUUUGAUGGCUUGAGUGUAUUGUGAGUGGGUUAGUCUUAAGGUCUUUUAAUUGUAAUAUUUCAAGCAUUAUUGUGCUUAUAAUACCUUGCUUUAAUCGAUUAACUCAACUGUUUUUCUAUUAUAUCAAUAUUUUUAUUACAACUGGUUUCAGUUUCAAUUUUUUUGCACUGGUUAUCGAUUAACGAGUUACCUUAAUCGAUUAACAGGCCUGUUUUGUAUUAUAACUGAUUUCUGUUUUAACUACUUAACUGAUUGCAACGAAUCCAACUGUAAAAACUGCCUAGUAUAAGUUGAGGCAACUUCUAGAAAAUUGUAGCAUUGCAUUCCAUUGUAUAGGAUUGAUUUAGAGAGCAUAUUUCGUUUUUGCACUCUGUUUUUGCAAGAGAGUUGCAUGUGUGAGNNNNNNNNNNNNNNNNNNNNNNNNNNNNNNNNNNNNNNNNNNNNNNNNNNNNNNNNNNNNNNNNNNNNNNNNNNNNNNNNNNNNNNNNNNNNNNNNNNNNGAAUAUUAUUCUCAAUGGAUACAAUAUUAUUAUCUUUAUCACAAUUCCAUUAUUCAUUAACUUUAAUAAAAAUAAUAAUAUUAAUAUCAUUAUUUUAGAUUGUGGCUUAUUAUAUUUUGUACAGUUCAAUAUUUAUACUAUUAUGAAUUCAUAAAAUCAUAAAUAUGAAUAUUUAAAAUUAAUUUUAAUAUCAAUAACGUUAAUAAAUCGAUGUUUACAUAUUAAAGUUAUUAUUAUGUUUAUAUUAUUUUUUAUAAUAUAAAAUAUAACUUUUAUAGUAUAUAUAUUUGACUUAAUAUUUUCAUUGUUUGAAUUUAGUUUCUUCAUCCAUGUUAUUAUCGAAGUUCUAUUUAUAUUAUUUAGAAUAAAUAUAUGUUAUAGGUUAUACAUAUUUCUUAUUAGUUAUUUUAGAAUUAAACAACAAAUGAUUAUACAUUUAUAUCUAUAAUGAGCCUGUCUAAAAUUUAGGAAUCAGAAAUAACUUUGAUCAAAAUUGUAUUAGUAUUUGAAAUAGCCAUUUUCCUAAGAUUAUUAUUCUAUUUUUGGUGGUUCAUUUUACCUACAAGAUAGAGAUAGAAAAAGACCUUGUUAUACUUUAUAUUGUUCUGUAUGAAGAUGAAGGGCAUCACACCUUAUAAUGUAUUGAACAACACAUCAUUAUCAUAUUAAUUUAAAAAUCAUCAAUAAGUUUAUAUGUCAUUAUUAUUUGACUAUAAAAUAAGAUUAAUUUCAAAAAACGCAUUAUUAUUAUUUGACGAUAAAACAACUGCAAACAAAUAAAAUUCAAAAAUUGUUACUAUUGUUACUACUCUUAAUAACUACUAACAAAUAAUAAUAAUAGAAAAUUAUUAAUAUUCUUUUUUUAUCAUAUUUCUUUUUGUUACUAUUUGAAUACUACAACAGUAACAUUGCAAUAUUAGAAUCAAAUCUAAACAAUAAACAAAAUAUAUUCAUAAUGAGUAUUGUCUAAAAUUAAGGAAUACAUAUUUGUUAUGACUUAUAACUACUUCAUAUUACCUAUUAUAUAAUUAAACAAUAAAUGACUAUAAAUUUAUAUUUAUAAUGAACAUGGUCUAAAAUUAAGGAAUCAUAAAUAACUUUGAUUGAAAUUGUACUAAUAUUUGAAUUAGACAUUUUCCUAAGAUUGUUAUUCUAUUUUAGUUUUAAAAUGUCAAAUCAUUUAUUAGUUAAAAAUAUAGCUAAUAUUUUCAGAACUAAUAGAGGAAAAUUUAAAAUCACAAACAUAUAUAUUAAAAUUUAUAAAUUUUGUUUGUUACAAUUCUAUAGUUACAAAUCCUUUUUUACAAUUUGAAUUUUAUGAAAAUAUAUUAUUACACUGUUAUAAUUUAAAUAUUAUAAUGAUUGUACUUUAAUAUUAUAUAACAUUAUGUAAUAAUUGUACUUUAAUUUUUAAUAUAUAUAAAGUCUAAACUUGAAAUAACUACCACCAUGAUUCUAUUUUCCUAUUUUUCCCUAAGUAUGUUUUAUUUUUAAAGUAAAUUCAUAUAAUCAUAGAUAACUAUAAUUAGUACAUCUCAUUUUAAGUUGGCUAUUAUAAUAAAUACAAAAAUUAUAACAUGAAGUACAUCUAAUAAAAAACAUUCUAAUUCUCUAAAAUAAAAAAUACAAAUUUAAUACUUAAUAUCAAAAUAUAAGAAUGCAGGUCGGCAGACAUGAAGUGUUUGUCGACACGCUAGUAUUAUAUAAUGUAACAACUGCAUAUUAAGUUAAUUUGCUAAGCGUUUUAUUGAUUUUAUAUUAAAUAAAUUUUAAAAUAACGCACAUGACCAAUAAAUGUUUCAUAACGUAGUGAAAAUAUUGAUUAUACAUUUAUAUAUAUAAUGAGGAGUGUCUAAAAUUAAGGAAUCGGAAAUAACUUUGAUUGGAAUUAUACUAAUAUUUGAAUAGUCAUUUUCCUAAUAUUGUUAUUCUAUUUAGGUGUAAAAUAUCAAAUCAUUUAUUAGCUAAAAAUAUAACUGGUACUUUCAGAACUAAUAGAGGAAAAUUUAAAAUCACAAACAUAUAUAUUAAAAUUUAUAAAUUUUGUUUGUUACAAUUCUAUAGUUACAAAUCCUUUUUUACAAUUUGAAUUUUAUGAAAAUAUAUUAUUACACUGUUAUAAUUUAAAUAUUAUAAUGAUUGUACUUUAAUAUUAUAUAACAUUAUGUAAUAAUUGUACUUUAAUCUAUAUCUAUACUAUAUAUAAAGUCAAAACUUGAAAUAAUUACCACCAUGAUUCUAUUUUCCUAUUUUUCCCUUAGUAUGUUUUAUUUUUAAAGUAAAUUCAUAUAAUCAUAGAUAACUAUAAUUAAUACAUCUCAUUUUAAGUUGGAUAUUAUAAUAAAUACAAAAAUUAUAACAUGAAGUACAUCUAAUAAAAAACAUUCUAAUUCUCUAAAAUAAAAAAUACAAAUUUAAUACUUAAUAUCAAAAUAUAAGAAUGCAGGUCGGGAGACACGAAGUGUUUGUCGACACGCUAGUAUUAUAUAAUGUAACAACUGCAUAUUAAUGUUUCUUAAUGUAAUGGUUGCAUUGUAACUGUGUGUGUGGAAGAAGUUAAUUUGGUAAGCGUUUUAUUGAUUUUAUAUUUAAUACAUUUUAAAAUAACGCACAUGACCAAUAAAUGUUUCAUAACGUAGUGAAAAUAUUGAUUAUACAUUUAUAUAUAUAAUGAGGAGUGUCUAAAAUUAAGGAAUCAGAAAUAACUUUGAUUUGAAUUAUACUAAUAUUUGAAUAGUCAUUUUCCUAAUAUUGCUAUUCUAUUUAGGUGUAAAAUAUCAAAUCAUUUAUUAGCUAAAAAUAUAAUUGGUACUUUAAGAACUAAUACAGGAAAAUUUAAAAUCACAAACACAUAUAUUAAAGUUUAUAAAUUUGGCGGUUACAAUUCUACAGUUACAAUUCUUUUUUUACAAUGUGAAUUUUAUAAAAAUAUAUUAUUAAACUAUUACAACUCAAAUAUUAUAAUGAUUGCACUUUAAUAUUAUAUAACAUUAUGUAAUGAUUGACCGAUAAAUGUUUCAUAAUAUAGUGAAAACAUUAAUUAAGCAAAUUUGCACACGGUAUAAAAUCUUUAUCCUCGAAUAAAUGCGAAUAAUAACAUACCUUAAAUUGCAUAAUUUUCCAUCUUAGAAGAUUUGAUUCGAUUACAGUUGUGAUCUUGAAUCAAUUUUCUAGUGGAUUAAAUUGAAAGUCUUAAGUACAAUAAAAUAAAAAAAUAAACUGUACAAUAAAAACUAAAAUCUUAAAUCAAUAUACAAAUCUUCAUACAUCACACAAUGUCAUUAAAUACAAUAAAAAUGAUAUUAUCACAAAAUGUAAACUUUAAAUUUAAAGUUAUAGGUUGAUUUUAUUUUGCUAAAAUAAUAUCAAAAUGAUUAUUAAAACACAUACAAUUUAUUGCUCUAGUUUAGGUAAGGUAACAUAUAAUAUAUUCUCUAGUGUUUACUUUUAAACAAUUAUUUCUUUACAAAUUGAAAUGAAAAUAAUCAAAAUAACAAAUUGUCACGGGCUAUUAUCUUUUCUCUUCCCCUGUAUCAUCCAUCAUUGUCGACGUCAUUUUCAACAAUUAUAUUACAACCUGGUAAAGACAAUCUAUAUGCUCUUUGUUAAAAUAAUGAUUAUUUUUAGUAGAAAAUUCUAUAAACAAAAUAUUAGAUGCACAAAUAUAUAGAAAACUAACCAACAAUAAUGCUUCAAGGGUGAACCAAUAAUAAGAGGCAUCAUAUUGAAUACAACUCUUGUCAUCGCCCACGUCAUUAGAGAUAAAUCACAACUCCAAUUAUCGUACAAUAAGCACAUAUCUAUAAAACAAACAAAAAAUUAAUAAAGAACACACUUUAAUACAAUAUCUUCAAUGGAAAACAUAAAGAGCCACUCUAAAGUUAACUAUAAAACAUUCUUGCAAAAAAAAAAAAAAAAAAACUUUCAAAUGGUAAAAUACAUCUCUAUAAAAUAAGCACAUAUAUAUAAAAUAAACAAAAAAAUUUAAUAAAGAAGACACUGUAAUACAAUGGAAAAAUCAAGAAUCACUCUAAAUUUAACUAUAAAACAUUCUUGCAAAAAAAAACAGAAUAAUUUCGAAUGGUAACAUAUAUCUUUGGUCACUGACAAAAGAAUCUUUUGAAAUGAAAUGUCAAAAGAACACGGACCAAGAAAGAAAAAAUUGGUGGAAAAUAAGAAAAGUGAUGAAAUGAGGGAGUGAAAAGUAGAGAGAAGAUUUUAUGCUUGAGAAUGAAAUGUGAGAAAGAUAUAGAAAUAGCCACUGACAACAUAAUCUUUUGAAAUGAAAUAGAAGAAGAAUACGAAUCAAGAAUAGAAAAAAUUGGUGGAAGAUAAGAAAAGUGAUGAAAUGAGGGAGUGAAAAGUAGAGAGAAGAUUUUAUGCUUUAGAAUGAAAUGUGAGAGAAAGAUAUGGAAGAAUAGAAAAAAGUGAGAGAAAGAUAAUGAUCUAUUAUGUUAAAUUGAAACAAGUAGUAAAGAGAAUUUUUCAUCUUAUGUGUGAGCUUGCACAAUAAGAGGUAGAGAACUUUUAAGAGGGAAAAUUUUGCAUAAGGUAUUGACAUGUGUCUCUUGUUAAUGUGGCAAGAGUUGGUAUUGACAUGUGUCCCUUGCUAAUGUGGCAACAAUUUUUUUUGUUAUAUAGUAAAUAGAUAGAGAUUAUACAAAUCAAUAAAUAUAAGUUAUAUUUAUUUAUCAUUCUUGAUUUAGUUACUUUUGGUUAAUACUUAUUUCUAAUUGAUAGUUUUAAAGAUAACAAUAUUUCAAAUACUAUUAUGUACUCAAGCAAUUGGGAAAUAUUAUAAUCUGAGUAACUUUUAGUACUCAAACAAAUAAUUGGAAAGUGCAUUAUAUUUUACUUGACAGUUUCGAAAACAAAAUAGUGUCUUAUUAAAUUAGUAUCUUAUAAAAAUUAACAUUAAGCCUCAUAGAUAGUGCUUGUAAUAAUGAUGGAUGAUAGGAGUAUUAUGGACCCAUUUUCUAGUGAGAAAUUAGAAAUCUUAAUUUACUAAAUGAAAUAUGACAUAUAAGUGUUAUAUAUAUCUUGUACUAAUGAAAGAAGAUAGUAUUAUGGAACCAAAUUCAGGAUAUGUGAAUUAUAUGACUUAUUUUCAGUAGGUACUGUUUGAAGGAAUUUUAUUUAACUUACCACUGAUAAUAGUAUUAUUAUUACUUACCAUUGCCCUUAUUUAAUGAAAACAUUUCAAUGCAGAAAUGAUCUUGACUGCUCAACACAAAUUUUGAUAGAAUAAGCAAUAGAAGAAUUAUGAAAAUUUAAGGUAAAGUAGCAUGGAAUAACAAUCUAUGUAAUUAUUCAUGUCACCGUAAAGAAUUUUGGGUCACACAUGUACUGUUUAAAUGUAUUUAGAGACAUUAUUAUAAGUAGCUAAAUUAAAGUGAUCUACUUCAAGUAAGGUAUAUAACUAUAGACAUAAUUGUCAUGAAAAUUAUUGUGUAGAUAUCUAAAGUUUUAUUUGUAUUUUUAUGAUGGACAAAAAUAAGAAAUAAGAAAAUUGAAAAUGCAUCACCCUUAAUGAAAUGGAAUUUUUGUCUUAUAAAUAGAAGUUAUGGUCCCCAAUUCUAGACGUGAAACACAAACAAUAUGAACCACAACAUAUCAAGUUAUUAUCAUCGUCCCAUUAGAGGAGAAACUAAGGAUAAGAGUGAUCUACAAUUGAAAGGCCAAAUAACCUACAUGUUCUACUAUGAACAUGCAUUUACAUACAAGGACAAAGGACAUAGAGUUGAUGCAUAUAUGAUGAAGAAUGGUAUAGAGUUCAUGCACCAUAUUCUCAAUGAAUAUAUUAAGCUACAUUUCCGCUUUAGUUUUAUCUAUAUUCUUCUUGUUGAUUUAACAUGAAAAAUCUUGGCUAUAUGAUGGUAGUAUAUUCAUCAUCUUUAGUAGUAUUCAUAUUUAAUUAUAAAGUCUCCAACCAAUUAAAGUUUAUAAGAAAUAUUUUUCCCAACAACCACAACCAAGUAAGACAUCAAACAUUGGUUCACACACGAUAUAACUAGACCAAAGUGUCAUGAAAUUAAACUAUGGGACACAUUGACAAGAGAAGACUCGCAUAAGUGGAGUCAUCGUCCCUUCCCUUUAUGAUCAUUAAUUAAUACUACAACACUGUCAUACAUAGUAUCCUGCACUUAAAAUUUGCUAUGGUGCCUGAAUCUUUCCCACCACAUCAACUCUUCAGAACUUGUCGCUGCAAUAUUGCACAAACCAAUAAAUAAAGGAAGUGAUUUAACUACCAAAUUUUAUACCAUAAAUAAUCUAUGCUCGGCAGAAGUAAUUUAGGUUUAAUAUUGUUAAUUGGCUAAAUUUUCAGUAACUAGCUAGCAAAAGCGCAUACAUGUAUUAGGCUUGUGAGAAUAGUAUGUAUCAUCAGAGUGAUUUCAUGAAAACCCUUUUAAGAAUUUUAAUGAUUUUUUAUGGGUAUUAUUAUUAAGAGUGUAAUAUAUAUCAAUUGUUGUUACGGUAGCUUGCAACAAUGAUAAAUGACACGAAACAAUACUUAGUGGUUGGGUCACGACCAGAUCUCUCUCUUUAAGACGUUUCGUGACACUGUCAAAAAUGUGCAAGCAGACUAUCAACAACACCAUCCCCAGGAUAAAACAGUCCAGAUAUCUGUUAUCGAAUUCUUACUGCAGUGUAAGAACCGAUCUCGAAUACACCUACCACAAUAUGUAUAUCAGUGUCAAUUCUCGAAAUUCUCACAAUAUGACUAACAGUGUCAAUUCUCGAAAUACCCACAAUAUGGCUACCCAUGCCAAUUAUCUUCCCACAAUACUGACUACCAGUGUCAGUUCUCGAAAUAUCCGCAAUAUGACUACUUGUGCCAAUUCUUUUCCGUCAAUACUGACUAUCAGUGUCAGUUCUCGAAAUUCCUACAAUAUGACUACCUGUGCCAAUUCUUAGUACCACGGAAAGAAAGGGGAAGAAGUUUGCGAGAAAUGCAUCAGCAGAAAAUAUGAGUGAGAAAGAAAAAGUUGAAUGAAAACGUAUUCAAAUUGGGGCAAUAAAAUAUGAAGAUAACAAACUUCUAUUAUAUAUGGGUUGUAGUAAUUAUAGAGAUCAUCUGACAAGUCAUUCAAAAUGAAAUUCAUAAAAGUAAUCAUUUUCAUUCGAGAGAGCUAUAUUAAUAGCUAGUUUAUCCUUUUUCUUUUUUUCAGCUUUCUCCAGCAACAUUAGGACACUAAUUUUCAAAAUGUGUGCAACUUUUCUUAUGUUGAAGAAAAAUUUCAUCUUAUGUUGCUAACGUUUAAAAUUUGUACCAUCAAACCGAAAUGGUUUGUUCAGUUCAUAGCUAUUCGGUCCACUAAUAUUGUCUACGAAUGUUGUUGCAGUAGAAACGUCUUAAAAAUUGUUGUUACCGUAGCUUGCAACAAUUAUAAAUGGCAUGAAAUAAUACUGGCUGAGUCACGAACAGGUCACUCUCUUUAAGACGUUUCGUGACACUGCCAAAAAUGUGCAAGCAGACUAUCAACCACGCCGUCCUUAGGAUAAAUAGCCCAAAUAUCUGUUAUCGAAUUCUUACUGCACUAUAAGAACCAAUCUCAAAUACACCCACCAUAAUAUGGCUACCAAUGCCAAUUCUCGAAAUUCCCACAAUAUCGCUAGCAGUCCAAUUCUCAAACUACACACAAUAUGGCUACCCAUGCUAAUUCUCUUCCCACAAUACUAACUACUAGUAUAUGUUCUCAAAAUGGCCACAAUAUGGCUAUCUGUUCCAAUCUUUUCCCUCAAUACUGACUAUCAGUGUCAGUUCUCGAAAUUUCCACAAUAUGACUAUCUGUUCCAAUUCUUAGUACCACGGAAAGAAAAGGGGAGAUGUUUGCCGAAAAUAUGAGGGAGAAAGAAAAAGUUGAAUGAAAACGCAUUCAACUUGGGGCAAAAAAAUAUGAAGAUAAGAGACUUCUAUUUAUAAUAUGAGAUUUUUUCCAUGUUCCUAGUCUCUCCAAUGUGGAACUUGGGAGUUGUUUUCUUUCAAAACUCUUCUAUAUGGGACUUGGAAGUUUUUUAGAUUUCACACCCACAACCAAGUUCCAACAUCUAUGUAUUCACAAUAUAAAUAUUUAUAUACAGACAAUGCAUCAUUUAUUGUUCACUAUUCAUUUGUAUUACUUUUACUUAAGAAUUAAUAAUAGUUAAGAAUAAAUAGAUAGUGAUACAACGACAAUGUAAAAAACUCUUACACUAUCCGCACAUACAUCUUGUUAUGUCUAUUAUUAAUCAUUAUUUCAAAACUUCAAAGCAUUAUGCGAAGUAUAUAAAUGAUGUUGUUAAGAGGUAAUAAUAGUGGUUAGAACUUAGAAGCUGUAGCUCCACUCAUCCAUUUAUGGUGUUAUCAUUUUAUUAGUAUUUAGAUGAAAAACUUGACAACUUCCUUAAAAAGGUAAGUAACAAGAUAAGGAAAAUGUGAGAUAACAAGAUAAGGAAAAUGUGAGGUAUCAGUUCUUUCCUUAAAUUGUGAAAUCUUCAUUUCAGAAAUUGUUACAUUAAUUUCUAUUUGUUUGCUUAAAUUUAAUUCUAUACAUUAAUUAGGGAUUAUCAGAGAUAACUAUUGAAACUUUUAGUAGCAUAUCAUAAACUAAUUCAUUAAAAAUAUAAUUAGUACCAUAUAGUUCUUCAAAUCUACUAAAAUGAUACUUAUUUAUUACUUUUAUUUCUUCUUUCAUUGUCAUCUAACCACACACAAUGAACUGAGAGAUAGUAUGGUGUUGAUUAUAAGAACGUCUAAAAAAUAUUUUUUCUAUUUUUAGGAAAUUGCACGUCUAACAUUCUAUAUAAAAUCAUUUUGUGGAAUUUCAUGUGAAUAGAAAUAAAUUUAUUAACAUUGCCAUGAUAUUGAAUUUAAAGUUGAUAGAAAUAACAUACGUAUUACACUUGGUGGAGGUGCUAAUCUUAUAGGGAGAUUGACCCCGCAUUUGGUAGAGAGUGAUGAUGCAUUCACAAGAUCGUAUUGGGUGGAAGAAGCAUCGGAUUUGAGGCAAUUGCAUGCGGUUUGUUUGUCAGCGGUGCUUUGAGCCAACGAGACGAGUCCCUUGACUCCAUUGCAGCAUGUUACAGGAAGUCAGGAACAGCUCCACCGGACUGCAGGUAAGUGAGGCAUGGAGCUAUGCCACUAACAACCUGUCCACAUGUUAUGGUAGCAUGUGCAAUGGGUGCACCCACCACAACCAUGCACAUCAAAACCAUACAUGUUACCUUAAUGCUUGCCAUUACUUCACAAACUAAUUUGCUGUGUAUUUGCUUUUGGAUAUUGCUUACUUGGUGAUAUACGGGAUGCAUGGUAUGCAGUUUAUAUAGAAAAUAAGAGAGAGAUUAUUACAUAAUGCUGCACUAAAAGAUGGAUUGUGGCCUAGGCCAAUCCUCAUUUGACAGGUGGUGUACGUUGAAAGUAUUGUUUACAACCGUGAAAAGCACGGUCUCAUGCAUUUACCCUCUCCCGUCACAAACAACUAAUUCAUUUUUAUUUGUUCUCACAUAUUAUUAUAUAAUUUGUUAUAAUUCUCCAUGAAAUAAGAAUAACAUUUACGUUUUUCUCACAAUGACAAAAAUUGUUCCUAUUCUUGUUUGGCUCCCACAAUAUUUACCUUUUUUCCCACAACAUUUAUUUUUCUCCUCACUUUCCUUUGUUUAAGAACAACUAAGAGUUCUUCUUAUUUAAGAACAAAAGUAAGAAAAUAAGAACAACACAAUGGAGAACAAAGUAAGAAUGUUCUUAUUCCGUUAAGAACAACCAUUAUGGUUGCUCUUAGACUUGGGAUCCUCUCCUAUGUUGGACAGUGCAGUACAGGAAUGAGGCUCAGUUUCAUUUGAUGAUUUUAAAAUAAUUUUUAAUACAAAAUAAGCUUCAAAUUUAAGUCAUUAAAACUUUUUAAAUAACACAUGUUAUUAUCUUAUUCAGUAUUGAACUCACCAUUACCAAAGUAAUUCACCAUGCAUUAAUAUUUAAUAUCCUUUGAAGUGAAUGCUAUCAUUCAUUUCAAAUUAAAAAAAAAACAAAGACAUUAUUAUAAUAAUUUGCUUUAUUCCACUAAAAAUAAGGAGAAAUUAUUCCAUUAUAAUUGUAGAUAGUUAUUAACUAUAUAUAAAAUAUUUUAUAAAAUUUUAAUUUUAAUAAAAAACUUUUAAGACAUUAUUCUAAUAUAAUUAUUAAUUGUAUACAUAAGAUUAUUUGUUGUGAUUUUCAUUCUAAUAAAAAAUUGAGAGACAUUAUUUUAAUAUAAUUAUAGAUAAUUUUAAUUAUAUAUAGGAUAUAUAUCAUAGAUAUUCAGUAAAGUUUUAAAUUGAUUGUCAACUAUCUAACAUAACAUUAAUCUUUAUCUGUGCUUAGAACCAGAUAUAAUAAUAUUAAGCACACAUAAAUAGAUUUAAUGCCUAACACAUAAUUUAUAAGAGUAUUAUGACAUUAUUCGGCUUAUUUAAUCAACUCCACUUCAUGGAAUAAAUUUGAUAGUUAUUUAUUAAUUAUGUAAGUUAUCCCAUCCAGAUCUACCAUCUUCCAAUUUGAUAUGGAUCUCCUGAUUGUUAUCAAGAUGCAUGCGGCAACCAUGGGUUUGUUAGCAGUUGGGUCCCAUUAAAUGCUCAAUGGUAGAUCCUCUUGUCUUUGAGCAUGUAGCGAUCUAUUAAUGUUAGAUUCAUGAGAAAAAUAUGUAUGUAUUGAUAAUGUAUAAAUUUUAUAUAUUGUUAAUAUAUCAUUUAUUAUUCAUAUUAAAGUAACUUAAAUAAAUGAUUGAUAAUGUAAUAUGUGUAUAAAUCUUUACACGAAGAAUCUAUAUAUUUUACAUACUAGAUUUAUUGCUCUGCACUAAUGUAUCAUCUCAUAUUUGAGCACCUGAGCGUUAUAUUAGACGUUAGAUUUAUGAGAAAAAUAUAUAUAUAUACACAGAAAGAGAAUUUUAUAUUGUCAUCACAUCAUUUAUUAUUUAUUUUAAUCUUUAUUGACUUUUAAAUAAAAGUAAUACAGAUGAAUGAUAAAUAAUAUAUUAACUAUGUAUUAAUCUUUAAACUGUCAAUGUAUAGUUGUUAUACUCAAGAUUUAUUGCGUGGGACUGAAGUUCACUCUCAACUAUCCAUAUACAUCUACCCUAAUUUGUACAAUUGUAUAACUUAGUUAAUCUAAGAAGAAAUAUUCCAACAGGUUAUCUUUUUUUCCUCUCUUUUUUUUAAGCCGAAGGUGCAACUACACCUCGAAAUAUAUUAGAUGGAAAAACGAUACAUUAGUGAUAAGAAGAAGAGAAUCUAUAACUAGGAAGAAGGUUCCUAUUACGCAAGAAUUCAUGAUGAAUGAAAUUAGGAGUAGACAUCCAUUUCGAACUAACUUUGGAGUUAAUCCCAUAAUUAGCCAAUUUAUCCGCGCAAGAAUUGCCUUCUCGAUAGAUAUGAGACACCCUGAAAUUCAUUCCAACCAUUUUUGCUUUGCACUGAAUCCAUUUGUUUAUGAGCUUCCAAGGAGGAUUAUGAUUUCCAUUGAGAAUUUCCACCACCAAUGUGGAAUCACAUUCAAGCCAGAGAUUCAUCCAGGCCUUGGAUAUAGCAAAGAUGAUUGCUGAUAAAGCAGCAUUAAACUCAGCAAAUAAAGCAUCCUCAAUGCCGUAGUAAUCAGCCAUGCAGGCAAUGCACUGACCACUGUGAUCUCUGAAGAUUGCUCCUCCCCCAGCGUGGCCAGGAUAACCUCUAGCUGCACCAUCAGUGUUAACCUUGAUGGUGUUUCUCGUAGGGGCAGUAUAGAAGGAGCCUUAGGAUAAUUGAUAGCAACUUUGAAAGCUUUAUGGAUACAAAGGUCGAUCAAAGAAGGCUUGCUUGAAACUUUGGAAUAGCUAGCUGAAAGAGAGGUUAUCGUUAUGAUUCUAUUGAUGACAGAGCCAAUGCUAUAGACUUUGUUGUGAAAUCUGCAUUGGUUCCUACACCACCAAAUCGUGUUGAUUGCAUGAAUAAUGCAAGCAGUGAAGAGGUGAUGCACCUGAUCACACCAAUCAGCUUUACUGGCCAGGAGGAUUGCUUUAACAGAGGAAAAGUCCAGAUGGAUUUUGAAAAUUCCCUUAAUCCAAUUCCAAAUUUGAGUUGCCAAUGGAUAGGUGAAAAAGAGAUGGGAAGAGGUCUCCACCUGCUAAUUUAAUUGGAUGUCUAAUAUUUUCCAACAAUUAUUAAGAUCAAAAUUGGCAGCCGUUUAAAGCAAUGGUAGAUUUAUUUCUAGAGUUAAGUGCACUCACAUCCCCAAGAGUUAAAUUAUAUAAAUCCUUUAUAUUUUUUUCAUAUCUAAUAUUUAUGAAGAAAUAAAUAUAUUUUGUGAGAAUGUAAUAUUUAUGCCCCACCUAUAUAAAGAUUUAUAUAUAGUCAUUAAAUUGUUCACUACUCUUUUAGAUUACUUUUUGAAGAGUCUAUGAUGAUUAAAUAUGAAUGGUGGAUGAUACAGUGAUUGUGUAUAAAACUCAUACACUCUCAUUAAAUACAUAUUUUUCUCAUCUUUUAAACGAAAGAUGGUAAAAAAUGUAAUUAAGUUAAACAAAUCAUGGUAUAUUGUGGAGACAAAUCAAAAUAGUAUACGAGUCAAUACUUAUUGAGUAUUUUUGUCCUUACAAUAUAGUAUAAAAGUGAUUUAAAUAAUAUCCUCUUAGAAUUUUUUAUGCAUUUGUAACGAACUAAAAAUAAUGAAGAGAUCUUGACUCUUAUACUAUUUGCACUUUUUUAUAAGCAAAGAUUUAUCUUAAAGCAGCACAAGGGGUGCCAACCCGAAUACAAAAGGAACUACAAAACAAAAGAAGGCAUAAAGCACAUUAAAAAAACAACAUUUCGAAUUAGUGCACCACUGAGCAAAGAUGAACAGAUUUUGAUUAAUGCUCGAAGCAAACCAAGACCACAAUCUAACCUGAAUCAAGUCCAUAAUUUUCACAAAACUAAUCUCCUUAUCCGAAAAAUGGAGUCAUUUCGCAUUAACCAAAUAGACCAAAUCACGAUAAACCACAACAUUCUCCAUAAUUGUCUCCCUUUUGAAUUCUUGCAUAACAAUUCAUGAUAAUUAAACAGCUUCCAACAGUACUCUGCUGCAAAACAAAUGGAAUCUGCAACCAAGCAUAAAAACCUCGCCAGACAGAGGAAGCAAAAGAGCAAGACAAAAUUAGAUGAUCAAGAGAUUCAGAAUAAUUCAAACACAAAACACAAUUUAACUCAUCAACACUAUGAAUAAUUCUUCUCUUAAACAACUCCUCCUUAGUUGCAAUUCUACCACACAGAGUUUUCCAAACAAACAACACACCUUUGAAGAAGCACAAUUAAUCCAACUUUUAUUAAGAAGAAAACCAACCUCAUUUUGUUGGACAUUAAUUUGGGCUAAGUAAGCUUUUUUAACCACAUACCUUCCUAAGUUAUAUAAACUCCAUUUCCAAGUAUCUACACUAUCUCUUCUACAGGAAUGAGAAGCAACCAGUUGAUACAAAGAACUGACUGAAUUUUCCUCCCAAUCAAACAACAUUCUCCUCCAAAGAACAUUCCAAUUCCACUGGAUGUUGAUCCAGACCCCACAAUUUGAAACUAGCGCUUGUCUAUUCAAAGCAAGAGCAAACAACCUGGGAAAUGUCUCCUUCAAAUAACACUGGCCAAACCAAACAUCAUUCUAGAAUAGGGUUUGAGAACCAUCUCCAACUUCCUUCCAAAGUUUAUCCUCCAACCAACGGUUCCCUGCCUCAUAUGAGCCACCAACUUUAGCCAAAUCCCUCCACCACUUUGAAGCCGAUAAAGGAGCCAGCAUAACGGCCUCCGGGCCAUACUUGGAAUUCACUACUUGAACGUCUCGACAAUAUAUCUUAUUUUGUUUAACUUAAUUACAUUCAUCACUCAUUUUAUGUUUAAAAGAUAACACUAAUUUCUUGUGCAGAUGUAAUUAAUAUAAGAGAAUAAUGUAUCUCCUUGUGUGAGGAGAUAACUCUCCUCCUUACACCAAUUACAUAGUAACACAUGUCCAUUCAUUUUUAUAUUUUUAUUUUCUUUCCAUUUUCUCAUAUUUUAUUUGUAUGAAUAAUGAUUUUCUUCUUUCACGGGAAACCAACAGUUUUGUAUCAUCUCUUUCACUGUCAUGCUCUUCAUUCAUUCACCCUAAUACACUUAAUGAAAAAUCCACUUCCUUCUCUCAUGACACCUCAUUCUCUCUAAAAUCUAUGAUUUAGUAUGUCCUGAGUUUUUUAUCUAUGUAUUGUGAGUUUUUGUCACAUUAAGUCCAAAAUAAUUCGUAAUAGAAGAAACAUAAAAUAAUUCAUUAACUAUAUUAGUCAUUAGCCACAUAAAAUAAUUCAUUUACUUUUGGACAUAAACAGAAGAAACAUCAACGUAGAAAAUAAAAUUUGUUCCAUGUUUCCUUUAUCAUUUAUUGCCUUUCCUUCUUUGUCCACGUGAAUAACAAAUGAAGAGAGGAGUUGUUGUGUGAAUUCUUCCUCUUUUUCUCAGAGAACAUAAGAGAGAAAAAAGAAGAAGAGAGAAUAUGCAGAUUUGUGAGUGAAUAUGAAAAUUUGUGAAAGAAUGUACAUAUUUGAGAGAGAAAGAAAAGAAGGAGGUGCUGUGAGUGAAUGAGAAGUGUCUGGAGAGUGAAAGUGAAGGAGAUAGUGUGAGUCUCUUGGUUUCUAGUGUGAGAAGAAAAUCAUUAUUCAUAAAAACAAAAUAUAAGAAAAUAGACAAAAAAUAAAAAAUAUAAAAAUAAAUGGACAUGUGUUAUUGUACAGUUGGUGUAAAGAGAGGAAUUAUCUCCUCACACCAGGAGAUACAUUAUUCUCUUAAUAUAAUAUAUAUAUAUAUAUAAGGUUGGUCUGCGUGGAUACAAAAAUGAGAGGUAUCGGUUUAUAUAAUUUUAAUAAAACUCAAAGGAUAUCAAUAUUAUUUAUUUCAUGAUCAAUGUUGGCCUGUUAGGUCAUAAAUUGGUUUAUUAUUUAUUUCAUGAUAUUCACAUUAAUAUCAAAUUGGUUUAUUAUUUUCAUAACAUGGUAAUUAUUAUUUUGGAUACAUAAUCAAAAGUUAUAGUUACAUUACCAAUUAGUAGCUGGUUUAGAUAAUAUAUGUUUGUUUUCUUUUUAGUAAAGCCAGAGUUUAAGUCCGAUGAUUGGUUAUCUACCUUGCUGUUUUGAAAUUGGUAAAUUUGUUUUCUUUCACUAUUGUUGUUGAAGUCUACCACAGUCACGACACUGGCUUCCUAAUAGGCACCUUCCCCCUUAGGCCCUUACCUUGUAUGUUACAUUACAUCAUUUAAGCAUUGGCAGAUUGACUUCCAUUAAUUGAUUGGUCCUACAAUUCAUUAGUUCCUAUAUUCCUAUAGGUGAUUUUAAAAGUUUCCAUUCUACUCACAUUAAGAACUAUUAUCUGAUGUAUAAUAGAUUGAAAAAAUCUAUUUAGAUUAAGUGUAAAUACUCAUUUUAGUUAUUAAUAUUUUUCAUUCUCACUAGUUUGAUCCCUCAAAAAUUGAAAAAACUAAAAUGGUUCCCAAUUUUUUUAAUUAUGGGUUAAAUUAAUUGUUUUUAGGAACAAAUUAGUCCAUAUCAGAUUUGUAAAAUAUGCUAAAAUUAUCAAUUUGACCCGUAUUUAAAAGUUUUGGGACCAUUUUGGGUUUUUUCAAAUUUUGAGGGACCAAACUAGUAAAAUCGAAAAACAUGAAAGACUAAAAUGAGUAUUUACUCUUAAUUUAAUAGGUAAGUCUCUAAGUCAUCAUAAAAACCUAUUUAACUAUACUAUGCAUUAGUCUUACAUCGUUAGAAACAAUUAAUUUAAAAGUUGAAUAUAAAAUAAAGUAUAUUGAUAAUGAUUGAGUUUGAAUUUCUAGAUCAUCAUUGCUUUCAAUAAAUAAAUAAAUAUAUAUAUAUUUUUUUUUUUUGCUUAUGACAAUAAUCACAAAUACUAAAUGGUCCAAGUGUUCAUGCAUAUUCAUUAAUUUUUAAAGUAAAUACUAAUUUCAGUCCCUCAUUUUUAUGACCUUACCAGUUUGUUCCUUCAAAAGUGAAAACUAAAAAAUGGUCCACAAAAAUUUCAAAUGCGCAUAAAAUUAGUUAUUUUUAACGUAUUUUAUAACACCUGAUAGAGACUAAUUUGACACGUAUUUGAAAUUUUUGGACCCAUUUUAGGUUUUUCAAUUUUUGAGAUACCAAACUAGUAAGGUCAAAAAACAUGAGGGAUUAAAAUGAGUAUUUACCAUAUUUUUAUUAGAGUAAAUUUGAUAGACACUUCAAGCACUUUAGCUUAAUUACAUCCACAACUCAUUUUGUUUAAAAGAUUGCAUUCAUCUCUCUUAUAAUAUAUGUAUAUAAGUUGGUGAUAGUUUGUGUAGUUGCAAAAUGGGAGGGGUGUUUUGUUUUAGUGUAAUUUAUUCUAUAAAAAAUUAAAACAAAAAUGUAAGUUAAUUUUUUAUUGUUUGAUAGACAUUUAAAAACAGACCUGAUAGCUAUUUAAAAGGAGACUUCUUAGCCAUUUAAAGGAAGACUCUUAGCCUAUUUAAAUGAAGACUUGUUAGGCUAUUUAAAGGCCUCAUAGCACAAUCAGCUUUUUAAUAAGCUCACAAGCUAGAGCAGGCUUUUAGAUAGAUUGGGACUUAAAGCUUUGAUUGUUUUUUAAAAUAGUAAACUGGACAACUUUAGUCUACUAUAUAUUAUAUAGGUUAAGUUUGUUCUAGGCAAAGUCUUACACUUGUUUCGACCUUAUAUGUAGGCACACAUUUAAAACUUCGGCAAUAAUAAUCUUGUAACUAGUUACGUAGUGUUUAAUGUGUCACUCUUAGGCCAAUAUUUUUAUAGGACAGGCAAUGUAUAAGUGUGGAAAGUUUGAUAAUCCUUUAUUUUUCAGUUUAUGAGUCGAGAAUGCAGUUCAUUUUAUUUUAUUAUUACUAUGAUUAUGAUUGAAUUCACAUAUAAAUUCACCUAAAUUCCUUUAUUAUUUAGUUAAUUGAAUGAUACUAGUAUCCAUGGAGCAAAAGGAGCACAAGAUGGAAAAAUAUGCGAAAAUGGCAAAAAUAGAAGACUUUUGCCACAAGGAAAGAUCAGACAUCACGGUUGUAGUACCUUGAUAGCACGGUUAUGCAACUUAUAACUAGAAAAAAGUGUCUAUAUGGCCUAACAUCACUAUAAUAAUGACUGUGUCUAAACUAAUGGUUUAAGUUGCCUCUCAAAGUAUUGCUCAACACAACUGUGCUAACUAAUAUGUAAGGAUAUGCCAUCUCUAACGCCUAUAAAUUGAGAGCUCUAGCAAUUUCGGUAAAAAACACACUAUCAUAGCUAUAGACGUCAAAGGUGAAAGUGCGCAUGUCAAGAGGAACACUUUGGAAAGCUUGCUCACUAUGUGUUUUUUGGUUUUGAUGAGGACAACUUGUGUUUCAUAAGAGCUUGAAGAUCAUCAACAAAUCAACGUGCUUAAGUCUCAAGAUUGGUAUUAGACUUAGAUUAGUAAUUAGUUUAGGUUGAGUCUAAGGCUUAGGUAAACUCAAUACAUGUCUCAUAUGCAUAAAACAUUAAAUCAUUUUAUUUUUGAGAUAUGUCAUUCAUAAUAUGUUCAUGCAUCCCAUAUAUACAUGUCAUAUGUGCAUCCUAGGCAUAAACUUAGUGUUGAACAUGUAUAAGUUAAGUGCAUAACGUAUUUGAGUUUUGCAAUUUAAAAAUACACUUGGAAAUAUGCAGUUAAUCGAUUAAGGUGUGUUUUAAUCGAUUAACAUAAGUUUUUGAAAAGUAGUUGGGACAGAAAACUUGCAAAACCGAAUCAGUUACAAUUUUGUAACACGUUAAUCGAUUAACCAAGGAUUUAAUCGAUUAANNNNNNNNNNNNNNNNNNNNNNNNNNNNNNNNNNNNNNNNNNNNNNNNNNNNNNNNNNNNNNNNNNNNNNNNNNNNNNNNNNNNNNNNNNNNNNNNNNNNGCUUGUAAAACAUUAUUUCAAUUAUAGUGAAGAAAAAUCUCCUAGAUCAGUCGGGAGGCCUGGAUGUAGUUUGCAAGUGGACCCGCAAAUGAAUAGGAUAAAAAUCAUGUUGCACGUUUUUCUUUCCCUCUCUCUUUAUUGCUUUAAUCAAUUACUUUGUAUAGUUGUUUUAAUUAUAAUAAUCUGUUUCUAUACUAUAUUGUUGUAACUCUGAUAUAUCCAUUUAAAUCCAUUAAUUCUAAUGGAUGGAUUUAGAUAAAAUUAAUUUGGAUGAAUUUGCAUGGAUUUUGGAUUAUGGAUAAUUUUGCCACCCCUACUUGUCACCCUUUUUGUCUUAGUUGUUAAAAUUUAAGUUCAUUUUUUCCAUAUUCAUUCACUUAUUUGAUAUAGCAUUAUUUCAUUUCUCACGUAAUUGUUGAAAUAUCAUGUGCUUGUUCAAACUGCAUAUUAUACACUAUUGGUUUACACUAUGAUGUGCUUCUAGUGGACAUGAGCAAAAUUCUUCUGGUUUUUCUAUGUUAGCUUCUUUACUUUCCUCUACCACAUAUCAUAGAAUGAUGGUCAUUUCAGUCAUUCCAAACUACAUGAUAGUAGAAAUCUUUGCAACUUCAUUCUAUGCAUUAUUCAAUCUCUUCAAUGGUUUUUUUUACCCCAAUAUUAGUGAGUACCAUUGCCUAGUUCUUUAAGAUAAAACUCUAGUUUCUAGCUUUGUAAUUUUAUUUAUAUAUAUCAUUAUUGUUACAGAAUAUCCGUAUGUGCUAUGUGGUGGUCAUGAUAGUAUUAUAUAUGCCUAGUAGCAUAGACAAUACACUGAUUAACAAUCUCACGUGGUGGGAAAUUGACUGUUCUACAAUAAAUGAAUGAGAUAUAAAAUAAAUUACUUGUUAUGAAGAAUUAAUAAGCUGAGUAUUACAACUUAAUCAUUAAUUUUUGAGAUUAAAGCAUUUGUCAAUUAAAGGGUCAAAUUUGAAUUCGAUUAAACUUAAUUGAAUCCAUACAUGAUUGAGUUUCAUUAUAUCUUGUUUCGAGUUCAACAAAUUAGUCGAUCAACAUUCAGAGUCGGAUAAAAUACAUACUUUAUCCAGCCUAACCUAUCCAAAUCUCACCCCUAAUAUUUCACAUUAAAAAAUCUUAUGUAUUUCAUCUUUACCUUAGUUUCUUCUUUGUCCACAUUAAAUAAUAUUAGUAAUACCCUAUUCAAAAAAAUAGUAGAAAAUAUUAUUUACAAUAGUGUUAUUUCAAUAAUUCAAAUUUAAUAACUUCCCUUAAAAAAUUAAAUUAUCUCUCCUUUACUUUUUAUCUUUUAUUUGUAUACACAUUACCCAAAAAUCAGUUGAAAACCAAAGAAAAAUUUACUAUCACAAUUGUGUUAUCAAAAUACAGUUUUUUCUAAUCACUGUCUGAUAAGGACUAAAAAUGUAAAGUCAAUUACAAAAAAAUUAAAAUAUAUUAUUACAAAUUAAAUAUAAAACUUUCAACAUUAACUUUAGAUUUUUUAGUUAUUUAGAGAAGAGCGAUGAUUAAAAAAAGAAAAAAAAAAAGAAUUAUAAAAGAUAGAGAAAGGUGAUGAAUAGUGUAACUUGUUAGCUGAUUCAUAUUAUUUUCUAAGGUCAUAACUCAUCCUAGUUUGAAUAUAGGCAAAAAGAUGUUCCCCUUUUAAUUACCCUUCAAAUUUGGUUGUUGAACUUUCUUUUGUAACUUUGGUCCUUCAGGUAAGAUUUGUCGAGUGAGAGACUGUGGUCCAAUGCAUGACUUGUUUUUUUUUUUUGUGUGUAAACUAUUGAAGUUAGUAUUAUAUUCUAGCCAGAAAAAUGUGUGGGAUAUUUUAUUCUAAAGUAAAAUAAUAAACAAAGUAAUAAUUUUGAAUAGAGAAAAUAAUUAAGAAGUUUAAAAUUUGUUUUAUAGAAAUCAAUCAAUUUAUCAAUAAUAUUUUUAAUUUAAUUAUUAUCAAUCUUAAGGAUACAAUUGUCAUCAUCAUAAAAAUGUUUGAACUCCAUUAAUCAUAGACAUAAACUUAGAGUAAUAUUGAAUGUGAAAAAAUGGAAUAUAUUGUUAUAGUUUUUUUGUUUAUGUUGUAAUAUUACUUGUACCUAUUUUUUAACCGGAAAACAUGGCAGCCUUCACUUGCGAUAUUAACAUACUAUUCUGACCUUAAAAAAAGGGAAAGGAGUUAAUGGAUUGAUUCUAGGCAUUUUACAAAUUUUGUACCCACUUGUGAUUUUGAAAAUACUAUGUAUGCCAUAUUGGAUUUGAUAGAAUUCAUCAUUAUCAUUCAUUCAAUUAAUUCACCAAGGCAAAAGAAGCUAGUUAUACUAGCCAAAAGAAGGAUAAGUAGUUAAAACAGUUGGGUAGUUAUUAACCAACUGCCUAAAAGGGAAACUGCCAAAAGAAGAGUAAUUCUAACAACCCAAGUGCUAAAGGAAAAAAUACAUAAAUAAACCAAGACUAUAAUCAUCUAAUACCCUCCCUCAAGCUGGAGAGUAAAUAUUCAAAACUCCCAGCUUGGAAAGAAGAUAAGAAAAUGUUGAAGCAUCCAAGGCCUUGGUAAGCAAAUCAGCAGGUUGUUCUUUACUAGGAAUGGGAAGCAAAUGGAAGAGAUGAGCUUGAAGUCUUUCUCUAACAACAUGACAAUCAAUCUCAAUGUGUUUGGUGCGUUCAUGAAACAUAGAGUUUGCUGCAAUAUAGGGAGCUGAGUUGUUGUCACAAUAGAGAAGAGAAGGCUUGGUGAACGAAAUAGGAAAGAUGUCAAGUAAGAAAGUCAACCACUGAAGUUCACAAGCAAUAGAAGCAAGUGCCCUGUACUCAGCCUCAGAUGAAGACCUAGCCAGUGUUGUUUGCUUCUUCGACUUCCAUGAAAUUAAUGAGUUUCCAAGGAAGACACAAAACCCAGAAACAUAUAUCCUUGUGUCUAUGCAUGUGUCCUAGUCAGAAUCACUAAAAGCUUUUAGUUGGAGUGCAGAAUCAUAGGGAUAAAAGAGACCCUGACUAGGUGUUCCUUUGAUGUACCGAAGAAGUCGAGUAAGAGCUUGAUAGUGAGCAUUAGUUGGGUGGCUCACAUACUGACUCAAUUGCUGGAAAGAGAAGCUGAGAUCAGCUCUUGUAUUGGUUAGAUAAAGAAGUCUUCCCACCAAUCUUCUAAAACUAGUAGGAUUGUUGUAAGCACGAGAAGAAUCUUGAGAUAAAAUAGUACCCUUAGCAAUGGGAGUGAUGGCAGGUUUAGAUGCCAAGAAACCUGUGUCUGCCAAUAUGUCUAAAGCAUAUUUUCGUUGGCUCAAAGUAAUCCCUUUACUUGUCCUUGCCACCUCAAGCCCAAGAAAAUAUUUUAAGUGACCAAGAUAUUUGAUUUUGAACAAAUCAUGCAGAUGUUGUUUGAAAAAUGUGAUUUAUGUGACAUUAUUACCAGCCAAAAUGAGAUCAUCUACAUAAAUGAGAAGAACAUUGAAUGAAUUACCAUGUCUCUUGGUGAAUAAGGAGUGAUCAUGAGCAGAUUGAACAUAUUCUAUGUGGAUAAGAGUGCGAGAAAGCUUGCUAUACCACUGUCUACUGGCUUGCUUUAACCCAUAAAGAUAUUUAUGGAGCUUACACACUUGAUUAGGCUUUGAGCAUACUACACCUUGAGGAAUACACAUGUAAACAUCUUCAGUUAAUUCCACAUGCAAGAAUGCAUUGUUGACAUCUAACUGAUGCAUAAACCAUUUUUCAGAAGUAGCAAUUGCUAACAUCAAUCUCACUGUUGUUAAUUUUAUCACAUGUUCAAAAGUGUCAAAAAAAUCAAUACCUUCUGUUUGAUCAUACUUUGCAACCAAUCUGGCUUUGUACCUUUCAAUAUUCUCAUUUGAUCUAUACUUGAUCCUAUAUACCCAUUUAGAACCUAUAGGAACUUUGUCAUGUGGUAUAUCAAUAAUGCUCCAUGUAUUGUUUAAUUCCAAGGCUGCAAGUUCAUAUGUCAUGGCAGUGAUCCACUCAGGUGACUUUAUAGCUUGCUGGCAUGUUUUUGGCUCAAAAUGUGUAGCAACAGAAAAAAUAUGAGAUAGAUGAGGAGGAGCAAUAGAAGAGUAUGACAGAAUAGAGGAUAGAGGAUGACGAAUGUAUGAGGUAGUUGUAGUAUUUUGUGUAAGAAUAUUGCAAUGAAAAUCAGUAAGGUAUGAAGCUGGACCACGAAUUCUUGUAGAAUUUCUAAUAGUUUCUGUUUUCUGAGGAGGAGGAGAAGGAUUUUGUGUUGGUGGUUUUUGGGGAGAAGAAUGAAGUUUUGUUUGUGUUUGUGUAGUAGAGGAGAUUGGAUAUUGUAUUAACUGAGGAGUGGAAGAUUGUGGUAAUGUGUAAUUUGAGAAAAGAGUAUUGUCAUGAAGAAAGUCAAAAGAUGAAGUAGGAGCCAAAAUAUCAGAAGUUGUUGCUUUGUUAAUUGAGAUGUAAGGGAAUUCAUCUUCAUAGAAGUACACAUUCCUUGAAAUAAAAAUCUCUCUAGAGUGUAAAUCAAAAAGCAAACCUUUAACACCUCUUUUGAAUCCUAAAAACAUACUCUUCUUUGCUAUAGUAUCUAAUUUGGUGCGAUGAUUCAGCAAUGUGGAUGCAAAACACAGACAACCAAAAACUUUCAGCUCAUUGAGGUUGGAUUUGCACUUAUGGAGCAUUUCAUAAGGGGAUUUCUGUUGAAGAGUGAUGCUAGGAAUCCUGUUUAUGAGAAAAGUGGCAUGUUGCACAGCAUAAGACCAAAAAAUGUGUGGAAGAUGAACAUGAAAAAGCAUUGAUCUAGUGACAUUAAGUAGAUGCUUGUGUUUCCUUUCAACAAUAGAAUUCCGUUAUGGUGUUUCAACGCAUGAAGUUUGAUGAAUGAUUCCAAUUUUUUCAAAGAAAGAGGGUGCUUGAAAUUCAAUUCCAUUAUCUGCUCUGAUGGUUUUGAUAAUCUUAUGAUGCUGAGUUUGAAUGAGAACAACAAAAUUAUGCAUUAAACUCCUUGCCUUAGAUUUGUUUUUCAUAAGAUAUAACCAUGUACGCUUACUAUAAUCAUCAACCACGGUAAGAAAGUAUUUGAAACCAUGAAUGGAGGAAACAAAUAAUGGACCCCAAAUAUCCAUGUGUACGAGAUCAAAAGGUGCUAAACUUUUAUUCAUACUGAUAGGAAAUGCCAACUUUGUUUGUUUUGCCAAAUGACAGAAAUCACAAAUUCUCUUAGCAUCAAAAUGUAAAUAUGAAAAUUCCCUACAAAUGUGUUGUAAGACAGCAAUAGAAGGAUGACCUAAUCUGUAAUGCCACAAGUCAAAAGAAGAAACACUACAAGCAGAAUUAAUAAAGCAAAUUUUCCGCAGACAUGGUCUUGAAGGUGUGUCUAGAAUGUAGAGAUUCUUGUGCACUUUAGCAUGUCCAAUCAUCUUCAAGGUACUCAUAUCCUGGAUCAUGCAUUCAGAUUGAUCAAAAAUUACUCUGCAAUUCAAUUCAAGUGCAAGUCUAUGUACUGAUAUGAGAUUGAAUUUGAAUUGUGGGACAAACAAUACAUUGUACACGACCAAUUUUUCAAAGAGCAUAACCAUCCCUAAAUGCUUCUCUGAAAUAACAGAUCCAUUUGGUAGUUUGAUAGCAACAUGUUUAAUAGAAUGGUAUGAUACAAAACUACAAAAAUAAGGACACACAUGGUCACUUGUACCAGUGUCAAGAAUCCAUGGGUGGAUAUUACCUGAGUCCUUAGAUGAAUUUGUUUCUGCAAGAGGUGUGAUGCUGAGUUGAUUCAUGUUACUUCCACCAACACAUUUAUACUAGCAUUGUUGAAUAGGGAUGCAAGUUCAACAUAUUGAGCAGGACUGAAACUCAGUAUUAGUUGUGUGUUAGUCUAUGUUUCCAAAAAUUCAUUCCCACUUCGUGCAUUAAUCAAAAUGGUACUUCCAAUAGCACUAUUAUUGCCAACAUUUGCUCUAUGUUUUGCAAAGUUAGGUGGAAAACCAUGUUUGUAGUAACAAACAUCAACUGUAUAUCCUUCUUUGUCACAAUAUGUGCAAACUUUGGUAUUACUAGUCCUAUUCAAAUCAUAGCCUCUUCGAAAGCCUCUUCCUCUAAACUUUCUAAAGGUAUUACAACUUCCCAAGAUACCUUGUCAUUGUCCUGCACAUGUGGUCUAACACUUUAAGAUUUGGAUAGGCAUAUUGAAACAGUCUUGAGUAUUAUUCUAAUUAAGGAUUGCAAACGUUAAGUUCAAUAAAUUGAGAAGAUUAUAUUUAGAAAUAAUCCAUAACAACAAAAUUGAAACUUUUAGAUAAGAUGAUAAAAUCUUUAAGAAAAAAUAAUAUGGACCUACAAUAAUUUUACAUUAUAUAUCAAAGAGGAUUUCAAUUUAGUACAUAAUUUGCAUGGUGCAAACGAUAGAAUGAACAUUAAGAUAGAAUGAGUCUUAUAUUAUGUCUAACUAAUUUAGCCAAUUAAAUUAUUCAAUAAAACUGAAUAUGACUUUAUAUAAAUUAAAGAUUUAUAUAUAAAAUUAAUGAUUUUGAAUAAAAUUAUAUGAAUAAAUGUUAGAGAGGACCUUUACUUUGAAAUUUCAAUAUUUUAUAUUUGUUAUGUCAACGGAAACUCCUUUAUCAAUCCAAACAAAACCAUCCAUCACAAGUAGUCAUCUUCCAAUUUCUAUCUCUCCUAUUCAAGAUCUGUAACACCGUGUUUUUUUCGAGCACUUUAAGUAAUUAGUUAUUAAUGAAUUAAUUAUAGAAAUUAAUCAGUAAUGUUUUAGGCUAAACCUCAAUUGAGUUUUAGUCUUGUAUUAUAAUAUUCUAGCUUGCCCUAUUUUUCAAGAUUUUUGGAGAAUAAAAGUUUCCAAGAUGAUUUCGGGUCGUUUUAUCGAGUUUUCGCCCAAUUUUUGAGUUUCGUAACUCGGAAUCGAAUUCCGAUUUUUCCCUUAACUUCGAAAUAUUAUUUCUAGUCAAAAUAGACAUCAAUUUUGUCCGAAACUCAUCUCUAGUUAUUUUUCACCUCGAAAUUCAAGUUUCGACGUUUCGGGUAAAAACCUAAAUCGUUAAAUCAUAUAUUUUCGGACGAAGUGACCCGGUAAUACUCAGGCACGACUUCAAUUUCGAAAUCACACCACAUCAAUCAAGUCGGAGUAUUAAUCAUAUCAUGGGUCAAUGGCUUGUCAAACAAGCAAAGUCAAAGCUUCCAUAAUCCCCUAAAUCACUCACCAAAUCUCCUCACUCCACCACCAUUAGACACAUCACCUAAGUUAGCCUAAAGCUAAAUUGCCUCUCAUUAAUUUUCAGAUUUGAGAGAGGGUGAGGUCUCCUAUAAAUAUCUCACCCCAUCAUCUCAUUUUUACAAUAAUUCUCCUAAAGAAAGUUAAGGUACUCUUUUUCUUUUUCUCUUCUCCAUUUUUCUCCACAUACACCAUGAGAAAAUCAUGAUCUCUUAGUAUGUUAUUCACAGAGUUGAGUUUAUAUUUGUUUUCUUUAAAUAUUUUGUAAGUCAUGACUAAGUGAGAUGAUAAUGAAAUCAUAUGAACCUUUGUGUAGUUNNNNNNNNNNNNNNNNNNNNNNNNNNNNNNNNNNNNNNNNNNNNNNNNNNNNNNNNNNNNNNNNNNNNNNNNNNNNNNNNNNNNNNNNNNNNNNNNNNNNUUCAAUGAUGGUUCGUAGUGGUGCUGAGGUUUAUUCUAUGUGGUUUAAAUGUUAUGACCAGGUGCCACUAGAAGCAUUCCCGAUGGGAGAUGUCUUAGGAUGGGCAGAUCGUUAUAAAAGAUGGAUUAAAAGAUUUAAUUUGCUAACUUCGGUUAGUGUGCAUAUUCAUUGUGAAUAAUGAAGUAGAGGAGAGGAAAUUUACGGGAGACGAAUGAGCCCCGAGAUGUUGAGAGGGACGGCGAUGGUGGUGAUUCGUCAGCAAAGUCUUGAGGGAGAGUCUAGGUGAGACGAGUCCCGUGUAUUCUUGGAUGAUAUAUUAUGUUGGAUCGGACAGUGCUCACAAAGAAAACUAGACGAUCUCUGACAACUUCUCUUUGCAAUCAGGAUCAAUGAGAGGGAUGCCCAGAAAGUGUUUGAUACGACAUCCUCCUGAAUGGACAGUUCUGUUGGAACAUAUCGAUCAUAUAUAUAUCCUUGCGAGGAAUAAGUUUUGGUGCUAUCAAAUAGGCUUGUUAUGGGAACUGUACUCUUGGUUAUUUCCUCAUAGUUAUUGGAAGGAUAAUGGUGUAAGGAUCAUGGACAUAUGCAUAGCAUGCAUAUAUGGUAUUUAUCGAUAUUGAUUCUAAAAUCAUAAGUUUUAUACUCCAUUCAUCAUUAAUACAUGCAUGUAUGAUCAUAUGAUAUAUCUGUAUUUGUUCUUUGUCUUGGUGUGAUAUUCUGUGUAAUUCCACAAUGUCAAUGAUAAGUUUUUCAUUAGAUGUUUUACUCCCUCUCUUUCUGGUGUACUCGUAUACAUCCAUGUUUAGAUGGACAGAUCAGCGAUGAUCACUGGUUACUGCUUUACCAUGUCCCAGGAAGGGGCAUGGAGCAUUGAAGGAAACAGAUACACCUAUACUGGUCCAUGCGACCUGGAAUUGGAUCUUGUAUGUGAUGGCUCUGUGUUGCAUCUCCCGACACAUUACGCAGUUCGGGAAGCAUCGUUCUCCCUACUAGAGUGAAGGUCUGUACCUUCCGGUCCAUCCGCACUAGCUGAGGUACGAGGCAGAUUGGAGGUUGUCAAGACCUGACCCCAACUGAGAUUCUCAUCUACUAACUCAACGCCAAGAGGGACGGAAGGAGCAGACAUGACUACUUCAUCGGGGCCAAAGGGAUACACCCUUUGAUGGAUUGGGCAACAGAUGAGGUGGUGGAGGACGAGGAUGAUGAUUGUGUAUAUUUAAUUUGCAUAGGGGAUUCAGUGGAGGUUAUUGAGAUCUCUUCAGACUCGGAGAUCGAUGAAGACCCGAGUGAGGUUUCUAGUGUACCAUCGGUCUAGGAGCUCCUUUUUUUUAUAGGGAACCUGUGUAGGAUACUUUUGUAAUGUCAACGCACCCAGCAUUAUUUUAUUUUUAUUUGUAUUUUUAGUCUUUGUUUGGGGUGAAGAAUAGACAUCGCCUUUUAUUUUGUAAACGAUGAUGUAUGUAUUACAAAUUCAAGAAUUGAUUAAUGAGAAGUAUUCAGAAAAGAAUUGUGUUUCGUUCAAUUACAUUUUAAAUAUUAAGAAAUUAUUUCUGCAAAGGUUUGAAAAUGUGACGUCUUGAAAGAGAAUAGAUAAAAUGAAGAAAAAAAUGAUUUAUAAAUUAUAUGUUAUAUAAAAGGAAAAAAAAAUUAACCAUUUUUUAAGAAUUAAAUAUAGUGAUUAUAAAAUAAUUUUUGGGGUGUUACAAGAUACAAAUGAAAUCCACGAUGGAUAUAUCUUUAUUAUUUAACAGAUAUAUCUUUAUUAAUUCCUCCAUUUUUUAUGUGACAGAUACGGUGGAAGAAUACAGAUACCAAAUACCGCACAUAUGACUCAAGGCAUGUAUCUUGUACCAAUAUUCCUUAUAUACCCUGUAUCUUUAUCAUUUGGUUAGUUUUUAGUACAAGAUUUUGAAGGACUUUAUGAUUCAUUCAUCCUACAAAAUGAUCAACUUUCACUAUCACGCUCAAACUAGCCCUUUAAUGAUUUAAAAAAAAUUACUUGUGGGAAAAUAUAUUUUUAUGUAAAUUAUACAAAUCAAUAAAUAUAACUUAUAUUUAUUUAUCAUUCUUGAUUUAGUUACUUUUGGUUAAUACUUUUUUAUUUUAAAUAAUAAGAAAUUAUUAAGUUACUUUUGGUUAAUUCUUGAUUUAGCCCUUUAAUUGUGUUUCGUUCCAUUACAUUUUAAAUAUUAAGAAAUUAUUUCUGCAAUGGUUUGAAAAUGUGACGUCUUGAAAGAGAAUAGAUAAAAUGGAAAAAAAAUGAUUUGUAAAUUAUAUGUUACAAAAGAAAUUUUUUUUACCCAUUUUUUAAAAGAUUAAAUAUAGUAAUUAUAAAAUAAUUUUCGGGGUGUUACAAGAUACAAAUGAAAUCCACGAUGGAAAUAUCUUUAUUAUUUGACAGAUAUAUCUUUAUUAAUUCCUCCAUUUUUCAUUUGACAGAUACGGUGGAAGAAUACAGGUACCAAAUAACGCACAUAUGCCUCAAUAGGUAUGGCAAAAUGGGCUUGACCCGACGGGUCAGCCCAUUUGGAUAGGUGUUUUUAGCGGGCCGGGCUAAGGGUUUUAGCCCAAAAGCCCGUAUUCAACCCGUUUUGGAAGCCCGUUUUUUAGACUGGCCAUGGAGGACCGGGCCGGGCCGGGCUGGCUGGGGGGCCAACAUUAAGAUUAAAGUUUAUUUAUCUAUCAUGUUGCUCAUUUCAAUUAAGAUUAAACUUUUACAAUUUUAACUCAUGUUUGGAUGCUUAAACCUAUAAUUCUUCAUUCUCUUUGUAAAGUGAACAUUUAAUAUCUCAUUAUUUAGUUAUCUAUUAUCUUCACUCUUAUCCAAAUAUUGUACUUGUUCUCAAAUAAAGGUGGAGUUUGAUUAACAAUUAGGGGUGUUUGAAUCAAAUUUAAAACUUUAAUUAAUUGAAAUNNNNNNGAGUAAUAUAUAUACUUUAUUGUGAUUGAUUUAUAAUAUAGUAGUUUUGAUUCUUAUACACUUUUUAAAAUUGAGGAGUUAUAAACUCUAUUGUGAACUAGGAAUGUAAAAGUUUAAGACUAUGGUGGUUUAUUGUUUAGAAUUUACAAGUUUUGUACUAAUGCAAUAUGUUAUUAUGAAAUUGUGUCUUUUGUUUGUGAUUUUUUGUUUUAAAAGACAUUUAUGAAUUGUUUGAAUUAUUUAUUUUUGUCUAAAAGCUUUAAUGUGUAUUUUGAAAAAAGAAAAAAACGGGCCAGCCUGCUAGUCCUGCCAAAUAUGGGUCGGGCUGACAUUUUGAGCCCUUAUAACAAUAAGGGCCAGGUCGGGCCAGCCCAUAUUCUGACGGGUCAAAGGCGAGCCAGGCUGCCCCAGGCUGACCCGUAUUGUCACCCCUAUGCCUCAAGGCAUGUAUCUUGUACCUUGGGAAUGAUAAAUUAAUAUUCCCUUAUAUACCCUGUAUCUUUAUCAUUUGGUUAGUUUUUAGUACAAGAUUUUGAAGGACUUUAUGAUUCAUUCAUCCCACAAAAUGAUCAACAUUCACUAUCACGCUCAAACUAGCCCUUUAAUGAUUUAAAAAAAAUUACUUGUGGGAAAAUAUAUUUUUAUGUAAAUUAUACAAAUAAAUAAAUAUAACAUAUUUAUCUAUCAUUCUUGAUUUAGUUACUUUUGGUUAAUACUUUUUAUUUUUCAUUGAUAGUUUUAAAGAUAACAAUAUUUCAAAUACUAUUAAGUACUCAAGCAAUUGGAAAAUAUAUUAUAGUCUGAGUAAUUUUUAGUACUCAAAUAAUUGGAAAAUGCAUUAUAUUUUAGUUGAUAGUUUAGAAAACAAAAUAAUGUCUUAUUCAAUUACUAUCUUAUAAAAAUAAACAAUAAGCCUAAGAUAUAGUGAUUGUACUAAUGAUGGAAGAUAGUAUUAUCGAACCAUAUUCUAGUUAGAAAUCUUAAUUUACUAAAUGAAAUAGGUCAUAUAUACAAGGGUGUGAAUUAUAUAUAUAUAUAUAUAGUACUUGUACUAAUGAAGGAAGCUAGUAUUGUGGAACCAAAUUCUGGAUAUGUGAAUUAUAUGACGUUUUUGAGUAGGUAGUGUUUGAAAGAAUUUUAUUUAACUUAUAGCUGAUAAUAUUAUUAUGACUUACCAUUGCCCUAUUUAAUGAAAACAUUUCAAUUCACAAAUGAUCUUGCUCAACACAAAGUUUUAUAGACUAAGUAAUAGAAAAUUAUGAAAAUUGAAGAUAAAGUAGCAUGGAAUUACAAUCUGUGUAAUUAUUACAUGCCACAACUAAGUAAAACAUCAACUUUGUUUACAGACGAUAUAACUAGACCAAAGUGUUAUGAAAUGAAAUUAUGGGACACGCUGACAAGAGAAGACUCGCAUAAGUGGAGCCCUUGUCGCCUUCCCUUUAUUAUCAUUAAUCAAUGCUACAGCAUUGUUAUACAAAGUAUCCUUCACUAAAAAUUUGCUAUGGUGCCUGCAUCUUUCCCACCACAUCAACUCUUCAGAACUUGAUGCUGCAAUAUUGCACAAACCAAUAAAUAAAUGAAGUGAUUUAAUUACCAAAUUUUAGACCAAAAGUAAUCUAUGCUAGUGAGAUGUACUUUAGGCUUAAUUUCCAUUAAUUGGCUAAAUUUCAGUAACUAGCUAGCAAAAGAGCAAGGAUGCAUAUACAGGAUAAUGAUUUUUCUCUCACAAACAUGUGAGAAUAGUAUGUAAAAGAGUAAUUUCAUGUAAACCCUUUAAAGAAUUUUAAUGAAAUUUUUUAUGGGUUUUAUAAUUAACCAUUAUUUCCAAAAACUCAGGCAUUACGCUAAAUAUUUAAAUGAUGGUUGUUAAGAGAUAAGAAUAAUGUGGAGAGAAGCUUAGCUCCAUUCAUCCAUUUAUGGGUGUUAUCACUUUAUUAAUAUUUAGAUGAAAAACUUGACAAUUUCAUUAAAAAGGUAAGUAAAAAGAUAAGGAAAUUGUGAGGUAAACCAGAUAAGGAAAUUGUCAAAUCAUGAUGUAAGAAAUUGUUACAUAAAUUUCUAUUUUGUACUUAAAUUUAAUUUAUGCAAUUAUUAGGGAUUAUAAGUUCCAUCAUCAUGGAGAAUUUUAGUAGCAUAUUAUAAACAAAUUCACUAAAAUGUAAGUAAUGCAGGAUAGCUAUUCAAAUCUACUUUAUUAUUUUUGUUUCUUCUUCCAUAUUGUCAUCUAAUUGCACACAAAGAGUUGAUAGAUAGUAUGGUGUUUUGUAUAAAGAACAUUUUUCUAUUUUUAGAAAAUUAUACUUUUACUCCUUCUUUAUAAAAUCAUAUUGUGGAAAUUAAUGUGAAUUAAAAUAAAUUGAUUAACAUGGUUAUGAUAUAAAUUUACAANNNNNNNNNNNNNNNNNNNNNNNNNNNNNNNNNNNNNNNNNNNNNNNNNNNNNNNNNNNNNNNNNNNNNNNNNNNNNNNNNNNNNNNNNNNNNNNNNNNNAUAUCUACUGCUAAAUAUAAUUUUUAUCUUUUAUUAAAAUUGAGGAUCAACUACCAACAGGUGUUGGUUCAAGUGGUACAUGUUUGAUUCCUCUUAAGCAAGAACCCGGGUUCGAGUCUUGUGGAUGGAAAAAAUGNGCCCGUUGGGAGAGUUAGCCCCACUUACCUGUGGAUGUGCCCAGCUUGGACAGGAUUGCCUCCAGUGCGAGGAUACCUGUGGGGAACCAAAAAAAUUGAGGAUCUACUAUACAUAACAUUAAGGACCACAUAGACAGUUUUAAUUGGUAACACAUAAUUUAUGAUUAUUGUUUACUAACAGGAUAAACUNNNNNNNAUAAACUACAAAGGCUUUGAUUAUGAUUUAUUAAUAGUAUAAAAGUUAUCCUAUGCGAUCUAGGAUCUUAUUUGAUAUGAAGCUCCUGAUUGUUACCAAAGAUGCAUGUGACAGCAAUGGAUUUGUUNNNNNNNNNNNNNNNNNNNNNNNNNNNNNNNNNNNNNNNNNNNNNNNNNNNNNNNNNNNNNNNNNNNNNNNNNNNNNNNNNNNNNNNNNNNNNNNNNNNNUAAUGAUAUUCACAUGAAUUGCGUCUAAAAACUAGUUAUUUUUAAAAAGAAUUAUUUCCAUGACAUAAUUAUUAUCAUUGUAUAUUGUUUUUGUAGCUUGCAAUAAUUUUAAAUGACAAGAAAGAAUAACUACUAAUUGAGUUAUGAUCAAGUGAUUUUCUUUAAGAUGUUUCGUGUGGCUGUCCCCUUCUUGGAAUUAAAAAGUAACAUUUACCAUGCUCUAGUUAGAGAGUAUUAUNNNNNNNNNNNNNNNNNNNNNNNNNNNNNNNNNNNNNNNNNNNNNNNNNNNNNNNNNNNNNNNNNNNNNNNNNNNNNNNNNNNNNNNNNNNNNNNNNNNNUUUGCGUAGACCUCAGUUAUAUGUUCAGGGUGAGUUGACCAAAGCUGGGUUGCUGUCCGUAGAGAAUAGGCUUCUACACUACCUGAUUGCCUAUAUUAUGAUUCAGAGAAACACAAAUCAUGCACAACUUACAAUGAAUGAUUUGAGAUUCAUGUUUGUUGUGAAGGAGAACAUAACGAUUAAUUGGCCUGACGAGAUUCUANNNNNNNNNNNNNNNNNNNNNNNNNNNNNNNNNNNNNNNNNNNNNNNNNNNNNNNNNNNNNNNNNNNNNNNNNNNNNNNNNNNNNNNNNNNNNNNNNNNNUAGUAGCUCGACGAUUCCUGACAACCAAAACCCUCUAUCUCAUCCUUAGUUAGGAGACCUUAGAGCCUUAGUUUUAUCCUUCCUAGCUAAUGGACUUUGUCGUUCCUUGUUCCCUCUUAAGAACUUAUCUUUCAUUUUGCGCUUUUGUUCUUAUUAUGGAUUGUAAUAACUCUAAAACUUCUGNUUCUGCUGAAUUACUGCUUUAAAAUUUGACAUUGCUUUACAAUGAUUUCGAAUUAUAUUGUUCAUGCUUGAAUACUAUGUUGCAAAUAGUAUACUCCUUUGUUUAAUGGANNNNNNNNNNNNNNNNNNNNNNNNNNNNNNNNNNNNNNNNNNNNNNNNNNNNNNNNNNNNNNNNNNNNNNNNNNNNNNNNNNNNNNNNNNNNNNNNNNNNCGUAAUAUGAUUGCUUACCUAAGGGGGAGCAAAUGCGCUUCAACUUUGUAUCUUUGAAAAACAACCAUUAACAACCAUUAUGCAAACUCGCCAUCAAGCUAAUUCAUCAAACGUUUUGAACAAUUUUGAUGUAGUGUUUGUCAUCAUCAAAAAGGUGGAGAUUGAAAGUGCAAAGUGUCAAGGAUAGCACUAGCAAUGCUUUGCGUAUGUUUUGAUGAAGACAAGGUCCUAUUAAAGCUUGAAGAUGGCUCAACAAUCAACAUNNNNNNNNNNNNNNNNNNNNNNNNNNNNNNNNNNNNNNNNNNNNNNNNNNNNNNNNNNNNNNNNNNNNNNNNNNNNNNNNNNNNNNNNNNNNNNNNNNNNUAUGAGACAUAUCAUCUAGUUAAUUGUAUGUUCAUGCAUCUAUCAUACAUGUUAUAUAAGCAUAUUACGCAUAAUAUAAUUGGUAGAACAUGUAUAUAAGUUGUGCAUAACAUAUGAUAAGUUUACCUUUUGAACCAUGUAUUUUAAUAUGCAGUUAAUCGAUUAAUGUGGUGACUUAAUCGAUUAACUUAACUGCUUUUAUGUUAAAUCAGUGUUUCUGUUACAACUGUUUUCUGUUUCUUUCUGUUGCACUUGUUAAUCAAUUAACGGGUAGCCUUAAUCGAUUAACAUGUCUGUUAUUUGGUAUAACUGAUUUCUUUUUUAACCGUUUAACUCUUUGCAACGAAUCCAACUGUCAAAACUGCUUACUAUAAAUAGAGGCAACUUCCAGAAAACUAUAGCAUUGCAUUCCAUUGUAUAGGGCUGAUUUUAGAGAGCAUAUUUCGUUCUGUUUUUACUGCUUUUUGCAAGAGAGUUGCAUGUGUGAGAAGAGAGUUAUCAUGCUGAAUUGAUUUAUGGUUUUGCAUACUGUUUUACACUUUCUUAUGUUCAUUCUUAUCUUGCUCACAUGUUGAUGCAUUAUUUGUAAUGAUUGAUAGAGAGAUACUUUGAUUUCUGUUUUUGAUUAACUCACAUGUUCUUGAUGGCUUGAGUGAUUAGUGAGUGGGUUAGUCUUAAGGUCUUUUACUUGUAAUAUUUCAUGCAUUAUUGUGCUUAUAAUACCUUGCUGUUUUAACCUUUUUUUUUGUNUUUUUUUGUGUUUCUGGAUUGAUCUCUUGGUGUCGUACCACCACAGAGAUUGGGAUUCUUCACCAAGACUAGGAGGUCUUGAUUUGAGGACAAGAAUCUUGGCUGGGGCUGUUUCGCGAGAAAUGUUUUCUCAGGCGAAAGAUAGAGUCAAACCAAGGGCUUAAGGGUCCUAGAUUUCAAGAAAGAAGCGUCCUAUUUUCUUGUAAUNNNNNNNNNNNNNNNNNNNNNNNNNNNNNNNNNNNNNNNNNNNNNNNNNNNNNNNNNNNNNNNNNNNNNNNNNNNNNNNNNNNNNNNNNNNNNNNNNNNNUUUACUGCCAUAUGCUUAUUAAUAGUGCUUAAAAAUAUCUGUUUUAUCUCUGUUCAAUUGAUUUUAAAUAAUUGUGCAAUCUGCCUCUCUGAUCAUUCUGUUUAGUGCAUGUUUUAAUCGAUUAAGACUAGGUGUUAAUCGAUUAACUAGGCUGUUUCCAGAAAUUGGGUUUUGGUGCAAGAAGCAGUGAUCGAAAACCGCUACACCUAUUCAACCCCUCCCUUCUAGGUGUUCCUAGGCAACUGAUACCUAACAAUUUUAAUGAUCUGCAUGGAAUGAUAGAUAACACAUAAAAUGAUUAAUGAUAUUAUUUGAGAACAUUUUAAAAUCUAUUUAAAUGUGUAAUUACUACAUAUUCCAUUUAUUAUAUUUAAAAUGUUUUUCAAAGUUUCAUAACAACUUUAAUACAUAAUUUUAAAGUAGAAACUAAAUUGUCAUAAUUAAUGACAAUAAUUCCUUAAUUAUAGGAAAAGAAACAUUUGGGAACUAUCAACUUUUAUUUUUAAUUAGUAUUUAAAAUAAUUAAUCUAUGACAUAAAUCAAAUAUCAUCAAAUUUUCUCAUUAAUUGUAAUAUCAUAGUUUAUUCUAUUAAUAAUAUGAUUGAAUUCCUGAUAUUAAUGCACUUUAAUGACAUUAAAUGAAAACGUUUUAAGAUUUAUUUAAAUAAUCAGUAUUAAACAUUGUUAUUUUUAUGAAAUAAAUUCACUAUAUAUCAUUUUAAAGCUAGACAAAAUAAGUGAAUAACAAAAAAAAUUCUUAUUAAUUGUAAUAUAAUAGCUCAUUCUUUCUAUUAAUAAUAACAUUAGAUUUCUACUUUAAGUGAGGCUCGAACUCACAACUUUCUUCUUUACAUUUCUUAAAUUUUUUCACCUUAAUCAUCCUACCAACUUAUGACUCACAAUCAUCGUUAUAUAUUUGUUAAUAUUAUUAAUUACGUUAUAUAUUCAAUAAUUGUUACGAAAAUUCCUUAUAUAUUUCAUAAUUGUUCUAAUAAUUUACUAUUAUUGAUUUUAAUUUUCUUAAUCUACUAUCUUUAAUAUUUUGUUUAUGUUAUAUUUCAUAUUGUUACUAUUAUAAUAUAUCAAUUGUAAAAUAUAAUUACAAUUUUAUUAAUUACAUUAUAUAUUCUAUAAUUGUUACGAAGAUUACUUAUAUAUUGCAUAAUUUACUUGUUCUUUCUGAUAGGUCUUGGUAUAUAUUGUUAAUUUUAACGCCCCGAAAAGUACUCCAAAAAAAUCUUGCUCAAAAAUGGGUAUUUUUUUUAAUAAUGAUGCCAUAUAAAAUUUAUUUCCUUAUAUCCGUUUCAUUUUUGGAACAUCACUUUAAGUAACAUACAAUGCAGAAAAUCAAAAACACCAUUACCUAAAGGUAAUAAAAAUAUAACUCAAUAUAACUUUGAAUCAUACUUCAUUAGAAUAUCAUGAAAUGUUGGUACGAAGUAUAAGGCGGAAUCCUAAUCGUUGCCCAAAUAAAACUACUCGCAAAAUAAAUACCCUACACUGGUGAUAAGUGCCAAAUAUACCUAAAAAUCAUACACUUUUAUGGCACUUAUCUUAAUCAUAAUUGAAAUAAACCAACUUAAAACAAAACUUUUUGUAUUAAAUAUCACAAUUUGGUAUAUUUGUGUUUGUAUUGCCUUUUUAUGUAUUUUGUAGGAAAUAAAAUGAAGAAAAUAAGAGAAAAGGUUCAUGGUAAAAAAGAAACAAAAGUCAAGAAAAUCAAGGUGCUCAACCAGGCAGCUGAGCAUGGAACAAGCCCCGCUGAGCUGACCUGGCCACCUACCUGACCUUGCCACCUGCCUGACUUAGACCAAACUGCUCAACCAGGCAGCUGAGCGGACCUGCUUAGCCGCUCAGCCUAGCACCAGACUAGGCCUGGCACGGUCAGAAAUAUGCUUGACACGGUCAGACACGAGCUUGGCACAAGCCAAGCUGCUGAACAAGCUGCUCAGCAGUCAAACCAAGCUGCUCAGCGGAGAACUAGACUCAUGGCCAGAUCAGCAAGCACCAAGCCACAUCCCAGUCAACACGGUCAGAAGCUGCUGAAUAAGCAACUCAGCUAUAAAGCAGGUGCGCUGGGCGGUGCUUACUAGACUUGACUUAACCAUCAAGCAAACCAUGAAGUCAUCCAUGACCUCACCUCAAGUAGUCCACCAUAGGCUUUUCAGAGUAGGUCACAAUAGCUGGUCUCAUAGCCCACAACUAGCUUUGGUGAGUCAUGCACAAGGAGGUGACUAAGCUACUUGGUCAAGGGACCAAACCCAUGCUGAAGGGUUUGGUCAGCUGCUAAGCGGUCCAGCUCAGCAGCUCAGCGGUCUAGAAUGGAGCCUAUAAAUAGAGUCCAUUUCCUUUGAGCAAAAUAUAAUACAACACACCAUUUCUUCAUAAAAUUCUCUCAAAAAUACUUGAAGGCCAGAAUUCUCUCAUUUAGGAAUUCUUUCUUAGUUUAGAGUUUUCAUUUUCAAGUAAGUUUUGUAAUUUGUAGUUUAGAAUUCAAGAGGAGAAAAGGAAAAGGCAAAUGAGAUGCAAAAAUCAAUUUUGUACUCUCAUUUGGAACUCAAAAGCAUCCAAUCCUUGGAUGGAUAGCUCAUGCUCCUAAACAUUUUCUUUUGAACAAGGUUAUGUAUUUUCUACCCCUUCUUAAUUUACAAAAGUUUGGAUUUUAAUCAUUCAAGUUGGUGCUUUGGUUAAUAUUAUUUGUUUGAGAAGAACUUAAUGCUCUUNNNNNNNNNNNNNNNNNNNNNNNNNNNNNNNNNNNNNNNNNNNNNNNNNNNNNNNNNNNNNNNNNNNNNNNNNNNNNNNNNNNNNNNNNNNNNNNNNNNNCUAUUAGGCAAUUCAUUGUGGUUCGACAUAACCCUAUACUAUACUACAAUUGAAUCUUGAAAGAGGUGUAAAUUGUAAAAUAGUAAAGUGAUAUCAAUAAAUUUAUUUGUUGAAAACACCUUUUAAUAUACAAAAGUGAUGAAGCUAACUUACUAACUUUUAUUUCUUGUUGUUUACUUUCCGCAUUUUAUUUAUUCUUUAAUACCAACCUUCCUUAGGAAGAAGUUUGGUUUGUUAAUAAAAUGAACCCGAAAGGGAGUAAAUAAAUAAAAGGUCACUAAAUUUAUUAUUCUUUUGUUCUUUAUUUAUUUAUUUGUAUCUAACAACUAACUAUUCAUCACUUUUAUAUAUUAGAAUACCAUUAAACCGAUGUUGGAAUUUAUUCCACAAAAUCGAGAUGGUAUUCAAAGGUACUUAAUAAUUAUGUAAUAGGUAAUUGCUUCGAUACUAUUAUACCAGCGUUAGAAUUUAGUCUAACAAAGCCGAGAUGGGGCAAAGAAGGAAUGACUUAUUCACAUGAUUAUUACGAAAGUAAGUUGUAACUGGAAUAUUCUUGAAACCAUUAUACCGGCGUUGGAAUUUAUUUCAAUAAAGCCGAGAUGGCGAACAAAAAAUAAAACUGAGUUCUCUUACUUACAAAAGGAACAUAACGAAAAUGAGAGUAUUAAUCUUUCAACAAAUUGACACUGUUGUCAGGACGAUUUGUUGAGAGAAGAAAACUCCCAACUAAAAUAAAAACUCCGAACUACCCUUUCAACAACAGGUACACUAAUCAAAAAGCACAAGAGCCUGUGUAGGUAUAACUGGUUCCCUCAAUCCUCCAUGCCCCCUCCUAGGACAUCGAAAAGCGGUAACUCAGAAUCCUGGCAGAAUGAUCCAUCUGAACAAAACGCGAAUAGAAGACAAACCUAAAGAAAAGGGAGUAAAACAUCUAAUGAAUAUUAUUCAUUGACGAAAUGGAAUUACACGGAAUAUCACAUCCAGACACACACACAUGAUAAACACAAUAUAUACAUUACAUAUAAAAAUGCACAAUGAUGAAUGAUGUUAUAAUCUCAGAUUAUGAGGAUCAAAGUCCACAAUCUCAAUGUAUGAAUGUUAUGUUUGUUUCAUUCAUCCUUUCACCAAUAUCCUCCCAAUAUACUAUUAAAAAAUAACCAAGAGUACAGGUCCCAUAACAAGCCGAUUUGAACGCACCAAAAUUAUUCCUCGCAAGGAUAUAUGAUCGAUCUGUUCCGAAGAACUAUCCAUUUCAGGACGGUGUCAUAUCAAACAUUUUCUGGGCAUCCCUCUCAUUAAUCCUAAUUGCAAAGAAGGGUUGUCAGAGAUCGUCUAGUUUGCGCUAUGAGAACCUCUCUACUACUUCAUUAUCCAUAAUGAGUAUGCACGCUAACCGAGGUUAGCCGAUUAAAUCUUUUAAUCAUUAUUUUGUAUGAUCGGCCCAACCUAGGACAUCUCCUAGAGGAAUGCUUCUUGUGGGGUCCGAUCUUACGUCAACACGUAAAUAGAGGAAUAAUAUCCCUACAACUACGAACCGUCAUUGAAUCACCCUAGACGACCACAUGGCCAAGCCUCUUACGGUCAGACGACCUCGCUGCGUGGUAUCAUGUAAUCCUUUUUUGGGCAUCACCCUAAUCACGACUUCAAAGUCGGAAACCUUGCCCUAAAUAGGGGCAAGAACAAAGGUACUUGUAUAAGUUUGUCGAUUUCAGGAACCGGAUUCAAUCAUUUGAGUUACGGUCUUUCCCAAGGGUAAACACACUUCACACCCAAGCUAGGGCUAUUGCCUCUAACAAAGCAAUUCCUUACUUUUAUUACUUUCAAGAAUUUCAUAUAGUUAUUUACCUUUAUAACUUCUUGAUGGAAAACAUGUCAUUAGGCUCUCGUAUAUAUGAGAGUUAUCAUUCGUACGACUUAAAAAGAAGUCAUGUCUGUAUGGAGCCCUCUCGCUCGAGCUGUUCGCUCAAGCGGGGGCACAUCCAUUUUUGAGGCAUUUGUGGCUUAAGCAAGAGCUGUCUCGCUUAAGCGAGAAAACAAUCAGUUCUCUCGGUGCCUAUUUUAGCUCAAGCGAGAGCUGUCUUGCCCCGAGCUAAAACAUUCGGUUUCUCUAUACACUUCUCGCUUAAGCGAGAGCUGUCUUGCUCAAGCGAGAAGAGCCUGAUUAUAAUUUUAAUUACUUUUCUCAAGGAAAAUAUUUCUCAUUUAUAUCACAUGUUUUUAAACCUUGAAUUUAUUAAUUGUCACAUACAUAUCAUUCCCAUAAUAAUCAUUCAAACAUUAUAAUUCAAUAGUAAAUGUGGUAUUUGCAUAUAUAAACAUAACAUAAAUCGGUAUAAGAAAUAUUGUUGUACUUAAUCCAAACAAACAUGCAAUUGAUUAAGUACAAGCUUUUUUAAUACCCAAGGCAACUCUAAAAUUGUGAGGGAGUUUGGGAUACCGGAUCGAAACUCUCCACUGUUUUCGAUCCCAAUGCAUUUUAGUUUCUCGAAUGGUGUUCCUUCAUGGAUAACAAAGGUCAAAAACUACAUAAAGGUUCAUAUGAUUUUAUUAUCAUCCCCUUUAGUUAUUCCUUCAUAAAAUACUUAAAGAACAAAUAUAAACUCUACUUUUUGAACAACAUAAUAAAAGCUCAUAACUUUCUGUGAAGUAUGAGAAGAAGAUGAAGAAGAGAAAAUAAAAGACUACCUUAGUUUGUAUAGGAAAUUUAGUGUAAAAAUGAGAGAAUGGGGUGAGGUAUUUAUAGGAGAGUCUCACCCUUAUCAAAUCAUAAAAUUUAAUGCAAAGUAAGUAGAUUUAGACUAGCAUAGGUGAUGUGUCUAAUGGUGGUGGAGUGAGAGGAUUUGUUGAGUGAUUUAGGGGAUUUUGUGUAAGAGGAUAUGUACUUUUGCUUGUUUAACAAGCAAGCUUCUUACAUGAAAGUGAUGUAACCUUUUUGAUGAAACAUUCUCGAUUAAACCAUUCCCGAGUAUUGUCGGCUAAUACCCGGUCGGAUAAUAAAAAUCUCUUAAUUUCGGUUUAUGGUUAGAACUUCGAAACACAGAAUUCGGAGUGAAAAAUAAUUAGAAAUGCGUUAUGGAAAAACUUGAUAUCUAUCUUGACUCGAAAUAAUAUUUCGAAGCCAAUGGCGCAAUCGGAAUUCAAUUUUGAGAUACGGAACUCAAAAACACGUUAUUGGGUCGAAUUCGGGCGAAUUUGGGCUCGACAACAGCUCAAAAACUUUCCGUCACAGAAAAUUACGAACAUUUACCACAAAAUAGGAAAUCAUAAAACAAGACUAACAAUCAACUAAGGUUUAGUCUAAUUCAAUACCGAUUAAUUUGGAAAAUUAAUCGUUGUUAAAAUAAAUAAUUAAUAAAACCUGCACAGAAAAUUCAUGGUGUUACAUUAAUUGAUUAUUUCAAUUUUGAAACUGAUCUGCAAAUUUAUAUUUUAUUUUUUUAACUCAAACAAAAAAUUCCAACUAUUCUAUUUCUUCAUGAAUUUCGAAUCAUAUGUUAUAAUUCAACCAAUUUAUAUCCAUAGUGAGAAUUGUUUAAAAUCUGGAAAUCAUAAAUAAUUUAAUCAAAAUAUAUUUCAUAUUAUUAUUAGUAUUAUUAUUAUUAUUAUAUUGCAAUUGUAAAAUAUAAUUAUAUAUUCUGUAUAUACUCCUUCAUUACAUUAUAUAUUCCAUAAUUGUUACGAAGAUUCCUUAUAUAUUCUAUAAUUGUUACGAAGAUUCCUUCAUUUAGUUGUUGUUUCUGAUAAGUCUUGGUUUAUGUUGUUAGUUGAUUCUUUCCAUUUUGUAACUGAAUCGCAAAUUUAUAUACUAUUUCUGUAACUGAUACAAAAACUCCAACUAUUAUAUUUCUUCAUGAGUUUUGAAUCAUAUGUUAUAAUUAUAUCAAUUUAUAUCCAUAAUAGGCAUUGCUUAAAAUUUGAAAAUGAUAAAUAAUUUAAACAAAAUAUAAAUCAAAUCAAUUGGUUAUCACAUUCAAAAUUCAUUAGUUAUAUUUCUGCAAAUUUAUCUCCAUAAUGAGGAAUGCUUCAAAUUUUGAAAUCAUAAAUAAUUUAAAUCAAAUAAAAAUAAAGACUUUAUUCUUCUCCAUAUAUGGGAAUGCCAUAAUAUCCAAAAGCAAAGAAAUGAAAAAUGUACUUUAAACGCAGAUUUAUAAAAUAAUAAUAAAUCUACAAAACGAAUAAAAAAUACACUUUAAAAAGGAUGGUUGGAAGAGAAAGAAUAUGGCGAUAAUGAAGAGAUAUAAUGAAAUGAAACCAAAGAAAAUGAAAAUUGUUGGGAGAGAAAGAUUGUUGAAAGAGAAAGAGAAAGUCAUGGAUCUCAAUAACAAUCAAAAUGCAAUUUAAGGUGUAGUCAUAAAAAAUGCAAUAAUUAUUUAUUAAAUUGUUACUAUCAUCAAGAAAGAGCAAAUAUAGUAUGGAAAUAUACAUAUGAUUACCAUGAAACCAUUUAGGAGAGGAAAAAUGAAGGAAAAUGUGAUAUGUGGCAAAUGAUAAGGUGAUAGGAGUUUUUAUUUUAUUUUAUAGUUAAUAGAUUUGUGUGGUGUAAAAGAUAGAAUGAACGUGAAGGUAAAAUAAAUCUUAUAUUAGGUCUAACUGAUUUAACCAAUUAAAUUAUUCUAUAAAAUUGGAUAAGACAUUAUAAAAAAUUAAUGGUUAUAUAUAAAAUUAAUGAUUAUCUAUAAAAUUAGUAGGAUACCCAUGCAUUUGCACAGGCGAAGUGUUUUAUUGGGGAUAUGAAUUUAAAGAAUUGAAUUUCAAGGUUGUAUAAUAAAAAGGAAAGAAAUUUUUUUUAGGAUGUAAUAGUUUUUUUUUGUUUCUUAUAGGUAUCCUCGCACUGGAUUCAAUCAUGUCCGAGCUAAGAACAUACAUAGGUAUGUGAGGCUAAUUCUCCCAGCAUGUAUUUUUUUCCAUCAACAAGACUCGAACCCGAGACCUUGCUUAAGGGGAAUCAAGCAUGUACCACUUGAACCAAAACCCAUUGGUUCUCACUUCCCUUUAUAUCUCCAUUUCAAAACUCUCUCUUAUGAUGUAAUAGUUUGUAAAUAAUUAAUGUAUUUUAUAUUAAAUAUGUAACAUUGGAGGUUGAUAGUUUGUAUUUAACCUCAUAAAAUCUAAAUAAAUGACACAUUAGAGUUUAAGAAAAAUAAUAAUGUAGUCUACGAAUCUUAAAGUAGAAGAAAAUGUUAUAGGUUUUGGAAAACUUCCUUGUAAACAACAUUUGUUGUUGACUUUAGAGCUUUAUCAUCCUUAUCAUGUAUCAUUAUCUUCAAUCAUUUUUUACUUAAAAUUUGUUGCACUCUUAAAAUUGUGAUAUAUAAUUGCUUGAAAACUAUAUUUUUACUUCUGUUUUAAUUCAAUUAUACGUUGACUUAAUGUUUCACGAUUUUGAAUUGCCCGAAAACUAUAUUUGAAAAAAGUAGAAUCAAUGUUAUAAUUAUACAUUACGUGUUAAUUAAUUAAUUUUAAAAGAUAUUUGUUCGUAAAUAAAUAUUAUCUACUUCUGAACUAAUCUAUGUUUGAAAUUUAUUCAUUUAUCAACAAUUUUGAAGCACACCAUGAAUUAGAAAGAGAUAAUAGGUAUUUACCUAACAGGUGAUUAAAUAAUAAUGUAAAUAAGCAAGAGAAACAAAAGAUAUUUGAUUAAGACAUAAAAGUAUUAAAAAUUAUUAUGACUUUGUGGUUCUUUGAUUCUUGCAUGUGUUAGAAUAAUAAUCAUGGAUGUAUUUGUUGACCUCUUGUUACAGUGGUUGAUAAAUUUUGUUGCAUGACAUUUCCAAUGAGUACAACCAAUGACAUCUUCGCUACUUAAAUUUUUGAAAUUAAGUUAGGAAAAUUACAAAUAUUUAUAUAAAUAAAUAAAGCAAUAUUAUUGAUGACUUUUUUAAGUUUGUCUCAGUCUGGAGAAUAUUAGUUCAUUAACAACUUCAAUAAUAACUAUUUGGGUCAAUAAAAAAAAGUGUUAUUAUUGUUAAUCUACUAACAAAUCAGUGUGAAAAUUCUCAGCUAGUAUGUCCCCGAAAUGUUUUAAACAAUAUUCAUAGUGUUGUACCAACAAUAAGUUUCAUCAUAUAGUAACUUGUAUCUUACUAUAAAAUGCAAUUUAUUAUUACAUUCACCGAGUUCAUCUUUCCUUAAAAGUAACUUGUAUCUUACUACCCUAUAAUAUAUAAAACAAUAUAUUAUUAUAAAAACAAUUGUAGGAACUAAAUGUUUUAUUGGACUUCAUAUAAAAUGGAACAUCACUAUCCAUCAUAUCAUUUCAAGAUGUUCUGGUUUUGGUGGUAUUCUAACAUACCAAAGAUAAGAAAUUCUAAAAAUAAGAAAAUUGUCAUAAUUGAUUUGUUAUUUAUAAAUAUUCAUAAUAAAAGUACUUAUAUUUUCCAUUAAUAUAUCUAACAUUGUUAUCUUUUAAUUAAAUAAUAUAAUGAUAAUAAUUAAAUGUUAUGCAAAUUUUCAUUCAUUAUACUGUCAUCUCUUAUACUAAUAUAUACUCAAAAGUUGUUAUGGUUUUUAAUAUCAUCUAGUAUCUUUAAUAUUCUAUUUAUGUUAUAAUUCAUAUUAUUACUAUUUUAAUAUUGUAUAGUAACAUUGCAAUAUUAGAAGCAAACACUAAACCCAAAACGAAUAUAUCUAUAAUGAGUGAUGCCUAAAAUUAAAGAGUAAAAAAUAAUUCCAAAAAAAUAUAAAUAAAAAAUGUGUUAAAAUGCAUACAACAUUGUAUAUUUUAUGAUUGCUUUUAGUAAAAUAUAGGUAGAAAAAUCAAUUACAUAAGCACAAUAAAAUCAAAUCAAUGACAUACUAUUUCAGUAAUUUAGUAAAAAUAAGACUAUUAUUAUAUUAAUUUCAUAUUGUGACUCAUUAUGUUUUAUAGUCUCUGAUUUAUAUACAAAUUCAUGAUUUUAUAAUUGAUCUUAUAUGUACAUGUAUUAAUUUGUAGUUUGAAAUAUACUAAUAAUGUUUCAAAUCAUUGAGUAUUAAUUUUAAUAAUAUUGUUUUAUCUUAUUUUGUUCUACUAAAGGAUUUGAUAAUCUAUUAGUAUGAGAUACUCUUUCUAAUCUAUUUGAAAAACACAUUAAUUUAGGAUUUGACUGAAUAUUUUUCCUUGUAAUUUUAAUGAAAUGUAUAAAAAGAUUCUCAUAAUUGAUUUAUUAUUUUUAUAUAUUCCUUAUUAAAAUACUAAUAUUUUCCAUGAAUAUAUCUACAUUAAUUUUAUCUUUUAAUUAAAUAAUAUAAUGAUGGUAAUUAAAUAUUUUGAAAAUUCUCAUUCGUUAUUUUCUAAUAUGUUAUACUAAUAUAUAUUCAAAAACAUUUAUAAUUUUUAAUCUUCUUAAUCUAAUAUCUUUAAUAUUCUAUUUAUCUUAUACUUCUCAUUAUUACUAUCUUAAUAUUGAAAAAAUAACUUUGCAAUAUUAGAAGCAAACACGAAACAUGGAACAAAAUAUAUUUAUAAUGAGUGUUUUCUAAAAUUAAAGAAUAAAAAUAUUUUAGGAAAAUAUAAAUCAAAUAUGCGUUAUAAUUCAUACAACUUUGUAUAUCUUAUGAUUAUUUUUAAUGAAAUAGAGGUAGAAAAACUAAUUACGUAAUCACAAUAAAAUGAAAUCAAGGCACUAGUUUUUCAAUAAUUUUAAUAAAAAUAAGACUAUUAUUGUAUUACUUUUAAAUUUUGGCUCAUUAUGUUUUACAUUAUUCGAUUUAUAUAUAAUUACUUGAUUUUAUAAUUGUCCUUAUGUGUACCUACAUUAAUUUAUAGUUUGAUAUAUACUAAUAAUGUUUCAAAUCCUUGUGUAUUAAUUUUACUAAUAUUUUUUAUCUAAUUUUUUAUAUCGAAGGAUUUGAUGAGCUAUUAGGAAGGGAUAAUUUAUCUAAUCUAUUUGAAAAACACAAUAAGUUAGGAUUUGACAGGAUAUUUUUCCAGUAAUUUUAAUAAAAAUAAUAGAAAGAUUCUCAAUUGAUUUGUUAUUUUUAUAUAUUCCUAAUUAAAAUACUUAUAUUUUCCAUAAAUAUAUCUAUCAUUGUUAUCUUUUAAUUAAAUAAUAUAAUGAUAAUAAUUAAACAUUUUGAAAAUUCUCAUUCGUUAUAUUCUCAUAUGUUAUACUAAUAUAUAUUCAAAAACUGUUAAGAUUUUUAAUAAUCUUAAUCUAAUAUCUUUAAUAUUCUAUUUAUGUUAUAUUUCUCAUUAUUACCAUCAUAAUAUUGUAAAAGUAACAUUGCAAUAUUAGAAGUAAACACUAAACCUAGAACAAAAUAUAUUUAUAAUGAGUGUUUCCUAAAAUUAAAGAUUAAAAAUAAUUCAAACAAAAUAUAAAUCAAAUAUGCGUUAUCAUGCAUACAACUUUGUAUAUCUUAUGAUUACGUUCAAUGAAAUAGAGGUAGAAUAAUCAAUUACGUAAUCUAUACUAUAUAUAAAGCCAAAACUUGAAAUAACUUCCCUCGUGGUGUAAUUUUCAUUUCCUACAUUGCCCUUAACAUUAUUUAAUUUUUACAAAUAAACUAUAUAAUCCUAAGCAACUAUCACCAACACAUAUAUCACCUUAAAUUAAACAUUAUCAUAAACACACAAAAAUAUAAUAUAAAGUACACCGAACACAACAAAUACAUUUUAAUUCAAAAAAAUGAAAUAUAUAAAAAUUGAAUAUGUAGUAUCACACAAUAUUCGCCGGCAGGCACGAAGUGCCUGUACACACUAGUCACAAUAAAAUCAAAUCAAGGACAUGGAUUUUCAAUAAUUUUUAAUAAAAAUAAGACUAUUAUAAUUGAUCUUAUGUGUCUCAUUAUGUGGCUCAUUAUGUUUUAUAGUACUCGAUUUAUAAAUAAUUUCUUGAUUUUAUAAUUGAUCUUAUGUGUCCAUGUAUUAAUUUGUAGUUUGAAAUAUACUAAUAAUAUCACAAAUCCUUUUGUAUGAAUUUUACUACUAUUGUUUUAUCUUUUUUUUUUAUACUGAAGGAUUUGAUGAGCUAUUAGGAUAUGAUAAUUUUUCUAAUCUAUUUGAAAAACAUAUGAAGUUAGGAUUUGACGGGAUAUUUUUAUGGUAAUUUUUAUCAAAAUAAUAAAAAGAUUCUCAUAAUUGAUUUGUUAUUUUUAUAUAUUCCUAAUAAAAAUACUAAUAUUUUCUUUGAAUAUAUCUACCAUUGUUAUAUUUUUUAUUAAAUAAUGUAAUGAUAGUAAUUAAAUAUUUUACAAAUUCUCAUUUGUUAUAUUCUCAUAUGUUAAACUAAUAUAUAUUAAAAAACUGUUAUGAUUUUUAAUCUUCUUAAUCGAAUAUCUUUAAUAUUCUAUGUAUGUUAUACUUCCUAUUAUUACUAUCUUAAUAUCAUAAAAGUAACAUUGCAAGAGUAGAAGAAAACACUAAACCCUGAACAAAAUAUAUUUAUAAUGAGUGUUGCCUAAAAUUAAAGAAUAAAAAAUAAUUCAAACAAAAUAUAAAUCAAAUAUGCGAUAUAAUGCAUACAACUGUGUAUAUCUUAUGAUUGCUUUUAAGAAAAUAGAGGUAGAAGAAUCAAUUACAUUAUCACAAUAAAAUCAAAUCAAGGACAAGUUUUUUGCAGUAAUUUUAAUAAAAAUAAGACUAUUAUUAUAUUAAUUUCAUAUUGUGGGUCAUUAUGUUUUAUAGUCUUCGAUUUAUAUACAAAUUCUUGAUUUUAUAAUUGAUUUUAUGUGUACAUGUAUUAAUUUGUAGUUAAUAAUGUUUCAAAUUGUUGAGUAUUAAUUUUAAUACUAUUGUUUUAUCUUAUUUUGUUAUACCGGAGGAUUUGAUGAGCUAUUAGGAUGAGAUAAUGUUUCUUUUUGAAAACACAUAUUAGGAUGAGAUUUGACGUAUAUUGUUUUUUCCAGUAAUUUUAAUCAAACUAAUAAAAAGAUUCUCAAAAUUGAUGUGUUAUUUUUAUGUAUUCCUAAUAAUAAUAUACUUAUAUUUUUUUGUAAAUAUAUUUUUCCAUGAUUUGUUACAUGAAAUAGCCUAAAUGAAAGAAGAAUGAACAUUUCCUUCAAUCAUGAUGUCAUUAAUGUCAUACUCCAGUUCCUACGAGAAAUGAAAAUAGAAUUAUUAUGAGAAUAAGAGUUAUUGUUAUUAAUGCUAAUAAUAUCUUCUUUUGUAAUUUCAAAAUAUGAAAUAGUCAUAAUGAAAAUUGUUACUUGAUAUAGCCUUAAUGAAAGAAGAAUGAGCAUUUACUUCAAUGAUGGUGACAUUAAUGGCAUGCUCCUGGUUCCCACGAGAAUUGAUAAUAGAAUUAUUAUAAGAAUUAUAGUUAUUGUUAUUAAUGCUAAUAAUACCUCAUUGGUAACCUGUUUUUGGUUGCCAAGUAUCUUUUUCGUGGGUCACCUUAAAAUUAGGCAUUAAAGUUGAAACCAAAUUAUUGUUUUGGCCAAAAUGGAUUAACAUCUCCCAAUUUAAUUUCAUUAAUAUUGACAUAUGGUUUCUUAGAAAUCUUCUUAUUUCUAGUAAGACUCAACCAAUUUCCAUAAAAUACUUGACUCUUGAACAAAAUACUUGCCAUUUUUUUGUUCACCCAUUGAAUUCACAUUUAGUGUCUCAGUUGUAACGGAUGUAAUAGUUUCCACCAGAUUCAUCAAUCAUUAUUAAUCUAAUUAAUCUAAUAUAAGAAUAUACUCACAAUUGCUUUCUUAUUUUUAAAUAUUAUUGCUUUGUAUAUUUAAAUAAUACAAUGAUAGUAAGUAAUAUAUAUUCCAAAAAUUAUUGCUUUUGUGUAAGGAACUAAUCUCUUUUCGGAUAUAUGGCUGUCACACCCAACAAGUAUCGCUUCCAAUUAUCGAAAACUUGACAAUUUGCUUAUCUUAGGGAUCUAGUGGAACCUUACACUACUAGACCAACACAUUCUUGGUAAACUAGCCCUUUAAUGAUUUAAUAAAAAUUACUUGUGGGAGAAUAUAUUUUUAAGUAAACUAGUAAGUUAACCGUUCCUUUGCUUAGGGCAAUAAUUUUUUGUCGCAUACAUAAUAACAUAUAUGUUACUUGUAUAUUUGAUAUGAGAGUCAUGAAGAGAUUUGAAAGUAUGAUGUUAACAUAUAUUGUAAAGAGAAAAAAUAAUGAUUAAAAAUGGAAUUAAAGGGCCUAAACAUUUAGAAAACAUAAGAAUUUGAUGGUAAUAUUAGAUAACUAAAAAGAUAACAUAACAAAUCAGAACCAAAAUAGUGAAAAACAAUGAAAAAAUUAUAGAAGCUCUUGAGACAACAAAACUUUUAAAAGGAAGGAAGCAAAUCAUAUGUAUGAAUGCCCGUAAAAUUUGAACAUUGAGAGAUAUUCUUUACACGACCAAAUGUAUAUUGUAAGGCUAACCAUUGAAGAGUAUGGGGAAAUAUUAAAUGACCUUUUAAAUGGUGAUAAAUAAUAUACAUAUUACUUUGAAAAUUUCUUAAAGGAUUGUGUAAAUUCUCAAUGCUGAAAAUGAAAAUAUUGAACGCAAUGGAAAUUAGCAUUAAAUGGAAAAUAAAAAAAUUCCUACUUGUGUACCUAGAUAGAAAAGUAAAUAAAAAAUGUUAUUACAUAUGCAACAAUUAAUUGAACAUAUAAUCAACGAAGAGUCUAGUGUAAAAAUUUAAACAAUAAAUAAAAUCUUUCAAUUGGAACAAUAAUAAUUUAAAUCAAUAAUGAUUUAAUUCGAAAAUGAUAAUUAAAUAACUAAAUAUUUUAAAUUCUUACCAUUGGGUACUGGAAAAUUGGUAAAGAAAAAUAUUUUACAUAUGAAAAUAAUUAAUUAACAAAAUGUUAAUCACUUUAUAAAAACUUAUGUUGUCCAUUGUUAAUAUUUUUUUAUGGUAUGUUCUCUAUUGUUACUAUUUAAUAUUGCAAUUGCAAAGUGUCAAGGAUUGCACUACCAAUGCUUUGCCUAUGUUUUGAUGAAGACAAGGUUCUAUUAAAGCUUGAAGAUAGCUCAACAACCAACAUACCUUGAGCUCAUUGGUCAUAUCUAGACUAGGAUAUAAAUAGAGUCAUUAUUCUAAGUAGGCUGGGAUGUGCGCCUUAGUAAGUGAGUAUAGGAGAGGUGAAUCUAGGUGCAAAUCUCUCAAGCCAUUAUAAUUACCAUAUCACAUCCAUGAGACAUAUCAUCUAGUUAAUUGUAUGUUCAUGUAUUAAUCAUACAUGUUAUAUGUGCAUAUUAGGCAUAAUAUAAUUCCUAAAACAUGUAUAGGAGUUAAGCAUAACAUAUGAGAAGUUUACCUUUUGAACCACGUAUUUUAAUAUGCUAGUUAAUCAAUCAAUGUGGUGACUUAAUCGAUUAACUCAAUGUUGAAAGGAUUUUAUUUGAGAGGUAGGUUUUCCCCUCUCAACAAAUUGUCCCCGGCACCGGCGCCAAUUUGUUGAAAGGAUUGUUUCCUCUUCGGUGUGUUCUCUUUUUAUUUUGUUAAGUAAGUGAACUCAGUUUUAUUCUUUGUUCACCAUCUCGGCUUUGUUGAAUAAAUUCCAACGCCGGUAUAAUGGUUUCAAGAAUAUUCUAGUUACAACUUACUUCUAAUAAUCAUGUGAAUAAGUUAUUCCUUCUUUGCCCCAUCUUGGCUUUGUUAGAAUAAAUUCUAACGCCGGUACAAUGGUAUUGAAGCAAUCCCUUUUUACAUAAUUAUUAAGUACCUUUGAAUACCAUCUCGGUUUUGUGGAAUAAAUUCCAACAUCGGUUUAUUGGUAUUCUAAUGUACAAAAGUGAUGAAUAGUUAGUUGUUAGAAACAAAUAAAUAAAUAAAGAACAAAAGAAUAAUAAAGUUAAGUGAUCUUUAUUUAUUUACUCCCUUCCGGGUUCCUUUUAUUAACAAACCAAACUUCUUCCUUAAGGAAGGUUGGUAUUNNNNNNNNNNNNNNNNNNNNNNNNNNNNNNNNNNNNNNNNNNNNNNNNNNNNNNNNNNNNNNNNNNNNNNNNNNNNNNNNNNNNNNNNNNNNNNNNNNNNAUUUAAAUGGGUUCCACCAACCCCUUUGGCGGUGAUGGCGCAUCCAUUAACCGCCCUCUCGUAUUCAGUGGCGAGGGAUACACCUACUGGAAAGUACGAAUAAAGAUCUUCAUAGAGGCUAUUGAUUCAGACAUUUGGGAAUUCGUAAUCAGUGGUCCAUUCGUCCCACUUCACUUAGUGGAUGGUGAACCGAAAGAAAAGCCCAAAAGCUUAUGGACCGAUGAGGGGCGCAAGAAGGUUCAGUUCAACCUUCGCGCAAAAAUAUAUUUACAUCGGCCCUAUCUUACGAUGAAUUCUUUCGGGUGUCUCAAUGUCAAAGUGGCAAGGAAAUGUGGGAAACUUUACAAGUGACUCGCGAAGGCACUAGUUAGGUCAAGCGUGCCAGGCUGAACUCGUUGACACAUGAAUAUGAAUUAUUUCGUAUGUUACCGAGUGAAUCAAUUGGCGACAUGCAAAAGCAAUUCACCCCACAUUAUUAAUCAUCUUAUUGCUCUAGAUAAAAUGUUUACCAGAGGAGAACUCACUAAUAAAGUUUUACGCUGUCUUGACAGGAGAUGGCAACCUAAGGUGACGGCAAUCAUGGAGUCCAAGGAUCUAGAUUCCAUGCCUAUUACAACACUGUUCAGAAAGCUUCAAGAGCAUGAGAUGGAGCGUGGGCGUCUGACCAUGCAUGAGGAGUCUGAUCAGAAAAAGAAAGGAAUAUCUCCUAAAGCUAAAACAUCACAACCGACUGAAGAGAUGGUCAAUGACGACCCUGACUCAAACAUUGAUGAAGUAACGCUAAACCUUCUUGUGCAAAAAUUUGGAAAAUUUCUGAAAAAGAAAGAAGGUUUCAAGCGAUUUCAAAGGAAAGAAGCGCGAGAAUCAACUAAGAAAGGCAAGAAUAAGGAGCACUUCACUUUCCAUGAAUGUGGUAAGUCGGGUCACAUGAAGUUUCAGUGUCCCACUUACUUGAAGAGAGUUGAUUCAGAGAAGAGCAGUCCCCGAGACUUCAAAUUGAAAAAGGCAUAAAUUAUUUGGGAUGUACCGGAGGAAGAAACAACAUCAAGCACCUCAGAUGAAGAGGAGACAACCAAGUUGUGCCUAUUGACCAUAAUAGAUGAGGCAUGCAGAUCAGGUAGUAAGGAUGCGACAAAUGAGGUACAUUCUGACACAUCAUCCUCUUCUGAUGAUUCUCCCUCAUAUGAUGUUUUAUAUGAUGCUUAUGUUGAGAUGCAUGAAGAGCUUAAGAUAAAAUUAGAAAAUGAAACUUUAGAUCUAAUUUUUUCUUGUACUUCAUGCGAUUGCUCUAAAAAUAAUUUAUGUCAAACAACUACUUGUGAUUCUUGCGAGGACUUGAAAAACGAGAAUUUUAAACUCAAUGAAAAACUCGCAAAACUUACAAAUAGUCAACAUCAAUUAGACACCUUGCUUAGUAAAACGAGAAACGUUAGUGACCACACUGGAUUAGGGUAAGUUCCCCCAUCCCAUAGAAAUAGAUCAUAUAAGAGACCUCUAACUCAUACAAAUAAAAAGUCUAAUAAGAAAAGUAGAAUACCUACAUGUUUCUAUUGUGGCACACAUGGCCACACCUCUCAUUUCUACUACAUCAGGAAAUAUGGGAUACCCAAUGGUGUUUACGCUUGGAUAAGAAAGGGAGAUAACUCCCUGGAUACUAAUAGAAAAGGACCCAACAUAAUUUGGGUACCUGAAACUAGCAGGUGAUAUACUUUGUAGGUAUGUCUGCGAACAUAUGGGCAACAUUGGUAUCUUGAUAGCAGAUGUUCGAGACAUAUGACUGGAGACAAGUCAAAAUUCCUAGACUUGUCAUUAAAAGAAAAAGGUUUCGUCACUUAUGGAGACAACAACAAAGGAAGAAUCUUAGGCACCGGAAAAAUUGGCAACUCAACCCAUGCUAUAAUUGAGAAUGUUCUAUACGUAGAAGGUUUGGAACAUAAUCUGUUGAGCAUCAGCCAACUAUGCGACAAAGGUAAUCGUGUGUCAUGUGAUUCUGAUUGUUGUAUAAUUCGUGACGUAUUAUCUAAUAAUAUAUAGUUUGUCGGAUAUCGUGUAAUAAUAUUCAUAUUGUUAAUCUGGAGGAUGGCAUUUCCUAAUUUUCAAAAUGCUUUAUUUUAAAAGAAGAUGACAUAUGGCUUUGGCAUAGACGAGUCGCUCACAUUCAUGUAAAGCAUUUAGAAAAAUUAUCUAAAAAUAAUUUGGUUAUCGGUCUUCCAAAACUCGAUUUUAAAACUCAGGAUUCUUGUGAUAUGUGUAAAAAAUGUAAACAAGUAAAGAAUUCCUUCAACAUAAAGAAUGUGAUAUCCACUACUAGACCUUAGGAGAUUCUCCAUAUGGACUUGUUUGGACCAUCGCAAAUUAUGAGUUUUGGUAGAAGUUAUUACGCUUUGGUAAUUGUUGAUGAUUUUUCUAGAUUCACAUGGACUUUGUUUUUAGCAUCAAAGAGCGAUGCAUAUAAAUCUUUUAAAUGUCUAGCCAAACAAAUUCAAAACCAGUCUAACCUGAAAAUUAUUUCCAUAAGAUCCGACCAUGGCGGAGAAUUUGAAAAUCAUAAAGUUAAUAAGUUUUGUAAUAAGCAUGACAUCAUGCAUAAGUUCUCAACUCCUCGUACCCCUCAACAAAAUGGAGUUGUUGAGAGGAAAAAUAGAGUUCUAGAGGAACUCGCGAGGACCAGCUAAAUGAGAGCAAGACUCCAAAAUAUUUAUAGGCUCAUGUAGUUCACACUGCCUGUUAUGUAAUUAAUCGAAUACUACUCAGACCUACUUUUUUUGAAAACACCUUAUGAAAUUCUUAAAGGUUGAAAACCGAAUAUUGCCAUUCUUCAUGCAUUCGGGUGCAAAUGUUUGAUUUUAAAUAAUGGAAAAAGAUCUUUAGGAACAUUUGACUCGAAGGCUGAUGAGGGCAUAUUCUUAGGGUAUUCGUUACAUAGUAAGGCUUUUCAUGUGUUCAAUAAAUAUACCAUGCAAGUAGAAGAAUCUAUACAUGUUCAUUUUGACGAAUCUUCUCCAAAAGAGAAGAGAAAGGUCUUUUCUGAUGAUAUUUCAGGUACACUAGAAGAAGUUCAAUCAAAGGACAUGAACCAAAUCUAACAACAAGAUGCUGAGAAAAUAGUAGAAAAAGAACAUCAGGACAUGCCUAUUGCAUGGAAAACCAAAAAGGAUCAUCCACUCGAUAAGGUGUUAGGUGACAUAUCUAUGGGAGUGGUAACCCGUAGUUCUUUAUGUAAUUUAUGUAAUUUUGUUGUAUUCGUAUCUCAAAUAGAGCUAAAGACUAUCGAUGAAGCCAUCAAGGAUGUACACUAGGGUAUAGCUAUGCACGAAGAGCUAAACCAGUUUGAGCGAAAUAACGUGUGUCACUUGGUCCCGAAACCAAAAGAUCAUCCUGUGAUUGGCACCAGAUGGGUCUUUCACAACAAGCUAGAUGAAUCUAGCUUAAUAAUAAGAAAUAAGGCUCACUUAGUGGCCAAAGGAUACAACCAGGAGGAAGGCAUCGAUUAUGAUGAGACAUAUGCUCCUAUAGCCAGACUUGAGGCCAUUAAGAUGCUCUUGUCUUUCGCAUCGAUCAUGAACUUUAACCUAUUCCAAAUGGAUGUUAAGAGUGCAUUUUUAAAUGGCUAUAUUCAAGAGGAGGUGUACGUAGACCAACCACCAGGUUUUGAAAACUUCAAAUACCCGAACCAUGUGUAUUAACUCAAGAAGGCCCUCUAUGGCCUAAAACAGGCUCCCAGAGCCUGGUACGAUAGAUUGAGUUCGUUCCUACUAUAAAAAGGUUUUGAAAGAGGCUUGGUCGACACCACUCUCUUUAUCCUUAGAUUAGAUAAUCAUGUUUUACUUGUUCAAAUAUAUGUUGAUGAUAUUAUCUUCGGAUCUACUAAUGACAUCCUUUGUAAGGAAUUUUCUGAGUUGAUGCAGAGCGAAUUUGAGAUGUCGAUGAUGGGUGAGCUGACUUUCUUCCUUGGGCUUCAAAUUAAACAAAUGGAAAGUGGCAUCUUCAUUCAUCAAUCGAAGUACUGCAAAGAAUUACUAAAGAAGUUCGAUAUGGAGCAAUGUAAAGAUGCAUCCACACCUAUGGCUUACGCAUUUUAUCUUGACAAAGAUGAAAAGGGAAAAGUGAUUGAGGUAACUAAAUAUCGUGGGAUUACCGGCUCCUUGUUGUAUUUAAUUGCUAGCCACCCUGAUAUUAUGUUAAGUGUUUGUAUGUUUUCUAGAUUUCAAGCUUUGCCAAAAGAAUCAUAUUAUAUUGAUGUAAAAUGUAUCAUGAGAUAUUUAAAAGGGACUAUAAACAUGGGAUAAUGGUAUCCUAGGGAUGCCUCUUUAUCCUUGGUAGGUUACUCUGAUUCUGACUUUGCUGGGUGUAAGUUGGAUCGAAAAAUCGCUGGGUGUAAGUUGGAUCGAAAAAGCACUAGUGGGACUUGUUACCUAUUAGGCAGUUCCUUAGUGGCAUGACAUAGUACAAAGCAAGCAUGUGUUGCUUUGUCCAUCACUAAAGCGGAAUACAUUGCCGCUGGCAUGUGUUGCGCUCAAAUCCUUUGAUUGAAGCAGUAACUCAAGGACUUUGUGCUCAUAAUAGAAACGAUCCCUAUAAAGUGUCAUUAACCUUUCCAAGAAUCUCGUCUUGCAUUCUAGAACCAAGCAUAUUGAAAUAAGGCAUCAUUUUUUGUGUGAUCAUGUUCAAAAAGGUGAUUGUAUGUUAGAAUUUGUUGAAACAUCUAAGAAAUUAGCGGAUAUUUUCACCAAGCCCCUCUCAUGAGAUACUUUCUAUGUUCUUCGAAGAGAACAAGGAAUCCUUGAUGAAAAAUAUCUUGAUUGAGCUUAUGUUAUUGCCUUGCAUGACUUAUUUGCCUUGUAUGCUUUAAAAUGAAAAUAUGUUGAAUGAUAAAUAUUCCUUCCAUGAUCCAUGAUUCUAUGUAUAAAAGCUUUAUAUAUAUAUCUGUGUGAUUGUUUAAAAAUGAAUUAGUAAAAAUUUUGAAAUCCUUGCAUGCUUUUAAAAACUUCCAAAAUGUUGUAUCUGAUGAAUUUAAUCGAUUAAAGCCAUUAGUUAAUCGAUUAUCGGGUGAACAUUUUGAAACCUAGUAUUUUUAACUCAAGUUAAUCGAUUAAGUCAAGCUGUUAAUCGAUUAACGACAUCAGUAUAUCAGAAAUAGAAGCGUUUCUAGGCAUUUUUCGAAACCACAUUCAUCCCAUUUUCUCUCAAAUCUCAGAGGAACAAGUCCAACAUUAUCCCUAAUCUCCAACCUAGCCCAAACCUAAUCACCCUACUCCAUUUCCACUCCAGAAACCGGUUUCUCCAUCUCAAAUUUCCAAGAAAUUCGUUUUCCCUAAAUUGAUAACCCUACCUUAGGUUUCCCUAAAUCCCUCCAUUAAACAUUCGUCACGGUUCAGUUUCAACAUCAUUGGAGAGAGGACAUGCUAAAAGAGUCAAGACAACCGCUCAACUUCCACUGCAUGUCCCAAAAGUCGUGCCAUCUCAACAAGCAAGGCAAGACCGUGGGGACCCGUAUUAUUCGCAGAUUCUGCAAGAAACCUGGUUGCUCAGAUUUCUAGGUAGGAAACCAACAUACAUAAGGUUUGCAAAUUUGACUUGGCUAGCGGAACAAAACUUUGACUUUCCGCAUGGUUUGCAAGCACAAGGGGUUGUCCCGUUCUUGGAAUUAAAAGGUAAUAUCUACCUUGGUCUAGUUAGGGAGUAUUAUGCCAACUUUAGAUAUAAGGAUGGAAAGUAUUGGUCAAUGAUUGUUGGAAAACUGUUUGAGAUAAAUGAAGACAUCUUUAUGAGCGUGGGUGGUUUAUCAUGUACUGGUCUUAGCUUAAGUGAUUGUGGUUGGGCAAACAACAACUCUUUUGAUGCUGCUGAAAUGUAUAAAUCUUUUUUGUGUAGACCUUAGUGUAUGUUCAGGGUGAAUUAACCAAAGUUAGGUNNNNNNNNNNNNNNNNNNNNNNNNNNNNNNNNNNNNNNNNNNNNNNNNNNNNNNNNNNNNNNNNNNNNNNNNNNNNNNNNNNNNNNNNNNNNNNNNNNNNGAACACAAAUCAUGCACAACCUACAGUGAAUGAUUUGAGGUUCAUGUUUGCUGUAAAGGAGAACAUAAUGUUCAACUGGCCUGAAGAGAUUCUGAAGGUCAUGUACAUUGUCUCCACUUCACAAUCAAGGUUGCUUCCUUAUAGUAUCUUCAUUUCACGGAUUAUUGAUUAUCUACAUAUUGAUGUCUCGGAUACUAUAGUGGUGGACUAUUCUAACAAGGAUCAUUUGAUUGGUGAGAGUCUAAUUCCUAAGAUUGGUAUAUAUAAGUACGGCAACACAUGGCAAUAUCAAGAGGACUUUAACACUGUGAAUCUUGACCCCUCUAGUGAGGAUGACCAAGAUGAUACUCAAAAGCCAUUUGCUACUACUCAGGGGUAGUCUUCUGGUCAUGCAUCAUAAGAACCAACUUUUGGACAAGCCUACUUGGAUUCUAUGGAACAAUGUCUCAACAACAGGAUGGAUCUUCACAUUAAGUCUCUGAAGGACUCAUAUCAUACGGAUCUGGAGAAUUUUGAGGAGCGUCAGAAUGCUUAUAUUGAUAACCAUUACCAAUCCUUGAGGAAUUUUGUUCAGACAUGAGUACCCUCAUCAAGGAUGGUGGUAGCUCGAUGAUUCCUGACAACGAAAAACCUCCAUCUGAUCCCUAGUUAGGAGGCCUUAGAGCUUUAGUUUUAUCCUUCAUAGAUUAUGGACCUUGUUGUUCCUUGUUACCCUCUUGAGAACUUAUCUUUUAUUUCAUGCUUUGGCUUUUAUAUGGAUUGUAAUAACUCCUAUCUUCUGCUGACUUACUACUUCGAAAUUUGAUAAUGCUUUAAAUGAUUUCAAAUUAUUUUUCUCAUGCUUGAAAGGUAAUUAUGUUGCAUAUAGUAUACUCUUAUGUUUAAUGGAUCUUGAUCAUGUUUGGUGUAUGUAUCAAUAUUGAAUGCUUUUGCUUGCUGCUAACUGCUCAAAUAUAUCAAAUGCUUAAUCAUUCCAUGCUUAAUUUGAGUAAACAUAGCCUUUCAUGCCAUUAAAUCUCUUAUGCUGUUGUUUGCUGUCCAUUUAAUCGAUUAAGUCAUGUUGGUAAUCGAUUAAGUCAUGUUGGUAAUCGAUUAAAAAAUGUAUAAAUGUGCAUUUGUUCAAGCUUCUUACAACUGGUUGAUUGAUUAAUCGCCCAAAAUUUAUUGAUUAAUUAUAGUCUGUCAUAACUCUAACAACUCUUCUGACUUUUGAAUAGAAUUGAAUACUUGUAUCUUUUUGAUAAUGUCAAAAGGGGGAGAAAGGUUGCUUGUUGUGUUAAAAUGUAUUUUGCAGGUUGUAAUAGCUUUUGCAGGUUGUUGUAUAUAGCUUCAGUAAUAUAAUUGCUUACCUAAGGGAGAGCAAAGGCACUUCAACUUUGAAACUUUGAAUAACAACCAUUAUGCAAACUCAUCGUCAAGCUAAUUCAUCAAACGUUUUGGACUAUUUUGACGUGGUAUUUGUUAUCAUCAAAAAGGGGAGAUUGAAAGUGCAAAGUGUCAAGGAUAGCACUAGCAAUGCUUUGCCUAUGUUUUGAUGAAGAGAAGGUUUUAUUAAAGCUUGAAGAUGGCUCAAUAAUCAACAUGCCUAGAGCUCAUUGGUCAUAUCUAGACUAGGAUAUAUAAAUAUAGUCAUUAUUCUAAGUAGUCUAGGAUGUGUGCCUUAUUAAGUGAGUAUAGGUGAGGUGAACCUAGGUGCAAGUCUCUCAAGCCAUUAUAAUUAUCAUAUCACAUCCAUGAGACAUAUCAUCUAGUUAAUUGUAUGUUCAUGCAUUAAUCAUACAUGUUAUAUGUGCAUAUUAGGCAUAAUAUAAUUGCUAAAACAUGUAUAGGAGUUAAGCAUAACAUAUGAUAACUUUACCUUUUGAACCACGUAUUUUAAUAUGCUAGUUAAUCGAUUAACAUGGUAACUUAAUCGAUUAACUCAACUAUUUUUCUAUUAUAUCAGUAUUUCUAUUACAACUGGUUUCAGUUUCAAUUCUGUUGCACUUGUUAAUCGAUUAACGGGUUACCUUAAUCGAUUAACAGGUAUGUUUUGUAUUAUAACUGAUUUCUGUUUUAACUACUUAACUGAUUGCAACGAAUCCAACUGUAAAAACUGCCUAGUAUAAAUUGAGGCAACUUCCAGAAAAUUGCAGCAUUGCAUUCCAUUGUAUAGGAUUGUUUUAGAGAGCAUAUUUUGUUUUGAUUUUCUGUUUUUGCAAGAGAGUUGCAUGUGUGAGGAAGAGAGUUUACCAUGCCUUAUUGAGUCUUUGAUUUGCAUACUGUUUUUCAUAUGCUUAUUCUCAUCCUUAUCUUGCUCACAUGUUCAUGCAUUAUUUGUAAAGAUUCUUAGAGAGAUAUAUUGAUUACUAUUUUUUAUUAACUCACAUGUAUUUGAUGGCUUGAGUGAAUUGUGAGUGGGUUAGUCUUAAGGUCUUUUAAUUGUAAUAUUUCAAGCAUUAUUAUGCUUAUAAUACCUUGUUGUUGUCAUCUAUUUUUGUGUGUUUUGGAUUGAUCUCUUGAUGUCGUACCACCACAGAGAUUGGGAUUCUUCACUAAGACUAGGAGGUCUUGAUUUGAGAACAAGAAUCCUGGAUGGGCUAUUUCGCGAGAAAGGUUUUCUCAGGCGAUAGGUAGAGUUAAACCAAGGGUUAGGUGUUCUAGAUUUCAAGAAAGAGUCCUAUGUUUUGUAAAUUGAAUUUGUGUGUGUGAUCAUACAUAUAUUCAAUAUUGUGAAGAAGAAAAUCUCUCAAGAUCAUAAGGGGAGGCCUGGAUGUAGUUUGUAGUGGAUCGCAAAUGAAGCAGGAUAAAAAUCCAACUUUGCACGUUGUUCUCUCCUUAAAUCUACUUUACUUUUCUUGUUGUUUCCAUCCUUUACUAUUUAUUUAAUGAGUUAUUAUGUUCAGAUUUUUUAAACAAAUAGGAAAGGGUGGUUUUAAUCUUGUGUGUAAGGUUGUAUAGUAAGAGAUAAGGAGCUUUUGGAGGGAAAAUUUGCAUGAGCGUUGACAUGUGUCCCUAGCUAAUGUGGCAAGAGUAAACUUUGCAUGAGGUGUUGACAUGUGUUCCUAGCUGAUGUGACAAGAUAUUUUUUUGUUAGAUAGUAAAUAGAUUAUAUGAUCAAAUGUUAGAGAGGAGACUUUACUUUGAAAUUUUAAUAUUUUAUAUUUGUUGUCAAGGAAACUCAUUUCCUUAAGCAAGGUCUCAGGUUCGAGUCUUGGGGAUGAAAAAAAUAUCCGUUGGGAGAGUUAGUCUCACAUACCUGUGGAUGUUCUCAGUUCGGACAUGAUUGCCUCUAGUGCGAGGAAACUGUGGGAACCCAGAAAAAAAGGGAAACUCCUUUAUCAAUCCAAACAAAAUUGUCCAUCCUUAUCAAGCUGUCAUCUUCCAAUUUUUAUCUCUCCUAUUCAUGAUCCAAAUAAAAUCCACCAUGGAUAUAUCUUUAUUAAUCCCUCCAUUUUUUAUUUAACAGAUAUGGUAGAAGAAUACAGAUACCAAAUACCACACAUAUGCAUCAAGGAUUGUAUCUUGUACCUUAGGAGCAAUAAAUUAAUAUUCCUUUAUGUACAUUGUAUCUUUAUCCUUUGGUUAGUUUUUAGUACAAGGUUUUGAAGGACUAUAUGAUUCAUCCUACAAAAUGAUCAACGUUCACUAUCACACUAAAAAUAGACAUUGUUUUGUACUACCAAUGGUAUUUCCUCACACUUUUUGUGUAAGGAACUAAUCUCUUUUCGGAUAUAUGGCUGCCCCACCCAACAAGUAUCGCUUCCAGUUAUCGAACACUUGACAAUUUGCUUAUCUUAGGGAUCUAGUGGAACCUUACACUACUAGACCAACACAUUCUUGGUAAACUAGCCCUUUAAUGAUUAAAUUACUUGUGGGAGAAUAUAUUUUUAAGUAAACUAGUAAGUUACCCGUUCAUUUGCUUACGGCAAUAAUUUUUUGUCGCAUAAUUAAUAACAUAUAUCUUACUUGUAUAUUUCAUAUAAGAGUCAUAAAGAGAUUUGAUAUCAUGAUGUUAACAUACAUUGUAGAGAGAAAAAUUAAUGAUUAAAAACAUAAUUAAAGGGCCUAAACAUUUAGAAUACAUAAGAAUUUGAAGGUAAUAUUAGAUAAUUAAAACUCGAAAACUUCUUAAAUGACAUUUUAAAUAUUAAAUGACAUUUUAAAUGACUUUUUAGUAUUGAUAAAUAAUAUACACAUUACUUUGAAAACUUCUUAAAGGAUUGUGUAAAUUCUCAAUGCUUAAAAUGAAAAUAUUGAACGCAAUGAAAAUUAGCAUUAAAUGGAAAAUAAAAAAAAUUCUUAGUUGUGUACCUAGAUAGAAAAGUAAAUAAAAAAUGUUAUUACAUAUGCAACAAUUAAUUGAACAUAUAAUCAGCAAAGAGUCUUGAGUAAUAAUUUAAACAAAAAAUAAAAUCUUUAAAUUGGAACAAUAAUAAUUUAAAUCAAUAAUGAUUUAAUUCGAAAAUGAUAAUUAAAUAACUAAAUAUUUUAAUUUCUUACCAUUUGGAACUGGAAAAUUGGUAAAGAAAAAUAUUUUACAUAUGAAAAUAAUUAAUUAACGAAAUAUUAAUCACUUUAUAAUCUAUAUAUUUGGUUGACUAAUAGAUACAAUAAAAACUUAUGUUGUCCAUUGUCAAUAUUGUUUAGGGUAUGUUCUAUAUUGUUACUAUUUAAUAUUGAAAUAGUAACAUGUCAAUAUUAGAAUCAAAUCUAAAGUCUAAAAAAAUAUAUACAUAAUGAGCAUUACCUAAAUUAAGGAAUAAAAAAUAAUUCAAACAAAAUAUAAAUCAAAUAUGUGUUAUAAUACAUACAACUUUAUAUAUCUUAUUAUUUUUUUUCAUAUAAUAAAUGUAGAAGAAUCAAUUUCAUUAUCACAAUUAAAUCAAAUCAAUGAUAUGACUUUAUUUUAAUCAAAAAAUAUUGUUUUUUAAUAAGGGUCAAUGAUACAUUAUGAUUUUUUAGAGGUUUUAUUACAAAACAAAUUACAUUAAAACAUUGAAGUUUCAUUUCUUUAUUUGAAAGAAUAUUAUUCUCAAUGGAUACAAUAUUAUCAUCUUUAUCACAAUUCCAUUAUUCAUUAACUUUAAUAAAAAUAAUAAUAUUAGUAUCAUUAUUUUAGAUUGGGCUUAUUAUAUUUUGUACAAUUUAAUAUUUAUACUAUUAUGAAUUCAUAAAAUCAUAAAUAUGAAUAUUUANNNNNNNNNNNNNNNNNNNNNNNNNNNNNNNNNNNNNNNNNNNNNNNNNNNNNNNNNNNNNNNNNNNNNNNNNNNNNNNNNNNNNNNNNNNNNNNNNNNNUAUUAUUUUUUAUAAUAUAAAAUAUAACUUUUAUAGUAUAUAUAUUUGACUUAAUAUUUUCAUUGUUUGAAUUUAUUUUCUUCAUCCAUGUUAUUAUCGAAGUUCUAUUUCUCUUAUUUAGAAUAAAUAUAUGUUAUAGUUUAUACAUAUUUCUUACUAGUUAUUUUAGAAUUAAACAACAAAUGAUUAGACAUUUAUAUCUAUAAUGAGUCUGUCUAAAAUUUAGGAAUCAGAAAUAACUUUGAUCAAAAUUGUAUGAGUAUUUGAAUUAGCCAUUUUCCUAAGAUUAUUAUUCUAUUUUUGGUUGUUGAUUUUACCUGCAAGAUAGAGAUAGAAAAAGACUUUGUUAGACUCUAUAUUGUUUUGUAUGAAGAUGAAGGGCAUGACACCUUAUAAUGUAUUGAACAACACAUCAUUAUCAUAUUAAUUUAAAAAUCAUCAAUAAGUUUAUAUGUCAUUAUUAUUUGACUAUAAAAUAAGAUUAAUUUCAAAAAACGCAUUAUUAUUAUUUGACGAUAAAACAACUGCAAAAAAAUAAAAUUCAAAAAUUGUUACUAUUGUUACUACUCUUAAUAACUACUGACAAAUAAUAAUAAUAGAAAAUUAUUAAUAUUCUUUUUUUAUCAUAUUUCUUUUUGUUACUAUUUGAAUACUACAACAGUAACAUUGCAAUAUUAGAAUCAAAUCUAAACAAUAAACAUAAUAUAUUCAUAAUGAGUAUUAUCUAAAAUUAAGGAAUACAUAUUUGUUAUGACUUAUAACUACUUCAUAUUACCUAUUAUAUAAUUAAACAAUAAAUGAUUAUAAAUUUAUAUUUAUAACGAACAUGGUCUAAAAUUAAGGAAUCAGAAAUAACUUUGAUUGAAAUUGUACUAAUAUUUGAAUUACCCAUUUUCCUAAGAUUGCUAUUCUAUUUUAAUUUUAAAAUGUCAAAUCAUUUAUUAGUUAAAAAUAUAGCAGAUAUUUUCAGAACUAAUAGAGGAAAAUUUAAAAUCACAAACAUAUAUAUUAAAAUUUAUAAAUUUUGUUUGUUACAAUUCUAUAGUUACAAAUCCUUUUUUACAAUUUGAAUUUUAUGAAAAUAUAUUAUUACACUGUUAUAAUUUAAAUAUUAUAAUGAUUGUACUUUAAUAUUAUAUAACAUUAUGUAAUAAUUGUACUUUAAUCUAUACUAUAUAUCAAGCCAAAACUUGAAAUAACUACCACCAUGAUUCUAUUUUCCUAUUUUUCCCUUAGUAUGUUUUAUUUUUAAAGUAAAUUCAUAUAAUCAUAGAUAACUAUAAUUAAUACAUCUCAUUUUAAGUUGGAUAUUAUAAUAAAUACAAAAAUUAUAACAUAAAGUACAUCUAAUAAAAAACAUUCUAAUUCUCUAAAAUAAAAAAUACAAAUUUAAUACUUAAUAUCAAAAUAUAAGAAUGCAGGUCGGGAGACACGAAGUGUUUGUCGACACGCUAGUAUUAUAUAAUGUAACAACUGCAUAUUAAUGUUUCUUAAUGUAAUGGUUGCAUUGUAACUGUGUGUGUGGAAGAAGUUAAUUUGGUAAGCGUUUUAUUGAUUUUAUAUUUAAUACAUUUUAAAAUAACGCACAUGACCAAUAAAUGUUUCAUAACGUAGUGAAAAUAUUGAUUAUACAUUUAUAUAUAUAAUGAGGAGUGUCUAAAAUUAAGGAAUCGGAAAUAACUUUGAUUGGAAUUAUACUAAUAUUUGAAUAGUCAUUUUCGUAAUAUUUCUAUUCUAUUUAGGUGUAAAAUAUCUAAUCAUUUAUUAGCUAAAAAUAUAACUGGUACUUUCAGAACUAAUAGAGGAAAAUUUAAAAUCACAAACAUAUAUAUUAAAAUUUAUAAAUUUGGUGGUUACAAUUCUACAGUUACAAUUCCAUUUUUACAAUGUGAAUUUUAUGAAAAUAUAUUAUUACACUAUUACAAUUCAAAUAUUAUAAUGAUUGCACUUUAAUAUUAUAUAACAUUAUGUAAUGAUUGACCGAUAAAUGUUUCAUAAUAUAGUGAAAACAUUAAUUAAGCAAAUUUGCACACGGUAUAAAAUCUCUAUCCUCGAAUAAAUGCGAAUAAUAACAUACCUUAAAUUGCAUAAUUUUCCAUCUUAGAAUAUUAUAUUCGAUUACAGUUGUGAUCUUGAAUCAAUUUUCUAGUGGAUUAAAUUGAAAGUCUUAAGUGCAAUAGAAUAAAAAACUAAACUGUACAAUAAAAAAUAAAAUCUUAAAUCAAUAUACAAAUCUUCAUACAUCACACAAUGUCAUUAAACACAAUAAAAAUGAUAUUAUCACAAAAAAUGUAAACUUUAAAUUUAAAGUUAUAGGUUGAUUUUAUUUUGCUAAAAUAAUAUCAAAAUGAUUAUUAAAACACGUACAAUUUAUUGCUCUAGUUUAGGUAAGGUAACAUAUAAUAUAUUCUCUAGUGUUUACUUUUAAACAAUUAUUUCUUUACAAAUUGAAAUGAAAAUAAUCAAAAUAACAAAUUGUCACGGGCUAUUAUCUUUUCUCUUCCCCUGUAUCAUCCAUCAUUAUCGACGUCAUUUUCAACAAUUAUAUUACAACCUGGUAAAGACAAUCUAUAUGCUCUUUGUUAAAAUAAUGAUUAUUUUUAGUAGAAAAUUCUAUAAACAAAAUAUUAGAUGCACAAAUAUAUAGAAAACUAACCAACAAUAAUGCUUCAAGGGUGAACCAAUAAUAAGAUGCAUCAUAUUGAAUACAACUCUUGUAAUCGCCCACGUCAUUAGAGAUAAAUCACAACUCCAAUUAUCGUACAAUAAGCCCAUAUCUAUAAAACAAACAAAAAAUUAAUAAAGAAGACACUUUAAUACAAUAUCUUCAAUGGAAAAAAUAAAGAGCCACUCUAAAGUUAACUAUAAAACAUUCUUGCAAAAAAAAAAGAAUACUUUCAAAUGGUAACAUACAUCUCUAUAAAAUAAGCACAUAUAUAUAAAAUAAACAAAAAAAUUUAAUAAAGAAGACACUGUAAUACAAUGGAAAAAUCAAGAACCACUCUAAAGUUAACUAAAAAACAUUCUUGCAAAAAAAAACAGAAUAAUUUCGAAUGGUAACAUAUAUCUCUGGUCACUGACAAAAGAAUCUUUGAAAAUAACAAAUUGUCACGGGCUAUUAUCUUUUCUCUUCCCCUGUAUCAUCCAUCAUUAUCGACGUCAUUUUCAACAAUUAUAUUACAACCUGGUAAAGACAAUCUAUAUGCUCUUUGUUAAAAUAAUGAUUAUUUUUAGUAGAAAAUUCUAUAAACAAAAUAUUAGAUGCACAAAUAUAUAGAAAACUAACCAACAAUAAUGCUUCAAGGGUGAACCAAUAAUAAGAUGCAUCAUAUUGAAUACAACUCUUGUAAUCGCCCACGUCAUUAGAGAUAAAUCACAACUCCAAUUAUCGUACAAUAAGCCCAUAUCUAUAAAACAAACAAAAAAUUAAUAAAGAAGACACUUUAAUACAAUAUCUUCAAUGGAAAAAAUAAAGAGCCACUCUAAAGUUAACUAUAAACAUUCUUGCAAAAAAAAAGAAUACUUUCAAAUGGUAACAUACAUCUCUAUAAAAUAAGCACAUAUAUAUAAAAUAAACAAAAAAAUUUAAUAAAGAAGACACUGUAAUACAAUGGAAAAAUCAAGAACUACUCUAAAGUUAACUAUAAAACAUUCUUGCAAAAAAAAACAGAACAAUUUCGAAUGGUAACAUAUAUCUCUGGUCACUGACAAAAGAAUCUUUUGAAAUGAAAUGUCAAAAGAACAUGGACCAAGAAAGAAAAAAUUGGUGGAAAAUAAGAAAAGUGAUGAAAUGAGGGAGUGAAAAGUAGAGAGAAGAUUUUUUGCUUUAGAAUGAAAUGUGAGAGAAAGAUAUGGAAAUAGCCACUGACAACAGAAUCUUUUGAAAUGAAAUAGAAGAAGAAUACGAAUCAAGAAUAAAAAAAAUUGGUGGAAGAUAAGAAAAGUGAUGAAAUGAGGGAGUGAAGCUCUCUAAUGGUGUUGUGCUUACAACGAAUUUGUCGUUUCUUACCAUUAUAGAAGCGGUUCUUAAUUUUUGCAAUAGUCGCGAUACUAUCACAAUGGAUCAGCACAACUGAUAUAUGUUUUUCCCAUAGAGGAAUCUUUGCAAACAAGCUUCUCAACCAACUUGCUUCUUUACUAGUUGUUGCUAGUGUUAUAAUCUCAACAUCCAUAGUGGAUUGAGCUAAAGUAGUCUGUUUCUUGUUAGACUCUAGAUAUUCCAUCUCAUUAUUUAUGGCUUCUCGCCACAAAUCAACAUCCAAAGAAGUCAAAACUUCUUGGAGAGUUGAUAGAUUAUCCUCAAAUAUAUAGACCACAUAAUGAGGUUUAUACUCUCUAACAAUUAUUGCUCUCUUACUUCUUCUAGGUUCUGUUUCAAACCUUUCAUUUUCUAUAAUUAUCUCUAAUCACAAGUAUGUGACUAGUUGAUGUGCCCCCACUAUUCCUCAAGUUAAAAAGGAAUUUCUCUUCAUUGAAGUCAACAUCGUUAGACUCAAUGUUUACUUUUGCGUUAAGGUCGUAAAACUUGUACGCCUUGUUUUUUUACAGCAUACCCAAUGAAUACACAUUCAUGGGCUUUGUGAGUUUAACUCUCUAAGGGCAUAUCAUCAAAAAUGAUUUCACGAGCAAUUCUAUGUAUCUCAUAAGACUGAGACUCUACUGAUUUAUUAUCAGUCAUUUGAUACUUGAGGUAGUAGUAACAUCGUAUUUUUUUUAUCUUCCUCAUUAUCAUAUUUCUUUAUUUUUCAAGUGCAUACCAAAUUAAUUUGGCAGACAUAUAUGGGUUGUAGUAAUUAUAGAGAUCAUCUGACAAGUCAUUUAAAAUGAAAUUCAUAAAAGUAAUCAUUUUCAUUCGAGAGAGCUAUAUUAAUAGCUAGUUUAUCCUUUUUCUUUUUUUCAGCUUUCUCCAGCAACAUUAGGCCAUUAAUUUUCAAAAUGUGUGCAACUUUUCUUAUAGUGAAGAAAAAUUUCAUCUUAUGUUGCUAACGUUUAAAAUUUGUACCAUCAAACCGAAAUGGUUUGUUCAGUUCCUAGCUGUUCGGUCCACUAAUAUUAUCUACGAAUGUCGUUGCAGUAGAAACGUCUUAAAAAUUGUUGUUACCGUAGCUUGCAACAAUUAUAAAUGGCAUGAAAUAAUACUGGCUGAGUCACGACGAGGUCCCUCUCUUUAAGACGUUUCGUGACACUGCCAAAAAUAUGCAAGCAGACUAUCAACCACGCCGUCCUUAGGAUAAAUAGCCCAAAUCUCUGUUAUCGAAUACUUACUACACUAUAAGAACCAAUCUCGAAUACACCCACUAUAAUAUGACUACCAAUGCCAAUUCUCGAAAUUCCCACAAUAUCUCUAGCAGUCCAAUUCUCAAAAUACACACAAUAUGGCUACCCAUGCUAAUUCUCUUCCCACAAUACUGACUACUAGUAUAUGUUCUCAAAAUGGCCACAAUAUGGCUAUCUGUUCCAAUCUUUUCCCUCAAUACUGACUAUCAGUGUCAGUUCUCGAAAUUCCCACAAUAUAGCUACCUGUUCCAAUUCUUAGUACCACAGAAAGAAAAUGGGAGAUGUUUGCCGAAAAUGCAUCGGCAGAAAAUAUGAGGGAGAAAGAAAAAGUUGAAUGAAAACACAUUCAACUUGGGGCAAAAAGAUAUGAAGAUAAGAGACUUCUAUUUAUAAUAUGAAGAUAAGAGACUUUUAUUUAUAACAUACGUAUUACACUUGGUGGAGGUGCUAAUCUUAUACGGGGAUUGACCCCGCAUUUGCUAGAGAGUGAUGAUGCAUUCACAAGAUCUUAUUGGGUGGAAGAAGCAUCGGAUUUGAGGCAAUUGCAUGCGGUUUGUUUGUCAGCGGUGCUCUGAGCCAACGAGACGAGUCCCUUGACUCCAUUGCAGCAUGUUACAGGAAGUCAGGAACAGCUCCACCGGACUGCAGGUAAGUGAGGCAUGGAGCUAUGCCACUAACAACCUGUCCACAUGUUAUGGUAGCAUGUGCAAUGGGUGCACCCACCACAACCAUGCACAUCAAAACCAUACAUGUUACCUUAAUGCUUGCCAUUACUUCACAAACUAAUUUGCUGUGUAUUUGCUUUUGGAUAUUGCUUACUUGGUGAUAUACGGGAUGCAUGGUAUGCAGUUUAUAUAGAAAAUAAGAGAGAGAUUAUUACAUAAUGCUGCACUAAAAGAUGGAUUGUGGCCUAGGCCAAUCCUCAUUUGACACGUGGUGUACAUUGAAAGUAUUGUUUACAACUGUGAAAAUCAAGGUCUCAUGCAUUAUUCUAUCUCCUUUUAUAAUUUAUUACAAUUCUCAAUAAAAUAAGAAUAAUAUCCACUUUUUUCUCAUAAUGAUAAAGUCGUUCCUAUUCUUGUUUGGAUCCCACAAUAUUUACAUUUUUUUCCAACAACAUCUAUUUUUCUCCUCACUUUCCUUUUGGUUAAGAACAACCAAGAGUUGUUCUUAUUUAAGAACAAAAGUAAGGAAAUAAAAACAACAUAGUGGAGAACAAAGUAAGAAUGUUCUUAUUCCGUUAAGAAAAACCAUUAUGGUUGCUCUUAAAAUUGGGAACCUCUCCUAUGUUAGUGCAGUACAAGAAUGAGGAUGAUUUUAAAAUACAUUUUAAUACAAAAUAAACUUAAAUUUUAAGUCAUUAAAACUUUUUAAAUAACACACAUUAUUAUCUUAUUCAGUAUUGAAUUCUUCAUUACCAAAGUAAUCUACCAUGCAUUAAUAUUGAAUAUCCUUGAAAGUGAAUGCAAUCAUUCAUUUGAAAUUAAAAAAAACAAAGACAUUAUUAUAAUAAUUUGCUUCAUUUCACUAAAAAUAAGGAGAAAUUAUUCCAUUAUAAUUAUAUUAACUAUAUAUAAAAUUAUUUUGUAAAAUUUUAAUUUUAAUAAAAAACUUUAAGACAUUAUUCUAAUAUAAUUAUUAAUUGUAUAUAUAAGAUUAUUUGUUGUGAUUUUCAUUCUAAUAAAAAAUUGAGACAUUUUUUAAUAUAAUUAUACAUAAUUUUAAUUAUAUAGGAUAUAUACCAAAAAUAAUAAUAUUAAGCCGACAUAUAGAUUUAAUGCCUAACACAUAAUUUAUAAGAGUAUUAUGACAUUAAUCGGCUUAUUUAAUCAACUCUCCUUCAUGGAAAAAUAAAUUUUGUAGUUAUUUAUUAAUUAGGUAAGUUAUCCCAUCCAGAUCUACCAUCUUCCAAUUUGAUAUGGAUCUUCGGAUUGUUAUCAAGAUGCAUACGGCAACCAUGGGUUUGUUAGCAGUUGGGUCCCAUUAAAUGCUCAAUGGUAGAUCCUCUUGUCUUUGAGCAUGUAGCUAUCUAUUAAUAUUAGAUUCAUGAGAAAAAUAUGUAUAUAUUGAUAAUGUAUAAGUUUUAUAUAUUAUUAAUAUAUCAUUUAUUAUUCAUACUAAAGUAACUUAAAUAAAUGAUUGAUAAUGUAGUAUGUAUGUAUAAAUCUUUACACAAACAAUCUAUAUAUUUUACAUACUAGAUUUAUUGCUCUGCGUAUCAUCUCAUAUUUGAGCACCUGAGCGUUAUAUUAGACGUUAGAUUUAUGAGAAAAAUACAUAUAGACUGAUAAUAUAAGAAAAUUUUAUAUUGUCAUCACAUCAUCUAUUAUUUAUUUUAAUCUUCGUUAACUUUUAAAUAAAAGUAGUACAGGUGAAAGAUAGAUAAUAUAUUGACUAUGUAUAAAUUUUUAUACUGUAUAUUUUUUAUACUCUAGAUUUAUUGUGUGGACUGAAGUUCAAUCUCAUCUAUCCAUAUACAUCUACCCUAAUUUGUACAAUUGUAUAACUUCGUUAAUCGAAGAAGAAAUAUUCCUACAGGUUAUCUUUUUUUCCUCUCUUAUUUACCAAGAACAAAUGAUAAUUUAAUUGGAUGUCCAAUAUUUUCCAACAAUUAUUAAGAUCAAAAUUGGCAGGCGUUUCAAGGAAUGGUGGAUUUAUUUCUAGAGUUAAGUGCACUCACGUUCCCAGAGUUAAAUUAUAUAAAUCAUUUAUAUUUUUUUCAAUAUCUAUACAAAUUAUCCUAAUUUAUAUAUAUAUAUAUAUAUAUAUUUAUAUUAUUACAUUAUUGACUCUUGUAGAAGAAAUAAAUAUAUUUUGUAAGAAUAUAAUAUUUAUGCUCCACCUAUAUAAAGAUUUAUAUAUAGUCACUAAAUUGUCCGCUACUCUUUUAGAUUACUUUUUGAAGAGUCUAUGAUGAUUAAAUAUGAAGGUGGAUGAUACAGUGAUUGUGUAUAAAACUCACACACUCUCACUAAAUACAUAUUUUUCUCAUCUUUUAAACAAAAGACGGUAAGAAAUGUAAUUAAGUUAAACAAAACAUGGUAUAUUAUGGAAACAAAUCAAAAUAGUAUACGAGUCAAUACCUAUUGAGUAUUUUUGUCCUUACAAUAUAGUAUAAAAGUGAUUUAAAUAAUAUCUUCUUAGAAUUUUUUAUGCAUUUGUAACGAACUAAAAAUAAUGAAGAGAUCUUGACUCUUAUACUAUUUGCACUUUUUUAUAAGCAAAGAUUUGUAUUAAAGCAGCACAAGGGGUGCCAACCCGAAUACAGAAGGAACUACAAGACAAAAGAAGGCAUAAAGCACAUUAAAAAAACAACAUUUCGAAUUAGUACACGACUGAGCAAAAAUGAAUAGAUUUUGAUUAAUGCUCGAAGCAAACCAAGACCACGAUCUAACCUGAAUCAAGUCCAGAAUUUGCACAAAACUAAUCUCCUUAUCCGAAAAAUGGAGUCAUUCCACAUUAACCAAAUAGACCAAAUCAGGGUAAACCACAACAUUCUCCAUAAUUGUCUCCCUUUUGAAUUCUUGCAUAACGAUUCAUGAUAACUAAACAGCUUCCAACAAUACUCUACUACAAAACAAAUGGAAUCUGCAACAAAGCAUAAAAACCUCACCACACAAAGGAAACAAAAGAGCAAGACAAAAGCAGAUGAUCAAGAGAUUCAGAAUGAUUCAAACAUAAAACACAAUUUAACUCAGCACUAUGAAUAAUUCUUCUCUUAAACAAAUCCUCCUUAGUUGCAAUUCUACCACACAAAGUUUUCCAAACAAACAACACACCUUUGAAGAAGCACAAUUAAUCCAACUUUUAUUAAGAAUAAAACCAACCUCAUUUUGUUGGACAUUAAUUUGAGCAAAGUAAGCUUUUUUAACCACAUACCUUCCUGAGUUAUCUAAACUCCAUGUCCAAGUAUCUACACUAUCUCUUCUAUAGGAAUGAGAAGCAAUCAGGUGAUACAAAGAACUGACUGGAUUUUCCUCCCAAUCAAACAACCUUCUCCUCCAAAGAACAUUCCAAUUCCACUGGUUGUUGAUCCAGACCCCACAAUUUGAAACUAGCGCUUGUCUAUUCAAAGCAAGAGCAAACAACCUGGGAAAAGUCUCCUUCAAACAACACUGGCCAAACCAAACAUCAUUCUAAAAUAGGGUUUGAGAACCAUCUCCAACUUCCUUCCAAAGUUUAUUCUCCAACCAACGGUUCCCUGCCCCAUAUGAGCAACCAACUUUAGCCAAAUCCCUCCACCACUUUGAAGCCGAUAAAGGAGCCAGCAUAACGGCCUCCAAGCCAUACUUGGAAUUCACUACUUGAACGUCUCAGUAAUAUAUCUUAUUUUGUUUAACUUAAUUACAUUCAUCACUCAUUUUAUGUUUAAAAGAUAACAUUAAUUUCUUGUGCAGAUGUAAUUAAUAUAAUAUAUAUAUAAGGUUGGUCUGUGUGGAUACAUAAUUGAGAGGUAUCGGUUUAUAUAAUUUUAAUAAAACUCAAAGGAUAGAAAUAUUAUUUAUUUCAUGAUCAAUGUUGGCCUGUUAGGUCAUAAAUUGGUUUAUUAUUUAUUUCAUGAUAUUCACAUUAAUAUCAAAUUGGUUUAUUAUUUUCAUAACAUGGUAAUUAUUAUUUUGGAUACAUAAUCAAAAGUUAUAGUUACAUUACCAAUUAGUAGCUGGUUUAGAUAAUAUAUGUUUGUUUUCUUUUUAGUAAAGCCGGAGUUUAAGUCUGAUGAUUGGUUAUCUACCUUGCUGUUUUGAAAUUGUUAAAUUUGUUUUCUUUCACUAUUGUUGUUGAUGUCUACCACAGUCACGACACUGGCUUCCAAAUAAAAGAGUUGGGCACCUUCCCCCUUAGGCCCUUAUCUUGCAUGUUACAUUACAUCAUUUAAACAUUGGCAGAUUGACUUCCAUAGAUUGUUUGGUCCUACAAUUCAUUAGUUCCUAUAUUCCUAUAGGUGAUUUUAAAAGUUUCCAUUCUACCCAUAUUAAGAACUAUUAUUGAUCUAUAAUAACUAUUGUUGUUGAUGUCUACCACAGUCACGACACUGGCUUCCAAAUAAAAGAGUUGGGCACCUUCCCCCUUAGGCCCUUAUCUUGCAUGUUACAUUACAUCAUUUAAACAUUGGCAGAUUGACUUCCAUAGAUUGUUUGGUCCUACAAUUCAUUAGUUCCUAUAUUCCUAUAGGUGAUUUUAAAAGUUUCCAUUCUACCCAUAUUAAGAACUAUUAUUGAUCUAUAAUAAAUUGAAAAAAUCUAUUUAGAUUAAGAGUAAAUACUCAUUUUAGUUAUUAAUAUUUUUCAUUCUUACUAGUUUGAUCCCUCAAAAAUUGAAAAAACUAAAAUGGUUCCCAAUUUUUUUUAAUUAUGGGCUAAAUUAAUUGUUUUUAGGAACAAAUUAAUCCAUAUCAGGUUUGUAAAAUAUGCUAAAAUUAUCAAUUUGACUCGUAUUUAAAAGUUUUGGGACCAUUUUGAGUUUUUCAAAUUUUGAGGGACCAAACUAGUAAAAUCGAAAAACAUGAAAAAUUAAAAUGAGUAUUUACUCUUAAUUUAAUAGGUAAGUCUCUAAGUCAUCAUAAAAACCUAUUUAAUUAUAUUAUGUAUUAGUCUUACAUUGUUAGAAACAACUAAUUUAAAAGUUGAAUAUAAAAUAAAGUGUAUUGAUAAUGAUUGAGUUUGAAUUUCUAGAUCAUCAUUGCUUUCAAUAAAUAAAUAAAUAUAUAUAUAUUUUUUUUUUUUGCUUAUGACAAUAAUCACAAAUACUAAAUGGUCCAAGUGUUCAUGCAUAUUCAUUAUUUUUUAAAGUAAAUACUAAUUUCAGUCCCUCAUUUUUUUUGACCUUACCAGUUUGUUCCUUCAAAAUUGAAAACCCGAAAAUGGUCCACAAAAAUUUUAAAUGCGCGUAAAAUUAGUUAUUUUUAACGUAUUUUAUAACACAUGAUAGAGACUAAUUUGACCCACAUUUGAAAUUUUUGGACCCAUUUUGGGUUUUUCAAUUUUUGAGAGACCAAACUAGUAAGGUCAAAAAACAUGAGGGACUAAAAUGAUUAUUUAUCAUAUUUUUAUUAGAGUAAAUUUGAUAGACACUUCACGCACUUUAGCUUAAUUACCCCCACAGCUCAUUUUGUUUAAAAGAUUGCAUUCAUCUCUCUUAUAAUAUAUGUAUAUAAGUUGAUGAUAGUUUGUGUAGGUGCAAAAUGGGAGGAGUGUUUUGUUUUAGUGUGAUUUAUUCUAUAAAAAAAUAAAACAAAAAUGUAAGUUAAUUUUUUAUUGUUAGAUAGACAUUUAAAAACAGACCUGAUAGUUAUUUAAAAAGAGACUUCUUAGCUAUUUAAAGGAAGACUGUUAGCCUAUUUAAAUGUAGACUUGUUAGGCUAUUGAAAGGCCCUAAGCACAAUCAACUUUUUAAUAAACUCACAAGCUUGAGCAGGCUUUUAGAUAGAUUAGGACUUAAAGCUUUGAUUGUUUUUAAAAAUAGUAAAUUGGACAACUUUAGUCUACUAUAUAUUAUAUAGGUUGAGUUUGUUCUAGGUAAAGUCUUACACUUGUUUCGACCUUAUAUGUAGGCACACAUUUAAAACUUCGGCAAUAAUAAUCUUGUAACUAGUUACGUAGUGUUUAAUGUGUCACUCUUAGGCCAAUAUUUUUAUAGGACAGGCAAUGUAUAAGUGUGGAAAGUUUGAUAAUCCUUUAUUUUUCAGUUUAUGAGUCGAGAAUGCAGUUCAUUUUAUUUUAUUAUUACUAUGAUUAUGAUUGAAUUCACAUAUAAGUUCACCUAAAUUCCUUUAUUAUUUAGUUAAUUGAAUGGUACUAGCAUCCAUGGAGCAAAAGGAGCACAAGAAGGAAAAAUAUGUGAAAAUGGCAAAAAUAGAAGACUUUUGCCGCAAGGAAAGAUCAGACAUCACGGUUGUACUACCUUGAUAGCACGGUGAUGCAACUUAUAACUAGAAAAAAGUUUCUAUAAUAAUGACUGUGGCUAAACUAAUGCUUUAAGUUGCCUCUCCAAGUAUUGCUCAACACAACUGUGCUAACUAAUAUGUAAGGAUAUGCCAUCUCUAACGCCUAUAAAUUGAGAGCUCUAGGAAUUUCGGUAGAAAACACACUAUCAUAGCUAUAGUCGUCAAAGGGACUAGAAAUAUGAUUUAUAUGAAGUAGAGUAGUUUCAUCACAAUGAAGAGCUACAUGAGUAGUAAGUAUUUUCCAUGUGCAUUGCACUAUUGUGUCUUAGAAAAAACUUAGUAUUAUUGUGAUGGUAGUUUAUGUCAUGUUUCAAGGUGAAACAAUGAUAUAACAAUGUCACAUUUCCAUAUUUUUAUAGACUUUUAUUUUAUUUUUUGAGUUGUUUCAUUAUGCGUAUUUGAUUUAUCACAUUGGAAAAUCUUUGGGUUUCUCUUAUGACCACAAAUGGAUUUGGGAUUCAUAUAUCUUUGAAUUCUUUCAUAUCUUACUUGGAUUUCAAAAAUCCAGUUGGUUUCUUCGUUUCCUUCAAAACGUAUCUAGUGGCACCCAUGGCUUUUGGGUUUUUAUGGAUUUUUUUGCUCAGCAAAAGAAAUAAAGUUGCAUUAAGAUAGCGCAAGGGGUGCUAACCCAAAACAACAAAUCAACAUGUAUUAAUACAUGAAAACAGAUCCACACACCAAGAGACAAAAUUUAUAUUCUUAUUUUCUGCUGCAUCAAAAAACGACAAUCAAGACCUAAGUUUAAUCAACUCCAUAAUUUUUAAAAAAACUACUCUCAUUUCCAUUAAAAACCAAGUCAUUCCUCAUUAACCAUACUAACAACAUCACUGCACACUAUAACAUACACCAGAGAUGAGACCCAUUCUUCUUCUUCCGAACACUAUUAUGGAGUUGAAAUAACUCACAUUAAUUGUUUGGAAGAUUAACUUUAAACCCAACCCAAGAUUAAAACUCCCUCCAAACCACAAUAGAAAAAUCAAACAAUAAAAAUAGAUGGUCUAUUGAUUCCUCAUUCUUAUCACAAAAAAGGCAUCCAACAUCUACUUGAUUAGAGAUAAUAGAUCUUCUCAAAAACUUCAUCUUAGUUGCUAUUGCCCCCUCAAAAGCUUCUACACAAAACAUGAUAUUUUAGAAGGCAAACAAGAAAGUCAAAUAUUACAAAGCAUUAAGUCUUAUGCAAAAGCAACCACCUGCAACUGAGUCGUGUAAGCUGACUUUGUCUUGUACAUCCUUAUAGAAGGUAAGCUCCAAGAACAGUCAUCCAUCCUCCCAUGUCUGCAAGAAAAUAGAUGAAUCACCGCAUAUAGUUGCUCCUCUAACUCUUCUUCCCACACAAACAAUUUCUCCCUCCACUUCAACAACCAACACCACUUCCCAUCUCUCCAUUCCACAUAAUCACUAACAACACUAUUAACAUCUACAACCACCAAAGAUAACCCAUGUAAGGAAUCACAUAACCUACUCACACCACACCACACAUCCAACCAAAGUCUAGAAUGAGACCCAUCCCAUAAAAGUUGAAGAAAAGAAAAGUAGUAGAAAAUGAGAUGAUAAUUUUAUUGUUUGAUAUGAUUGAAAAUAGAAGAAAAGUGAGAGGAAAGAAAAUGCAUAUUUAAACAUAAUAUAUUUAAAAUGACAUAAGUGCCCUCAUUAUAUAACUAAAUUACAUAGCUAAAUAUUUAUUUAAAAUGACAAUACAUAUCUAAUUUUUAAAUACUACUUUUUAAUAUUGCAAAUUUCAUAAUUAAAUAAUUUAUUUUUAAUAAUAUUGAUUAAUAUUUUUAAGUUACUAAGUUUAAUAUAAUAAUUUAUGUUUAUAAAAAUUCUUCUCACCAAUGUAUCUAAGUAAAGUAUAACUAAUUUUUUAAAAUCACUUUUAUAUUUUUAACAAUCUCACUUCUAUAUAUUUUGCGUUUUGUCUUUCUAAUUUAUUUAUUAUUUGUCUAUUUGUUAGUAAUUAUGUUUAUUUUUUUCUUUUCAUUCCGGACAAAACACAAUUAUUAUUAAUUUUUGAGUUUAGAAGCAACGAAAAUAAAAUUAAGUUAACGAAUUUCACAUCAAAAUGAAUAUAAACAAAGAAUUUUACUAAAUUGUAUAUAUUUUCACAUAGAUUGUGGUUCUUUAAAUUCAUUCAUGGUGAUUGGAAUUUUUGAUGUUUUUCUCUCCUUUCUUAAUUUUCUUCACAAAAUAGGGAGGAAAACUUUUUGUGUGGGGCCCAUGCUUAUUUUUCCUUCCCCUCAUUUUUAGUGUUGAACCAAAUGGUAGAAAAUAAUAUUUUCCACCACUUUUCCUUCCUCCUCUUUUCUUUCCUCUUUUUUUUUACAUAGAACCAAACAUAGUGUAAAGGAAGAUUCUUAUGUUAUUUAGAUUUCAGUGAAAUUGUGCCUGUGAAGCAAGUCUCCAAUUUUUUCAAUAAAAUCAAGCCUCCUACACUCGAUUUCCAUUUUAAGUCUAGACAAACUGUCCCACAAUAAUAGACAUAAACAAUAAACACCAAGAAUAAUUGAGCAAAACGAGGUGGGUGAAGAUUAAGACGAAGUAAAAAAGAAUCUGUUGGAUAUGAAAUUGGAUUGCACUACAAUAUGAUCAACUUCAAUAUAUGCAGCAAGAAGUUGGGCACGUAUGGGACAAUACUGUAACUUGGAAAAAUAUGAAAUUAUAUUGGAUCUUCCACAUGUAUUGAACAAUAUUGGUAAUAAAAGGUGAGAAUCAUUUCUUGUACAAAAGUUUUAAAUCAUAAAAUUGAUUUUAGCGGAGAGGAAUCUCAAAUUUCAUUUCUCCAUUAUCAAAUUCAUUAAAUCCUCACUAUGUUAUGUAUUCCUAUUUGCAAUUCAUUAUUAAAACAUUUGACUUUUCCCUCCUUUUCAAUUUUAAAGAUUAUUAACUUUUCACUAGGGGUGGCAAUUGGAUGGAUUUGGAUGAAUUUGGAUUUGGAUCUUAAUGGAUGGAUAGAAAAUUAUCCAUCAAUCCAUAUAAAUCCAUUACAUCAUAUUUUUAACUUAUCAAAUCCAUCCAUGUCCAAUGGAUUCCAAUCCCUCCAUUCUAUCCAUGUAUCCACAAAACAUUUUUAAUAAAGCAAUUUGAAGAAAAAAAUAUUAAAUUAUUAUUUAAUACAUUUUUAAAUAUCAAUUUUAAAAAACAUUUUUAAAAAGUGAAUUUUUUUAAAAACACUUUCAAAAAAAUAAUUUUCUUAACAAAUACUUUUAAAAAGUGCUUUUUUGAUAAGCACUUUUAAAAAUAUGAAUUUGUGAAGUUUUUUUAUAAGAGCUUUUAAAAAUGUGAAUUUGUGAAGUUUUUUUAUAAUUACUCUUAUUGGCAAGAAUCUUUGGUGCCACAUAGUUUUGAUAGGAGUGUAAAAGUUCGGUUUCAUUUUCGAUGCAAUUUAGUGACUGAAUCGGACACAAAGAUAUUGUUCGGUUCUACUCGAUUAACCGCAAAUUUUAUUUAGGAACCGAACCGAACCGUUUAUUAAUGUUUCGGUUCGGUUCCACGGUUUUUCAACAUUUUUAAAGAAAAUCCUUUAAGAAAUAGUUGAACAAAAUUUGCAAAGUAUACAGUAAACUAAAUGAAUAUUAAAAAUAUCAAUUAUAAAGUAUUUAAUACUCUUUCUAGUACAACAAUAAUAAUUCAAGGUCUCAACGCACUAUAAACUUGAAAUUUUAGUCCACAAAAUCUUCGACAAUGUCAACCAAAAUUUAAGAAUGACAAACUUGGUAUCAAUUCUUUAGUCCAACAGUAAGUUCUAAUACUUCACAUCAUUAGUAAUAUCCUCAAGUUCUUUCUUUAUUUUCUUUUAGUUCCUUAAUUUCUUUAUUUAAUUAAUUUUAUCUCUAAAUAGUGAUAAAAUGUAUACUAGUUUUUUAGUUAUCAUUCUAUCUUCUCAAUGGAUAAUAAAUAUUUAGGUUUGUUUACUAAUUUAUUUUUUCUAUUGGCCUCUUAUUUAUAGCCUAUAUGUAUUAAUAAUCAUAAAUUUUUAAUCAUAUUUUAUCUCCUAACUUUAAAGCUUAACCAUCCAAAUAUAAAAUAAUUUUUUGAAUAUGCGAUUCGGUUCUUUUCUAACGAUUCCAAAAUUUACAAAAUCGUGAACCAACAUUUUUGGAUGGAUUGAGUAUCCAUCCAAAUGAAUAUACUCAUGAAUAUCCAUUGGAUAUAAUGGAUGAAUUUGAAUUAAUCCAUUAUCAACAUUAUUCAUUGAAUUAUAUCCAUUUAAAUCCAUUAAUUCUAACGGAUGGAUUUGGAUAAAUUUAAUUUGGAUGAAUUUGGAUGUAUUUUGGAUUAUGGAUAAUUUUGCCACCCCUACUUGUCACCCUUUUUGUCUUAGUUGUUAAAAUUUAAGUUCAUUUUUUCCAUAUUCAUUCACUUAUUUGAUAUAGCAUUAUUUCAUUUCUCACGUAAUUGUUGAAAUAUCAUGUGCUUGUUCAAACUGCAUAUUAUACACUAUUGGUUUACACUAUGAUGUGCUUCUAGUGGACAUGAGCAAAAUUCUUCUGGUUUUUCUAUGUUAGCUUCUUUACUUUCCUCUACCACAUAUCAUAGAAUAAUGGUCAUUUCAGUCACUCCAAACUACAUGAUAGUAGAAAUCUGUGCAACUUCAUUCUAUGCAUUAUUCAAUCUCUUCAAUGGUUUUUUUUACCCCAAUAUUAGUGAGUACCAUUGCCUAGUUCUUUAAGAUAAAACUCUAGUUUCUAGCUUUGUAAUUUCAUUUAUAUAUAUCAUUUUGUUUCAGAAUAUCCGUAUGUGCUAUGUGGUGGUCAUGAUAUUAUUAUAUAUGCCUAGUAGCAUAGACAAUACACUGAUUAACAAUCUCAUAUGUGGUGGGAAAUUGACUGUUCUACAAUAAAUGAAUGAGAUAUAAAAUAAAUUACUUGUGAUGAAGAAUUAAUAAGCUCAGUAUUAGAACUUAAUGAUUAAUUUUUGAGAUUAAAGCAUUUGUCAAUUGAAGGGUCAAAUUUGAAUUCGUCUGAACUUAAUUGAAUCCAUACAUAAUUGAGUUUCAUUAUAUCUUGUUUCGAGUUCAACAAAUUAGUCGAUUAACAUUCAGAGUCGGAUAAAAUACAUACUUUGUCCGGCCUAACCUAUCCAAAUCUCAUCCCUAAUAUUUCACAUUAAAAAAUCUUAUGUAUUUCAUCUUUACCUUAGUUUCUUCUUUGUCCACAUUAAAUAAUAUUAGUAAUACCCUAUUCAAAAAAAUAGUAGAAAAUAUUAUUUACAAUAGUGUUAUUUCAAUAAUUCAAAUUUAAUAACUUCACUUAAAAAAUUAAAUUAUCUCUCCUAUACUUUUUAUCUUUUAUUUGUAUACACAUACCCAAAAAUCAGUUGAAAACCAAAGAAAAAUUUACUAUCACAAUGGUUUUAUCAAAAUACAGUUUUUUCUAAUCACUGUCUGAUAAGGACUAAAAAUGUAAAGUCAAUUACAAAAAAAAUUAAAAUAUAUUAUUAAAAAUUAAAUAUAAAACUUUCAACAUUAACUUUAGAUUUUUUAGUUAUUUAGAGAAGAGCGAUGAUUAAAAAAAGAAAAAAAAGAAUUAUAAAAGAUAGAGAAAGGUGAUGAAUAGUGUAACUUGUUAGCUGAUUCGUAUUCUUUUCUAAGGUCAUAACUCAUCCUAGUUUGAAUAUUGGCAAAAAGAUGUUCCCCUUUUAAUUACCCUUCAAAUUUGGUUGUUGAACUUUCUUUUGUAACUUUGGUCCUUUAGAUAAGAUUUGUUGAGUGAAAGAUUGUGGUCCAAUGCAUGACUUGUUUUUUUUUGUAAACUAUUGAAGUUAGUAUUAUAUUCUAGCCAGAAAAAUGUGUGGGAUAUUUUAUUCUAAAAUAAAAUAAUAAACAAAGUAAUAAUUUUGAAUAGAGAAAAUAAUUAAAAAGUUUAAAAUUUAUUUUAUAGAAAUCAAUCAAUUUAUCAAUAAUAUUUUUAAUUUAAUUAUUAUCAAUCUUAAGGAUACAAUUGUCAUCAUCAUAAAAAUGUUUCAACUCCAUUAAUCAUAGACAUAAACUCAGUAAUAUUGAAUGUGAAAAAAAAUGGAAUAUAGUUACAGUUUUUUUGUUUAGGUAAUAUUACUUGUACCUAUUUUAUAACCCGAAAACAUGGCAGCCUUCACUUGCGAUAUUACCAUACUAUUCUGACAUUAAAAAAAGGGAAAGGAGUUAAUGGAUUGAUUCUAGGCAUUUUACAAAUUUUGUACCCACUUGUGAUUUUGAAAAUACUAUGUAUUCUAUAUUAGAUUUCAUAAAAUUCAUCAUUAUCAUUCAUUCAAUUAAUUCACCAAGCCAAAAGAAGCUACUUAUAUACACAGCAAUAACACUAGCCAAAAGAAGGAUAAGUAGUUAAAACAGUUGGGUAGUUUUUAGCCAACUGUCUAAAAGGGAAACUGCCAAAAGAAGAGUAAUUCUAACAACCCAAGUGCUAAAGGAAAAAAUACAUAAAUAAACCAAGACUAUAAUCAUCUAAAACCCUCCCUCAAGUUGGAGAGUAGAUAUUCAAAACUCCCAGCUUGGAAAGAAGAUAAGAAAAUGUUGAAGCAUCCAAAGCCUUGGUAAGCAAACUAGCAGGUUGUUCUUUACUAGGAAUGGGAAGCAAAUGGAAGAGACGAGCUUGAAGUCUUUCUCUAACAACAAGACAAUCAAUCUCAAUGUGUUUGGUGCGUUCAUGAAACAUAGAGUUAGCUGUAAUAUAGCGAGCUGAUUUGUUGUCACAAUAGAGAAGAGAAGGCUUGAUGAACGAAAUAGGAAAGUUGUCAAGUAAGAAAGUCAGCCAUUGAAGUUCACAAGCAAUAGAAGCAAGUGCCCUGUACUCAGCCUCAGAUGAAGACCUAGCCAACGUUGUUUGCUUCUUCGAUUUCCAUGAAAUUAAUGAGUUUCCAAGGAAGACACAAAACCCAGAAACAAAUAUAUGUGUGUCUAUGCAUGUGCCCUAGUCAGAAUCACUGAAAGCUUUUAGUUGGAGUGCAGAAUCAGAGGGAUAAAAGAGACCCUGACCAGGUGUUCCUUUGAUGUACCGAAGAAGUCGAGUAAGAGCUUGAUAGUGAGAAUUAGUGGGGUGGCUCACAUACUGACUCAAUUGCUAGACAGAGAAGCUGAGAUCAGGUCUUGUAUUAGUUAGAUAAAGAAGUCUUCCCACCAAUCUUCUGAAACCAGUGGGAUUGUUGUAAGCACCCAAUUACAAAAAAAUUAAAAUAUAUUAUUAAAAAUUAAAUAUAAAACUUUCAACAUUAACUUUAGAUUUUUUAGUUAUUUAGAGAAGAGCGAUGAUUAAAAAAAGAAAAAAAAAAAGAAUUAUAAAAGAUAGAGAAAGGUGAUGAAUAGUGUAACUUGUUAGCUGAUUCGUAUUCUUUUCUAAGGUCAUAACUCAUCCUAGUUUGAAUAUUGGCAAAAAGAUGUUCCCCUUUUAAUUACCCUUCAAAUUUGGUUGUUGAACUUUCUUUUGUAACUUUGGUCCUUUAGAUAAGAUUUGUUGAGUGAAAGAUUGUGGUCCAAUGCAUGACUUGUUUUUUUUUGUAAACUAUUGAAGUUAGUAUUAUAUUCUAGCCAGAAAAAUGUGUGGGAUAUUUUAUUCUAAAGUAAAAUAAUAAACAAAGUAAUAAUUUUGAAUAGAGAAAAUAAUUAAGAAGUUUAAAAUUUGUUUUAUAGAAAUCAAUCAAUUUAUCAAUAAUAUUUUUAAUUUAAUUAUUAUCAAUCUUAAGGAUACAAUUGUCAUCAUCAUAAAAAUGUUUCAACUCCAUUAAUCAUAGACAUAAACUCAGUAAUAUUGAAUGUGAAAAAAAAUGGAAUAUAGUUACAGUUUUUUUGUUUAGGUAAUAUUACUUGUACCUAUUUUAUAACCCGAAAACAUGGCAGCCUUCACUUGCGAUAUUACCAUACUAUUCUGACAUUAAAAAAAGGGAAAGGAGUUAAUGGAUUGAUUCUAGGCAUUUUACAAAUUUUGUACCCACUUGUGAUUUUGAAAAUACUAUGUAUGCCAUAUUGGAUUUGAUAGAAUUCAUCAUUAUCAUUCAUUCAAUUAAUUCACCAAGCCAAAAGAAGCUACUUAUAUACACAGCAAUAACACUAGCCAAAAGAAGGAUAAGUAGUUAAAACAGUUGGGUAGUUAUUAACCAACUGCCUAAAAGGGAAACUGCCAAAAGAAGAGUAAUUCUAACAACCCAAGUGCUAAAGGAAAAAAUACAUAAAUAAACCAAGACUAUAAUCAUCUAAUACCCUCCCUCAAGCUGGAGAGUAAAUAUUCAAAACUCCCAGCUUGGAAAGAAGAUAAGAAAAUGUUGAAGCAUCCAAAGCCUUGGUAAGCAAACUAGCAGGUUGUUCUUUACUAGGAAUGGGAAGCAAAUGGAAGAGACGAGCUUGAAGUCUUUCUCUAACAACAAGACAAUCAAUCUCAAUGUGUUUGGUGCGUUCAUGAAACAUAGAGUUAGCUGUAAUAUAGCGAGCUGAUUUGUUGUCACAAUAGAGAAGAGAAGGCUUGAUGAACGAAAUAGGAAAGUUGUCAAGUAAGAAAGUCAGCCAUUGAAGUUCACAAGCAAUAGAAGCAAGUGCCCUGUACUCAGCCUCAGAUGAAGACCUAGCCAGUGUUGUUUGCUUCUUCGACUUCCAUGAAAUUAAUGAGUUUCCAAGGAAGACACAAAACCCAGAAACAUAUAUCCUUGUGUCUAUGCAUGUGUCCUAGUCAGAAUCACUAAAAGCUUUUAGUUGGAGUGCAGAAUCAUAGGGAUAAAAGAGACCCUGACUAGGUGUUCCUUUGAUGUACCGAAGAAGUCGAGUAAGAGCUUGAUAGUGAGAAUUAGUGGGGUGGCUCACAUACUGACUCAAUUGCUAGACAGAGAAGCUGAGAUCAGGUCUUGUAUUAGUUAGAUAAAGAAGUCUUCCCACCAAUCUUCUGAAACCAGUGGGAUUGUUGUAAGCACCAGAAGAAUCUUGAGAUAAAAUAGUACCCUUAGCAAUGGGAGUGAUGGCAGGUUUAGAUGCCAAGAAACCUGUGUCUGCCAAGAUGUCUAAAGCAUAUUUUCGUUGGCUCAAAGUAAUCCAUUUACUUGUCCUUGCCACCUCAAGCCCAAGAAAAUAUUUUAAGUGACCAAGAUCUUUGAUUUUCAACAAAUCAUGCAGAUGUUGUUUGACAAAUGUGAUUUAUGUGACAUUAUUACCAGCCAAAAUGAGAUCAUCUACAUAAAUGAGAAGAACAGUGAAUGAAUUACCAUGUCUCUUGGUGAAUAAGGAGGGAUCAUGAGCAGAUUGAACAUAGCCUAUGUGGAUAAAAGUGUGAGAAAGCUUGCCAUACCACUGUCUACUUGCUUGCUUUAACCCAUAAAGAGAUUUAUGCAGCUUACACACUUGAUUAGGCUUUGAGCAUACUACACCUUGAGGAAUACGCAUGUAAACAUCUUCAGUUAAUUCCCCAUGAAAGAAUGCAUUGUUGACAUCUAACUGAUGCAUAAACUAUUUUUCAGAAGUAACGAGUUCUAACAUCAAUCUCACUAUUGUUAAUUUUAUCACAUGUUCAAAAGUGUCAAAAAAAUCAAUACCUUCUAUUUGAUCAUAACCCUUUGCAACCAAUAUGGCCUUGUACCUUUCAAUAUUCCCAUUUGAUCUAUACUUGAUCCUAUAUACCCAUUUAGAACCUAUAGGAACUUUAUCAUGUGGUAGAUCAACAAUGCUCCAUGUACUGUUUAAUUCCAAGGCUGCAAGUUCAUAUGUCAUGGCAGUGAUCCACUCAGGUGACUUUAUAGCUUGCAGGUAUGUUUUUGGCUUAAAAUGUGUAGCAACAGAAAGAAUAUGAGAUAGAUGAUGAGGAGCAAUAGAAGAGUAUGACAGAACAGGGGAUGAGGAAUGUGAGAGGUAGUAGUAGUAUUUUGUGUAAGAAGAUUGCAAUGAAACUCAGUAAGGUAUAAAGGUGGACCACGAAUUCUUGUAGACUUUCUAAUAGUUUGUGUUUUCUGAGGAGGAGAAGGAUUUUGUGUUGGUGGUUUUUGGGGGAGAAGAGUGAAUUAUGUUUGUGUUUGUGUGCUAGAGGAGAUUGGAUAAUGUAUUAACUAAGGAGUGGAAGAUUGUGGUAAUUUGUAAUUUGAGAAAAGAGUAUUGUCAUGAAGAAAGCCAAAAGAUGAAGUAGGAGCCAAAAUAUUAGAAGUUGUUGCUUUGUUAAUUGAGAUGUAAAGAAAUUCAUCUUCAUAGAAGUACACAUUCCUUGAAAUAAAAAUCUCUCUAGAGUGUAAAUAAAAAAACACAUAACCUUUAACACCUCUUUUGAAUCCUAAAAACAUACUCUUCUUUGCUCUAGUAUCUAAUUUGGUGCGAUGAUUUAGCAAUGUGGAUGCAAAACACAGACAACCAAAAACUUUCAGCUCAUUAAGGUUGGAUUUGCACUUAUGGAGCAUUUCAUAAGGGGAUUUCUAUUGAAGAGUGAUGCUAGGAAUCCUGUUUAUGAGAAAAGUGGCAUGUUGCACAGCAUAAGACCAAAAAAUGUGUGGAAGAUGAGCAUGAAAAAGCAUUAAUCUAGUGGCAUUAAGUAGAUGCUUGUGUUUCCUUUCAACAACAGAAUUUUGUUAUGGUGUUUCAACGCAUGAAGUUUGAUGAAUGAUUCCAAAUUUGUCAAAUAAAGAGGGCGUUUGAAAUUCCAUUCCAUUAUUUGUUCUAAUGGUUUUGAUAAUCUUAUGAUGCUAAGUUUGAAUGAGAACAACAAAAUUUUGCAUUAAACUCCUUGCCUUAGAUUUGUUUUUCAUACGAUAUAACCAUGUAUGCUUACUAUAAUCAUCAACCGCGGUAAGAAAGUAUUUGAAACCAUGAAUGGAGGAAACAAAUAAUGGACCCCAAAUAUCCAUGUGUAUGAGAUCAAAAGGUGCUAAACCUUUAUUCAUACUGAUAGGAAAUGCCAACUUUGUUUGUUUUGCCAAAUGACAGAAAUCACAAAUUCUCUUAGCAUCAAAAUGUAAAUAUGAAAAUUCCCUACAAAUGUGUUGUAAGACAACAAUAGAAGGGUGACCUAAUCUGUAAUGCCACAAGUCAAAAGAAGAAACACUACAAGCAGAAUUAUUAAAGCAAGUUUUAUGCAGACAUGGUCUUGAAGGUGUGUCUAGAAUGUAGAGAUUCUUGUGCAUUUUAGAAUGUCCAAUCAUCUUCAAGGUACUCAUAUCCUGGAUCAUGCAUUAAGAUUGAUCAAAAAAUACUCUACAAUUCAAUUCAAGUGCAAGUCUAUGUACUGAUAUGAGAUUGAAUUUGAAUUGUAGGACAAACAAUACAUUGCACAUGACCAAUUUUUCAAAGAGCAUAACCAUCCCUAAAUGCUUAGCUGAAACAACAGAUCCAUUUGGUAGUUUGAUAGCAACAUGUUUAAUAGAAUGGUAUGAUACAAAACUACAAAAAUAAGGACACACGUGGUCAGUUGUACCAGUGUCAAGAAUCCAUGGGUGGAUAUUGCCUGAGUUCUUAAUGAAUCUGUUUCUGCAAGAGGUGUGAUGCUGAGUUGAUUCCCUUUACUUCCACCAACACCAUUUAUACUAGCAUUGUUGAAUAGGGAUACAAGUUCAGCAUAUUGAGCAGGACUGAAACUCAGUAUUGGUUGUGUGUUAGUCUCUGUUUCCAACAAUUCAUUCCCACUGCCUGCAUUAAUCAAAAUGGUACUUCCAAUAGCAUUAUUAUUGCCAACAUUUGCGCUCUGUUUUCCAAAGUUAGGUGGAAACCAUGUUUGUAGUAACAAACAUCAACUGUAUGUCCUUCUUUGUCACAAUAUGUGCAAACUUUGGUAUUACUAGUCCUAUUCAAAUCGUAGCCUCUUCGAAAGCCUCUUCCUCUAAACUUUCCAAAGGUAUUACAACUUCCAAGAUACCUUUCCAUUGUCUUGCGCAUGUGGUCUAAAACUUUAAGAUUUGGAUAGGCAUAUUGAAACAGUCUUGAGUAUUAUUCUAAUUAAGGAUUGCAAACGUUAAGUUCAAUAAAUUGAGAAGAUUAUAUUUAGAAAUAAUCCAUAACAACAAAAUUGAAACUUUUAGAUAAGAUGAUAAAAACUUUAAGAAAAAAUAAUGUGGACCGACAAUAAUUUGACAUUAUAUAUCAAAGAGGAUUUCAAUUUAGUACAUAAUUUGCAUGGUGCAAACGAUAGAAUGAACAUUAAGAUAGAAUGAGUCUUAUAUUAGGUCUAACUAAUUUAGCCAAUUAAAUUAUUCAAUAAAAUUGAAUAUGACUUUAUAUAAAUUAAUGAUUUAUAUAUAAAAUUAAUGAUUAUGAAUAAAAUUAUCUCAAUAAAUGUUAGAGAGGACCCUUACUUUAAAAUUUCAAUAUUUUAUAUUUGUUAUGUCAACGGAAACUUCUUUAUCAAUCCAAACAAAACCAUCCAUCACAAGCAGUCAUCUUCCGAUUUUUAUCUCUCCUAUUCAAGAUCUGUAACACCGUGUUUUUUUCGAGCACUUUAAGUAGUUAAUUAUUAAUGAAUUACUUAUAGAAAUAAAUCAGUAAUUUUUUAGGCUAAACCUCGGUUGAGUUUUAGUCUUGUAUUAUAAUAUACUAGCUUGCCCUAUUUUUCAAGAUUUUUUGAGAAUAAAAGUUCCCGAGAUGAUUUCGGGUCGUUUUAUCGAGUUUUCGCCCAGUUUUUGAGUUUCGUAACUCGGAAUCGAAUUCCAAAUUUUCCGUUAGCUUCGAAAUAUUAUUGCUAGUCAAAAUAGACAUCAAGUUUGUCCGAAACUCAUCUCUAGUUAUUUUUCACCUCGAAAUUCAAGUUUCGACGUUUCGGGUAAAAACCUAAAUCGUUAGAUCAUAUAUUUUCGGACAAAGUGACCCGGUAAUACUCAGGCAUGACUUCAAUUUCGAAAUCACACCACAUCAAUCAAGUCGGAGUAUUAAUCACAUCAUGGGUCAAUGGCUUGUCAACCAAGCAAAGUCAAAGCUUCCAUAAUCCCCUAAAUCACUCACCAAAUCUCCUCACUCCACCACCAUUAGACACAUCACCUAAACUAGCCUAAAGCUAAAUUGCCUCUCAUUAAUUUUCAGAUUUGAGAGAGGGUGAUGCUCUCCUAUAAAUACGUCACCCCAUCAUCUCAUUUUUACAAUAAUUUUCCUAAAGAAAGUUAAGGUAUUCUUUUUCUUUUUCUCUUCUCCAUUUUUCUCCACAUACACCAUGAGAAAAUCAUGAUCUCUUAGUAUGUUAUUCACGGAGUUGAUUUUAUGUUUAUUUUCUUUAAAUAUUUUGUAAGUCAUGACUAAAUGGGAUGAUAAUGAAAUCAUGUGAACCUUUGUGUAGUUUUUGACUUAUGUAGAACUUAGAAUUUCUUCCUUGUUCUUAGAUGGAAAAACUAUAUCUUUAGAUAAGGUUAGAUGAGUUUAUUUGCUUUAUAAAUAUUAGAAAUUAUUGUUAGUAUUUGAAUGUGUUUAAAGGUGAUGAUUUGAACAUCAAAGGAACCUUUAUUGUGUUUAAGAAAAGUUUAUGUCUAUUCUUGAAAGUUCAAAAUAUUUAUGAGUUUAGUUGAAAAAAUUUCAUUUUAAAAAGGUAUUAUGUGUAAAAGGUUGUCUAGAAUAUGUUAUUCUUUGAUUACCAAGUUAAAGUAAUGAUUUGGGAUAAAAGAUGAUUUAUUAAAGUCUUGACUUCAUAAACUUAAAGUGUUAUGAAGUUUUGGAUAGUAAAGUAGUAACAAUGUUAACUUAUGAUUUAUAGUUCAUGACUAUGAAAUCAACGCCUAUUAACCCUUGAGGUUAUCCUAAAAUUUGGAGGUGUUGAGAUGGUCAUGAAAUUAGUUGUGUUUUCUUUAGUAACAUAUUUUAAAUGAGGAGAUUGACCUAAAAAUUCUUGACUUUAUAAACCUAAAGUGUUGUGAAGUAUUAGAUAGAAAAUGAUUUAAAAGUGUUGAUCUUGGUUAAGUUAGCUUACUUUAAAGUAGUAAGAUUGACUUAAAAAGUCAUGAUUUAAAAGUAUUGAAUUUGUUUAAGUUGGCUUACUUUAAAAUGGUAAGUCUAGCCUAAUAAUCUUACUUAAAAAUGUUAAUCUUAAUAAAAAUGUUUUACUAGCAAAAGAUAAGUUUUAUGAAUAGUUAUCAUUACCGGAAAAAUGUAAUGAAGUGGAAAUACAUGUCUAGAAAAGUUCUGUCUAAGGAAAGACUUCGUAUUUAAGUGUGUCUUUAUGACACACCUCUCUUUCCUGGGAAACUAACCUAGUGUAUAUCCAUAGAUUAUGACAUAAUUAUGUUAUAAGUUUUGUUGAAACUUUAUUUUAGAAAGUGUCAUUGUGUUGUAAGACUUUCAAUGAUAAAUGAUGAUUCAAGAAAUACCUAACCUAGAAUCGGAUAGAUGAAAGCGAUUAACUUCAUUUUAGAUCGGAAGUUUUAUUUUCGCGUAAAAUUUUAUUUCGUAAGAAUAGUAAUUAUCAAAGUGACCUAAUUAUGUUAUUUUGAUUUUGGCGUGAUGAAGAGUUCGAGAAGAGACCCGAUGAAUUAAGCUCACCUGGAAUCGAUGAAACAAUUUGCACGACACACUCAAGCGAGGGAGAAAACAUCGUGACACAGUGGUGUCCGAAUAUGCUUCAGGACCUCCAAACUCCCUCACAAGUUUGGAGUUGUCUUGGGUAUUAAGAAAGCUUGUACUUAAUCAAUUGUCUGUUUUGUUUGGAUUAAGUACAACAAUAUUUCUUAUGCCGAAUUAUGUUAGGUUAUGUUUAUGUAUGAAGAUGACAUGAUUGUUCUUGUUUAAUAUUGCUCAAAUAACUGUUCUAAGAAUUAUAUGUAUGAGAUAAUUGUUAAAUUCAAGGCUUAAAAACAUGUGUUAUAAAUGAGAAAACUUUUCAUUGAGAAAACAAAUUUAACUAAGUUUUAGGCUUUUCUCGCUUGAGCGAGAAGUGUUUAGAGAAAAGGGGUUCUCUCGCUUGGGCGAGACAGCUCUCGCUUGAUCUGAAAUAUGCACAAAGAAAACUAGCUAUUUUCUUACUUAAGCGAGACAACUCUCACUUGAGCCACAUGUGCCUUAUAAAAAUGGUGAUUCCCUCGCUUGAGCAAGACAGAUCUCGUUUGAGCGAAAGGGCUCCAUACAAACAAGACUUUUUAAGUCGUCUGAAUGAUAACUCUCACAUGUGCGAGAGUCUAAUAGCACUUUUGCCAUCAAGAGUUCAUUCACUUCCAAUCCUAUUCAAUAAAACCUAAAACACCUUUAUUGGAGAUAAUGUUCUUUCAAUAAGUAAAUGUUGUGAAGAUGAAUGAUUAUAUGAAAUUUUUGGAAACGAUACAAAGAAGAUUUGCCAUAUCUAAAGUGAUGUAUGUAAAGAAUUGCAUGGUUAAGGACGAGGCCCGCAAGUGUUAUAUUAUGCCUGCAAGAGGCUUGGCUUGAGAGUCGUCCAGGGUGAUUCAAAGAUGGUUCGUAGUGGUGAUGAGAAGUAUUAUAUGCCCAUGCAUCGAAAUCGUCUGACCUUAAGAGGCUUGGCUUGAGUGUCGUCGAGGGUGAUUCAACGAUGGUUCGUAGUGGUGCUGAGGUUUAUUCUCUAUGGUUUAAAUGUUAAGACCAGGUGCCACUAGAAGCAUUCCCGAUGGGAGAUGUCUUAGAAUGGGCAAAUCGUUAUAAAAGAUGGAUUAAAAUAUUUAAUUUGCUAACUUCGGUUAGUAUGCAUAUUCAUUGUGAAUAAUGAAGUAGCGGAGAGGAAAUUUACGGGAGACGAAUGAGCCCCGAGAUGUUGAGAGGGACGGCAAUGGUGGUGAUUCGUCAGCAAAGUCUUGAGGGAGAGUCUAGGUGAGACAAGUCCCGUGUAUUCCUGGAUGAUAUAUUAUGUUGGAUCGGACAGUGCUCACAGAACAAACUAGACGAUCUCUAACAACCUCUCUUUGCAAUCAGGAUCAAUAAGAGGGAUGCCUAGAAAGUGUUUGAUAUGACACCGUCCUGAAUGGACAGUUCUGUUGGAACAUAUAUAUAUCCUUGCGAGGAAUAAGUUUUGGUGCUAUCAAAUCGACUUGUUAUGAGACCUGUACUCUCGGUUAUUUCCUAAUACUUAUUGAGAAGAUAAUGGUGUAAGGAUGGUGGACAUAUGCAUAACAUUCAUAUAUGGUAUUUAUCGAUAUUGAUUAUAAAAUCAUAAGUUAUAUACUCCAUUCAUCAUUAAUACAUGCAUGUAUGAUCAUAUGAUAUAUCUGUAUUUGUUCUUUGUCUUGGUGUUAUAUUCUGUGUAAUUCCACAACGUCAAUGAUAAGUUUUUCAAUAGAUGUUUUACUCUCUCACUUUCUGGUGUACUCGUAUACAUCCAUGUUUAGAUGGACAGAUUGGCGAUGAUUAGUGGCUACUGCUUUACCAUGUCCCAGGAGGGGGCAUGGAGCGUUGAAGGAAAGAGAUACACCUAUACUGGUCCAUGCGACAUGGAAUUGGAUCUUGUAUGUGAUGGCUCUAUGUUACAUCUCCUGACACAUUACGCAGCUCGGGAAGCAUCGUUCGCCCUACUAGAGCGAAGGUUUGUACAUUCUAGUCCAUCCGCACCAGCUGAGGCAUGAGGCAGAUUGGAGGUUGUCAAGACCUGGCCCCAACUGAGAUUAUCAUCUACUGACUCAAUGCCAAGAGGGACGGAAGGAGCAUACAUGGCUACUUCGUCGGGGCCUAGGGGAUACACCCUUUAAUGGAUUGGAAAACAGAUGAGGUGGUGUAGGACGAGGACGAUGAUUGUGUAUAUUUAAUUUGCAUAGAGGAUUCGGUGGAGGUUAUAAAGAUCUCUUCAGACUCGGAGAUCGAGGAAGACCCGAGUGAGGUUUCUAGUGCACCACCGGUCUAGGAGCUCCUUUCUUUCUUUUGAUAGGGAACCUGUGUAGGAUACUUUUGUAAAGUCAACGCACUCAUCAUUAUUUUAUUUUUAUUUUUAUUUUUAGUCUUUGUUUCGGGCGAAGAAUAGACCCCACCUUGUAUUUUGUAAACCAUGAUAUACGUAUUACAAAUUCAAGAAUUGAUUAAUGAGAAGUAUUCAAAAAACAAUUGUGUUUCGUUAUGUUUAGAAUUUACAAGUUUUGUACUAAUGCAAUAUGUUAUUAUGAAAUUGUGUCUUUUGUUUGUGAUUUUUUGUUUUAAAAGACAUUUAUGAAUUGUUUGAAUUAUUUAUUUUUGUCUAAAAGCUUUAAUGUGUAUUUUGAAAGAAGAAAAAAACGGGCCAACCUGCUAGUCUUGCCAAAUAUGGGUCGGGCUGACAUUUUGAGCCCUUAUAACAAUAAGGGCCAGGUCGGGCCAGCCCAUAUUCUGACGGGUCAAAGGCGAGCCAGGCUGCCCCAGGCUGACCCGUAUUGUCACCCCUAUGCCUCAAGGCAUGUAUCUUGUACCUUGGGAAUGAUAAAUUAAUAUUCCCUUAUAUACCCUGUAUCUUUAUCAUUUGGUUAGUUUUUAGUACAAGAUUUUGAAGGACUUUAUGAUUCAUUCAUCCUACAAAAUGAUCAACUUUCACUAUCACGCUCAAACUAGCCCUUUAAUGAUUUAAAAAAAAAUUACUUGUGGGAAAAUAUAUUUUUAUGUAAAUUAUACAAAUCAAUAAAUAUAACUUAUAUUUAUUUAUCAUUCUUCAUUUAGUUACUUUUGGUUAAUACUUUUUUAUUUUUAAUUGAUAGUUUUAAAGAUAACAAUAUUUCAAAUACUAUUAAGUACUCAAGCAAUUGGAAAAUAUAUUAUAGUCUGAGUAAUUUUUAGUACUCAAAUAAUUGGAAAAUGCAUUAUAUUUUAGUUGAUAGUUUCGAAAACAAAAUAAUGUCUUAUUAAAUUACUAUCAUAUAAAAAUAAACAUUAAGCGAUUGUACUAAUGAUGGAAGAUAGUAUUAUGGUACCAUAUUCUAAUUAGAAAUCUUAAUUUACUAAAUGAAAUAUAUAUAUAUAUAUAUAUAGUACUUGUACUAAUGAAGGAAGAUAGUAUUAUGGAACCAAAUUCUAGAUAUGUGAAUUAUAUGACCUUUUUGAGUAGGUAUUUUUUGAAAGAAUUUUAUUUAACUUACCGCUGAUAAUAUUAUUAUGACUUACCAUUGCCCUGUUUAAUGAAAACAUUUCAAUGCAGAAAUAAUCUUGACUGCUCAACACAAAGUUUUAUAGACUAAGCAAUAGAAAUUUAUGAAAAUUUAAGGUAAAGUAGCAUGGAAUUACAAUCUAUGUAAUUAUUACAUGCCACAACUAAGUAAAACAUCAACUUUGUUCACAGACGAUAUAACUAGACCAAAGUGUUAUGAAAUGAAACUAUGGGACACCUUGACAAGAGAAGACUCGCAUAAGUGGAGCCCUUGUCGCCUUCCCUUUAUUAUCAUUAAUCAAUGCUACAGCAUUGUUAUAC